GUCUUUGUUUGUGUCUCUCUUUAUAUUCCACUAAGGUCGGUGAUCUUGAUGCCACACACACUCAGAUGUGUGUUCAUCUCCAGAUACUACUCCAUGCUACCUGCCCUUUUUGUUUUGUUCAAUAACUGGGUAUCAUAUCCCGGCCAGUGUGCCAUCUAUUUUGUGUUUGUUUCCUUCUAGUUCCAAAGGGGUCAUCAUGAUGUUACCUUCUUUCGAUAUGGUGCUUUGCAUGACAACUGUUGUAUGGUACCAUCUUGUUGGCCAAUAAAUACAUCUUAUCCUAUGACCCUUUGCUAUGACCCUUUGCAAAUAAGUACAAGAUUGUUAUAAGCGUCAAUACUCAGUAUAAUUGAUCGCUGCUGUGAGUUCCCUUUCAGCUUAUCGUAGGCACACAUUAUUGCUAGCACGGUAAAGACAACCAACACGAAUGAUGAAGUAAACGUAGCGGUACUUUUGUAUACCAACACCCUUACUUAAAUGUACUGGUGUCAUUCCCUACUGGCACAUAUAUUCUUAUAUGCUAGCCAGAUUGGAAAAUUAACCAAUUAAAAUAAUUAUUUCAAGAUAGAAAUAACUUAUCGGCUUCUCGAAGCAUGUGUAAUUUUAAUUCAAGGACUCAAUGGAAGUUGAAUCACUUCAUCUAGAUUGCCUUCUGGAUUUUGGUUAACUAAAUUUAACAUUUGUGUCGGGGGGAAAUAUUAACGAUUUUCUUACGCUCUCUAAUUAACGGAUACAAGGGCUAGGGCCCACCCCUAAUACCCAUAAUCUCCGCUAACAACACAUCCCAGAGGCACUCCGCUCCGCCUCGCCCGACUUCAGGGUCGCAGGGUCGGACGUGCCCGACCCCCCAAGGCCUCGCCUCGUCUCAGCCGAUGGAGUUCCGCCUCGCCCGACCCUGAGCCCAACGGAUCGGACGCGCCCGACCCCUCGAAGCAGGACUCCGCCUCGCCCGACCCUGAGCGCAAGCGGUCGGACGUGUCCGGUCCCACCUGACAGAGCUCCGCCUACCCGAAGGUACGAGCAGGUCAUCAGACGGAAGCGCGGGCUCUGUGAGUCCCCCUGGGCUCACCCAACCGAUGGGACCGCGCAAGCUUCCAGAUACAGUUCUGACACAUGGAGAGGCGCCCGCGUUCCUCGACAUGACCUGUCAAAAUGUUGGUCUGCGCACUGCUGCCACGACUGCACAGGGCUACACCUGCACCGUCCUACCCCACUGUGACAUCUGUCAUAGGGCACUCAUCGCUCAUACCAUCUAAUGGAGGAGGGAAAACCGCCUAGUUUUCCACGUGGGCUAGCAAGAAGAGCACGUCAGCCACGCCGCCCCGUCAGGGUGCAUGGCUACAGUGGUUGACCAUCACCCGCGACGUGCACAGUCACAGUGGCCAGUCGUCACCACCAACUUGCACAGCUACAGUGGUCGGCCGCCAUGCACGACUCGCGUGUCCGGCUACAGUGACCGACCGCCGAGUCACCGAUGGGACCCAACGGCAACCCCUAUCCCUUAGUAGCAGUACCGACAAGACGCAGAGACAAGAAGGGAAGACGACGUCUCUAGUAGCCCCACUUGCUUCCCUUUUUACCUUUCUACCUGUUUACCUUCCUUACUCCCGGCUCAUUUGUAACCUCUGUAUCCUCCUUGCACUAUAAAAGGAGACCAGGGGGUCUGAGGGCAAGGGACCCUCGGAGACCGAACCCCGAAUUCACCCAAGUACAAACCAACCGAACCACCAGACGAGAAAGACUCACAGAGAUCUGGGAACCAGCUUCCCUCUCUCACCUAUUUGUAGCCUCUACUCCAGACUUGGUACGAGUAACACGAGCAGCCACCCGCACUGGACUCCUCCGCCAGAAACUGGUCCAACCAGUCGGGUCCCUCCCCCUGCUCUUCGUCCUCAUCAUCCUCAUCAUCGUCGUCCUCAUCCGUUGCCGUGUCUGGCCCCUCCGCAGCCUUCAGAACUCCGCUGCAGCUUUCUUUUUCUUCCUCACCGUCUCCUUGUCCUUCCUCUUCUUCUGUGCUUCGUCGAGGAGGCGGUUCCGCUGCCUCUGCACCACGUCCUCUGGCACCGGUGGACGGGAGGCUGUGACAUGGUUUAAGUUACCCUGCAGAUUCGAAGACUCCGCGUCAGAAUAGCAAACCAGGAAAUGCAGGAAAGAAGAACGAGAGUGCAAAUUUCUAACCAGCAGGACAUAGGCCUCGUCCGGGCGCAUCGGAGGGUGCCCCGGCACCGGGAACACGACAUCCCUGUCACCCAAUGCAUCCCGGACACGCUGCUCGAUCUCGGCGUCGGCAAUUGCACCCGUCGCAAGGACGGUGCUGUGGUACGCCCCAACAACUCCGGCCCCGGUCAGGCCCUCCUCCUUCAGAAGGUUGAUGGCUUCGAGGAGACCCCGGAUAUUCUUCUUCUCCUUCUCAACAGGGCCAUAUGUCCACGUUCCCGGUGCCUCCACGAUGACGCGGCCAGUGAACUCCGUCAAGAGGACAUCGGGGCGGUUCUUCACAUAGAGCCACUGCUGAUGCCACCCUUUGUGGGAUGACGGGGUCUUCAUCGAUGUAUACUCCUUGGGCCGAUGGCCACAGAGGUGGAUGCCGGCACACCCCAUCAGCAUCGGAAUCGUCCGCGUCUGGUUUCCUCUCUUCUCGGUCCUCUGAUGAAGAGUGACAGCGAAGAAGUACUUCCACAGGGCGAAGUUGGGCUCGAUCCCCAGGUAUCCCUCCCAAAGCACGACGAACGCCGCGAUGUGCUGGAUUCCGUUGGGGUUGAGGUGCUCCAGCUCAAUGCUAUAGUAGUGCAGCAGCCCCCGGAAGAAGCGACUUGGGGGAACCGCGAACCCCCUCUCGUGGAAGUGCGCGAAGGAGACGAUGUACCCGUCCUCCGGCUGUAGCACGGCCUUGUUCCCGGGAUACCGCCACUCGUUCUCGGCGAUCCUAUCGCGAAGAAGGCCCUUCUUCACGAGACCGAUCACGCGCGCGGUGUUGAAGAUUGACCAAGACCUUGAAUCCAUCGCCGAGGAAGGGGAAGGCUCGACGGCGGUGGUGGAAAGGUGAAUGCUCUGGCUCGAAAGAGGAUGAAAAGUGAACAAGGAGGCGAGAAAGGCUGAAGACGAGUGCGGAGCGGAGCAAGCAAGGUAAGCUCUCUCGUUUUACAGGGGGCGUGCGAGAAACGAAAGGCGAACCGAACGCAUUUAUUGCGACGUCAGGUAUGCCCCAUCGCCUCCGCCUUUCUUCGGAAACCGUACGCAUGAUUUCUUUUUAACCGCAGGGAACGCUACGCCCCCUCGCCCCACGAGCCCGGUGUUUUUUGCCGCUUCGUCUCCUGGAGGUCAUGCGCACAACUUCCUCCACAAGCGGCCCAGGGCCCGCUUCAGGUAAAAAAGGGAUACAGAGCUGAAAACACUCUAACGGCCCAUUACGGUCCAGGGGUUCGAAGGCUGGCCCUCUAGAGGGUUCGACAUCCACCCCAGGACAUUUCUUGAGCAAGGGGUGAGAAGGGACGGGUCCGCUAGCGACCACUACCCUGGUGAACAAAAGCCAAGGGCGUCCCGACCUCACAUUUGAGUCUCGAUUGGCGUUUAAGUUCAUGGUUUUUCCCCGAAGAAAGGCAAAGUGCCCCCGGAUCCGGUUGAACAGACCUGGGAACUAUAUGAACUGGCCGUCCGAAAUCUGGAGUACGCCACCAGCUUGGCCCAAGCCGGACCCGCCCGAACAGGGACCGGGACUCCACUCGAACUGACCCGUUAGCAGCUCACCGAGCACCAUGGUUCGUCCGAUGAGGAUAACAUGGCACGGCUCACCCCCUCCGUCCCAACGAACGGACGCUGAGGGGUAACGACUAAAAGACGAUCCGACCUCUCGAUCGGUCCCCUGCAAUGCGCGGGGGCUCGAGGGCUGGAAUCACAACGAAACGACCAUGCGCAUGGUUACGACUCGGAAUUUUGAGGCAGGAAUGGUCAUUGAAACAAUAGGGAAUCUUCCCAAACCGUACCAUCCUCAGAACACUCUGGCUACCCAAAACUCCCCGGCCAGGCCAAACAAGCAAAACUUUUCUCCUGAUCAAAUCAAGGUACAUGUUAAACAAGACCCCUGACAAACACUCUGCCGAGAGCCAAUCACAGCCUCUGGAGGAGCACCUUGCUCCACCAAAGGCUCGGGGCCUACUGUCAGGGGGAAAUAUUAACAAUUUUCUUACGCUCCCUAAUUAAUGGACACAAGGGCCAAGGCCCACCCCUGACACCCGUAAUCUCCACCAACAACACAUCCCAGAGGCACUCCGCUCCGCCUCGCCCGACUACAGGGUCACAGGGUCGGACACGCCCGACCCCCCGAGGUCUCGCCUCAUCUCAGCUGAUGGAGUUCCGCCUCACCCGACCCCAGGCGUAAGGGGUUGGACGCGCCCAACCCCUCAAAGCAGGACUCCGCCUCGCCCGACCCCGAGCGCAAGGGGUUGGACACAUCGGAUCCCACUAGACAGAGCUCCGCCUCGCCCGAAGGUAUGAGUAGGUCAUCAGACGGAAGCGCGGGCUUUAUGAGUCCCCCCAGGCUCACCUAACCGAUGGGACGCGCACAAUUCUAGAUACAGUUCUGACACGUGGAGAGGUGCCCGCGUUCCUCGACAUGACCUGUCGGAAUGUUGGUCUGCACACUACUGCCACGACUGCACAGGGCUACAACUGCACCGUCCUACCCCACUGUGACAUCUAUCAUAGGGCACUUAUCGCCCAUGCCGUCUAACGGAGGAGGGCAAACCGCUUGGUUUUCCGCGCAGCCUAGCAACUACAGCACGUCAGCCACGCUGCCCCGUCAGGAUGCAUGGCUACAGUGGUUGACCGUCGUCCGCGACGUGCACAGCUACAAUGGCCAGUCGUCACCACCAACUUGCACAGCUACAGUGGUCGGCCGCCAUGCACGACCCGCGUGUCCGGCUACAGUGGCCGACUGCCGAGUCACCAAUGGGAUCCAACGGCAACCCCCAUCCCUCAGUAGCAGUACCGACAAGACGCAAAGACAAUAAGGGAAGACGGUGUCUCCAGUAGCCCUACUUGCUUCGCUUUUUACCUUUCUACCUUUUUACCUUCCUUACUCCUGGCUCAUUUGUAACCCCUGUGUCCUCCUUGCACUAUAAAAGGAGACCAGGGGGCCCGAGGGCAGGGGACCCCCGGAGACCGAACCCCGAAUUCACCCAAGUACGAACCAACCGGACCACCAGACGAGAAACACUCACAAAGAUCUGGGAACCAGCUUCCCUCUCUUGCCUGUUUGUAGCCCCUACUAUAGACUUGGUACGAGUAACACGAGCAGCCACCCGCACUGGACGUAGGGCUAUUCCUGCCCGAACCAGUAUAAACCUCGCGCCCUCUCGUACAACCAUCCAAGCCUUACGCGUAGAGAAACAAAUUUACUAAGCCGGUAGUCUUGACCCGUGAUUCGUGAGACCGACAAUUUGCACAUACAAAUGUUAAAGUACAAAUGUUAAAUCUAGUUACCAAGCAGAAUACGAAAUAGCGGGCUAUAGUGAGGCUAUAGCGGCGCUAACUGCUGCAACAACAGUGUUGUACUAAUUAGCAGGCUAUAGCGGAGCUAUAGCGGUUGAGCACAGCUCUACGCUAAAUAUCAUAGCCCUCAAUUUUGUACAUUGUAUAUACUAUAUAAAUCUAGUUAACAUUUAGUCUAAAUGUUAAAUCGAGUUACCUAAAAUCCUGAAAGCAAAAUGUAUAAAUAUAUAUCUUUUAGGGUAGUAUAAGCUUCGAUUCCUUUUGCUGCUCUGUUAAAUCUCAUCUUUCGUUGUAGCCCAACACUCUAGUAUUGAUUUUGCACCAAGCUUCUUUGAGCCGCUCUGCCCUCUGAUUUUGCUGCGUAGGGGAAUCUUUAUCAGGUUGGGCUACUUCCAGUCGUGCGAUGUAUACCUUUGUAUCUUCUAGAAGGUAGACAGAAAACCCGCGUUCUCUUAAGGCAACAACCAGAAGAUUCUGCAGCGCACGGGGCAUAUCAUUGUUGUAGAAACGACCUUUAGUAUCGAUCUCCAACCCCUUAUAGUACUGGUUUUGCAACCAGUACCGUUAUGUCGGACCUUUAGUACCAGAUCAAAUAACCGGUUCUAAAGGGACUCCUUUAGUACCGGUUGGUAACCAGUAUCAACUUGUUUUGCGGCCAAAAAAAUAAAGAAAAAAAUAGCCAGAAGGCUAGCACACACACACAUCCCACGAAAUAUGCGCGUGCGCGGUCCAUGGGAUUCGAACCCAUGAAAUCAAGCUGCGCGCAACCCUUCGUUACCAUCUCACCUUCAGUACCGGGUCAUAACACCACCCGGUACUAGUAUCGGAUGCUGUAAUGACUCGAUACUAAAAGGCCUCUAGGGACCCUCAAAUUUGGACCCGAUACUAAUGCUAACAUUAGUACCGGGUCAAAGUGCAGCCAGUACUAAAGCAUGGGACGAAAGGUCAUAUUUCUAGUAGUGUAUAGUUGUUGUGUAGGACUGACUUGGCUGUCCUCUCUCUUCUCCAUCCCAUUGGUCUUACGCCGCCGCUCGCACGCGAGCCGGCACCCAACCAGAGGAGUGAGAGCUAGGGGCGGGUUGGGAGGUGGGGGUAGCGACUGGUGGCUAGGGUGAUGGUUGAUGUUGGCGGGGUUAGGGUUUCAUGGUUUUCAAGCUACCUACGGCCGGCGAACCUAGAGGAGGAGGUCGACAUCAGCUGCAACCCGCGGUGGUGGUGGUUUGGCCGGCGCCCCAGGCGAGGCAGCGUGGGAGUGCUGCUGGCGGGUUGGUGUUGGCGCUCAUUAUUGACACAUUUUUAGUACUAUUUUGUUCAUGGAAUAACACUCAAACGUGCUGGUGCUGCUGCCGCCAUCGCCGCCCUAGCCAUAAUAUAAAGGCAAAAUUUGCUAGAGGACAUGCAAAAUGAUGCUAGUUUGCUGGAGGGCACCGUUGACCAUGUAAUAUGCUACAAGACACUCUAGUUGUUCUAGAGUGUAUCAAUUUGCUGAAAGACAUUGCUACGACUAAAAUAAUGUUUCUGGACUGAGUUGGAGAGAGAGAUGGAGUGAAAUGUCUGUUUUGCCCAUGACCCCACUGAUCAGAUCCUUCUUCUUCCACCCUCCUUUCUUCUUUCUUCAACCAUUACCCAGCUCUAGUGUGUUGCAGAUCUACGAGGGUGGCGGCCCGGGGCGAGGGGCAUCGCUUGCCCUCAGACGAGCGCCGCGAGCGACGGCGCGGGGGCAGCAACGGCGCGUCGGAACCUGACCGUUCGUUAGCUCCUCUCGCUGCUGGGGAAGGAGGGGGAGGGGCCAUGGACGGGGUUCCCUCGAAAACCUUAGCCUCGAGCUCAGGCGGCUACGCGCAGGCAGCACUAGGCUCUUCGCGGGGAGGGGGCGCGGCCAAUCAUUGGCACCCCACUGGUCCAAUGCUGAUGAAGAUGGUGCCAGCGUCGUGAAGAUGGUGCCAGCGUCGUGUGAGGACCUCUCAUCUCCUCGAGUUCCAUGGCCAGCACAGGUGAGCGUCCGCUACCACAAAACAGAGGUGUCGUGAGAGUCAAAAAAACUCAUGAAAAUAGCUAAAACCAUCAUGAAAAUAAUCCAUGACACGACACUCUAACGAAAAUCCUCUCACAAAUAUGGUGCCAUCAAAAUACCAUUUUCAUGAGAGUGAACUGUCAUGAUUUUAUUUCGUGAGAGUAUUUCCUAUCAAUGACCUCCACGAAAUACUUUGUGCCACCAGGUCUUCAAGAUCAUUUUCAUGAGAGCCGAACGUCACGAAAGGUCCGCCACAAAUGUUUUUCCUGGGAGCCUCUAACUCUCAUCAAAAGCAUGUGGGCCGCCGCGAAAAACAGCCUGACCAAAUGACAAUUUUCAUUUUCAUGUGCUCUUACCGCCAUGAAAAUGGUCAUUUUCAUGAGAGUUGAUGAAACAAAAAAAUAGUGCCAUUUUCAUGAGAGUUCAAGCAACCAGGAAAAGGCACUAAUAAACAUCCAGAUCCCAUCCAGCACACAUCCAUGCACAUAUAUAACCCACAUAUUGCUCCAGCAACAUCCAUGCAUAUACAAGAUCCAAAUGUCUUGGUAUGAACCUACAUGCAUGUGAUGAACCAGUAACCUGCAAAAAGAGCUCAUAGGAUCUUGUCCUCAUAUUGUAGCUGUGAAAUUCUUGCAAGUAGUGUUGCAAUCAGUUCACUUUGAACCAAAAGAGCUCAAAGGAUCAUGUCCUCAAAGUUCCUCUUAAAGCUUAUGGGUUUGCUGGUGGAACUGGAAGGGCUUGAUGCAGCAUGCCAUUCUGCAAUAGAGAAAAAUUUAGAAAGCUGUACUAGUUAAAAUUGGAUGCAGCAGAGACACAUGAAACUAGUAUUUAUACAAUUCUAUAUAUAUAAUAAUUUGUCCCCUAAAUUUUUAGGAUCCUCUCGACGGUGGUGAGUCUUCCAGUAAGGCAAUUGAAUGUCCAUCGUGAUAAAAUUCUCCUUUGGAUUUAUCAUCUUCUCAACCAGAAAUCCUAGGAGUUCAUCCUUAAGCCUUACCAGUUGUAAUUUGGAAAUAUGUGAAAGUUAAACGAACAAUUAAAAUCUAAGGAUCCUUAUCAUCAUUUCCAUACGUUUGCGAAUUAAAAUAAUGAAGGAUACAAUGUUAGGUGAAAAUUCAAGAAACAAAAUUUUGUAUAGAGAUAAUGGUCCGACAUUAUUACAAGUUAAAGUUGUUUUAAAUAUCCUUGUAAUCUUCCUUUGGUUUCCUCGACGAUUCCAAGACAGUAACCUUGCUUCUAUCAAUGAUAAUUAUAAGGAGAACCCAAUGAAAACUGUGUAUUCAUAUUAGAACUAACUAAGGUUAAUUCGGAUAGGAAAGGAAAUCAAAAAUAGAUGGUACCCACACUUACUUAAAGUUGUAGGGUAGUAGUAUGUAAUGCUUGUAAUUCUGUUGCUCCAAGAAUUUGUAUAUGUGGUUCAAUGUAGACUUUGGUUGAUCCUGUAUCUGCUGUUGGUUGAAUAAGUGUUUCUAACCAUUUCUAGCCGUUAGAACUGGGACUAAAGGGAGCUCUUAGUGCUGGUUGAUAUUACUAGUCGGGACUAAAGAGCCCCCGUUAGAGUUGGUUUUCGGACGUGGAACUAACCACUCCUUUAGUCUCAAGUCCAAAAAUGAUUGAGACAUUUGUUGCUGGAUGGAACACUAGUAGAGAAUUGGCUUUCGAUGCGCCCCCUUUUGUCCCGGUUUAAAGUUGGACUGGGACAAAAGAGGGUGCGCCACGGUAGGUAAAAAUGGAGGGGGGAGUUAGUCCCGGUUGGUAAUUGCAACCGGGACUAGAGGCCCCCCUUUAGUCCCGGUUGCAAUGGCUAGCUGGGGGGCGUCGGUGGCGGCACCUUUUUGUCCCGGUUGGAGUCUCCAACCGGGAUAAAAGGUCCACCCUUUUAUCCCGGUUGGAGGCUCCAACCGGGACAAAAAGUUUAGUCCCGGUUGGAGCUUCCAACCGGGAUAAAAGGGUGUCCCUUUUGUCCUAGUUGGAGCCUCCAACCGGGACUAAACUUUCAACCGGGACAAAAGGUGUGGUUGGAGUUUUUAACUGGGAUAAAAACUCAUCCCCCAUUAUAUACCAAGACAGAGGACUUUCUUCCUCCUCCAGCCCGAGCCAGUCCAGCACAUUCACAGAGAGUUGACCUUCACCUACUCUCCGGUGGUGCCGAAGCAAGGAGGUGCUGCCCGAAGUUUUUUCCCUCAUUUUCGUGGGAAUUUCACUCAGCUAACACAAGUGUUGUGAAGGUUUGCUACUUCAUCCUCGUUUAUGCUUUGAUUUAUGCUUUGGAGAUGGAAAGAUUAUUUGUUAGAAUGUGAUGAAGUAGAAAAUGGAGAGAAUAUUUUGAGCUAGAAUGUGAGGGAGAUUGAUGUGUCAUAUAUAGUAUGCAUUCUUGCAGUGGUUUAAGAAUGAUGCUACCUUGUCCAGACAAUUUAUCUUAUCAAAUUCAAUAUAGUUUUUCAAAUCCAUACUUGUUGAACUUGCAUACCGUGUUCAUCUCUACGAGGAUAUUCUCUGCCGAGCAGCAACGUAUGUCAAGAAGGAGGUUCGAUUCUACGAGGAAGAGUGGAUACGGACAUCGUGACCGUGUCCCCUUUUCCGUAGCAUCUAACCUCUUUCAUGAUGAAGUGCGGUGCCGCCCAGUUGAGAACAUGCUCGCGAGAUGAACACAGUAUGCAAGUUCAACAACUUCUGCAGUAGUAAGGAAAGAAUUUUUGUACAUAGAUGACUUCUGCUACUUGUUGAACUUAUCAAAUUCAAGAAGGUUUUUCAAAUCCAUACUUGUUGAACUUGCAUACCGUGGUCAUCUCGCAGAGGAUGUUCUCCGCCGAGCAGCAACGUAUGUCAAGAAGGAGGUUCGAUUCUACGAGGAAGAGUGGAUACAGACAUCGUGACCGUGUCCCCUUUUCCGUAGAAUCGAACCUCUUUCAUGACGAAGUGCGGUGCCGCCCAGUUGAGGACAUGCUCGCGAGAUGAUCACGGUCUUUAAGUUUAACAACUUAUGCAGUGUUAAGGUAAUAAUUUUUGUACAUAGAUGGCUUCUGCUACUGGAGAAAGUGGCGAUGGUGGGGGUGAUCGUGGUUCCUCUUUCGGCAAGGGGAAAAUCAUAGUUGGCCCUCAGCAUAAGCCAAAGAAAAAGAGCGCACUGGAAAAAGCAAUGCUUCGUUAUUUGCAGCAACGUCAUGAAGAAGUUGUUGCCGCGGGUCAGGAACCUCCUUUUGGUCGUCGUUAUGCUCCACCCUUAGUCCCGGGUGUUUCACAUCCACUUAGUACUACCGUUUCAGGCGGCACAAAUAAACCUAAGGAUGAGGCUAGGUCAGCGGAACUUUCGUCUUCACUGUCCAAGGAUGCUUAAAGUCCUCCUAGAUAAUAACCAGUGGAUGGCUUGUUGUAUUGUAUCAUGUUGUUUGGAUCUUUAAUUUAAAUAUGUGUAUUUGGAUCUUCAUGUUGUUGUAUUGUACCAUGUUGUUUGGAUCUUUAAUCAAUUUUCACACGUAAUCCAUUGUCAAGUGUAAUCCAUUUUCAUGCAUAAUAAGAUGCAGAUGGACCGGCAAUGGAUGUAUAAUGCAGACAGGCAGAGCAAGGUGUUUAUUGAUGGCUUGCAUUAUUGUCUCGAAGUGGCCAAAGCGAACAAGCCAGAGAAUGGGUUCGUAUGUUGUCCAUGCUUCCAAUGCAAUAACAAGAAGGAGUAUUCAUAGGAUUCCUGGGGGACUAUUCACAGCCACUUGUUUAAAUACGGUUUCAUACUUAACUAUUUGGUUUGGACCAAGCACGGUGAACGAGGGGUCGUAAUGGAAGAUGGCGAGAAGGAGGAGGAAGAUGACACCAUUCCAGACUGGGUUGUAGGCCAAGCUUUUGCAGGUACUACAAUGGGCGAGGCUCAUGAAGAUGAGUUUGCAGAAAAUGGCCCUAUUGAUGACUUUGGUCAGGUGAUACGAGAUGCAUACAGAGAUUGCGAAAUUGAGAAGGAAGCAGCAAAGUUGCAGCGCAUGAUAGAUGAUCACCAAAAAUUAUUGUACCCAGGUUGCCAGCUGGGCCAUAAAAAACUAGGUACGACACUAGAAUUUGUGCAAUGGAAGGCAAAAAAUGGUGUGUCCGAUAAGGCAUUUCAGGGGAUGUUGACCAUUGUCAAGAAGAUUCUUCCCGAGAAUAAUGAAUUACCGUCCACAACAUAUGAAGCUAAACAGAUUAUUUGCCCUCUCGGAUUGGAUGUUCAGAAGAUACACGCAUGCCCUAAUGACUGUAUCCUCUAUCGUGGUGAUGACUACGAGAAAUUGGAUGCUUGUCCCGUGUGCGAAGCCCUGCGGUAUAAGAUUAGGUGAGAUGAUCCUUGUGAUGUCGAGGGGCAGUCUCCCAAUAAGAGAGUUCCCGUGAAGGUGAUGUGGUAUUUCCCUAUAAUACCACGCUUGAAGCGCUUGUUCAGGAAAAAGGCGAAUGCUAAGUUGAUGUGAUGGCACAAAGAAGACCGUAAGGAAGAUGAGAUGCUGAGACACCCCGCAGAUGGGGCACAGUGGAGAUCAAUUGAUAGAGCAUUCUCGGACUUUGAAAGUGAAGCAAGGACAUAAGGUUUGGUUUAAGUACUGAUGGAUUCAAUCCAUUCGGUGAGUUGAGUAGUGGCCAUAGUACUUGGCCUAUGACCCUAUUUAUGUUGAACCUUCCUCCUUGGCUAUGCAUGAAGUGGAAGUUCAUUAUGAUGCCGGCGCUUAUCCAAAGUUCAAAACAACCCGACAACGACAUUGACGUGUACCUAAGACUGUUGGUUGAUGACCUUUUACAGCUCUGGAAGGAAGAAGGUGUACGUGUGUGGGAUGAGGAUAGACAAGAGAUCUUUAAUCUACGAGUAUUGUUGUUUGUAACCAUCAAUGAUUGGCCUGCACUGAGUAACCUUUCGGGACAGACAAAUAAGGGAUAUCGGGCAUGCACCCACUGUUUAGACGACACAGACAGCAUGUAUUUGAAGCAUUGUAAGAAGGUCGUCUACAUGGGUCAUCGUCGAUUUCUCCCUGCUCACCACCAGCUGAGAAAGAGCAGGAUGCAUUUCAAAGGGGCGCCAGACCAUCGUAAAAAACCUGCACACCAUAAUGGAAAGUGUGUCUUCAAGAUGAUGAAGGAUGUAAAUGUAGUCUUUGGAAAGGGUCUUGGUAGCCAACCUAUUCCAAACGACAAUAACGGACAUGCACCCAUGUGGAAGAAAAAGUCAAUAUUUUGGGAGCUACCUUAUUGGGAAAUCCUAGAGGUUCGCAAUGCAAUAGACGUGAUGCACCUGACGAAGAAUAUUUGCAUGAACGUGCUAGGCUUCAUGGGUUUUUAUGGGACCUCAAAAGACACAUUGGAAGCACGACAGGACCUGAAAGCCAUGGGGCAACGAGAUGACCUACAUCCGAAAAAGAGAGAUAAUGGAUAGCACUACUUACGUCCUGCCAGUUACACUCUGAGCAAGGAAGAGAAGGAUAGCAUGUUUGAAUGCUUGAAUAGUAUGAAGGUCCCGUCUAGGUACUCCUCGAAUAUAAAGGGAAUAAUAAAUAUGAAAAAAAAGAAGUUUAUAAAUCUCAAGGCCCAUGACUGUCACAUGUUGAUGACCCAGUUGCUUCCGGUUGCACUGAGGGGUGUUCUACUAGAAAAUAUCCAGUUGCCGCUCGUAAAGCUAUGUGCGUUUCUAAAUGCGAUUUCACAGAAGGCAAUCGAUCCAUCCAAGCUAUCAAAGCUACAGAACGAUGUGGUGCAAUGUCUUGUCAGUUUUGAGUUGUUAUUUCCACCAUCCUUCUUCAAUAUUAUGACGCACUUACUGGUUGACCUAGUAAAAGAGAUUGGUAUUCUCGGACUUGUAUACCUGCACAAUAUGUGGCCUUUCAAGUGUUCAUGGCAGUCCUAAAAAACUAUGCUCUUAAUCGUGCCCAUCCAGAAGGAAGCAUCGCCAAGGGAUAUGGAACAGAGGAGGUGAUCGAGUUUUGUGUUGAUUUUAUUGAUUCAAUUGACUCGAUUGGGGUUCCAACUUCACGCCAUGAGGGGAGGCUCCGAGGAAUGGGCACCCUUGGAAGGAAAUCAAGUUUGAGCAAUGAUACUGAUUUGUUCGACAAGGCACACUACACGGUUCUACAACAGUCAUCCUUUGUGUCUCCAUAUAUUGAGCAGCACAGGCAGAUGGUAGUUUCCAAAAACCCGACCAAAUCCGAUGCUUGGCUUACCCGUCUUCACAUGGAAACUUUUCCCUCCUGGUUGCGCCAACAACUUAUGGGUAACUCUGAGAUUCACCCACAGCUUGCCUGGUUAGCCAGGGGACCUGCUAGCACAAUUGUGAAAUUUCAAGGCUAUGAGAUAAAUGGUUAUACAUUUUACACGAGAGCCCAGGACCAGAAAAGCACGAAACCAGAAUAGUGGUGUCCGCAUACAUGCCAUGGACAGAAAUAAUAGCAAGGAGUCGUAUUAUGGUUUCAUAUAGGAGAUAUGGGAACUUGAAUACGGACCGUUGUACAUCCCUCUAUUUCUUUGUAAUUGGGUGAAGCAAACUGCCGUAACCAAAGAUCAGUACGGAAUGACAAUAGUAGAUCUGAGCAAGACUGGAUACAGUGAUGACCCAUUCGUACUUGCCAACAAUGUGCAACAGGUGUUCUAUGUGAAGGACAUGUGUAGCAAACCCAAGAGAAAUCCAGAAGAGACAUGGGAGCCAAAGUGCCACAUAGUUUUUCCAGGUAGAAGAAAAAUCGUGGGAGUCGAGGAUAAAACAAACCAAUCAGAUGAUUAUGAUUAGUUUGAUGGCAUGCCUCCAUUCGCCGUUGAAGUUGAUCCAAGCAUCCUGCUAUCCAAAGAAGAGGCUCCGUACUUACGCCGCGAUCAUGAUCAAGGAACUUUCGUGAAGAAGAAAUUCUACAACGUUGUAUUGUAAUGCGCUAAAUUUACAUGACCUUUGUGUAGUAAUUGAUACAAUUUUUAAUUUACCCUAUGUAUGAUUUGAUGUGUUCUUAAAUUUGUUAGGUGAAGAUUUAUUAGAUAAACAUGAACAAUGUUAACCACAUACAUACAUGGAUUUUUCUGCGCAUUGAAAUUAUUUAAUGGAAUAAUUUCUUGAUCACAGCGAUGUAGUAAAAUAAAUAUUUUAGAGCCUAAAUGAACUGGUAUAGAAUUAAUGACUAACUCACACUUAUUGUCAAUUUACUCGCUAAUUAAAUAUAUUUUUGCAUGUACAAAAUAUGUGAAGGUUUUUGUUUUUCAUCCUGAAUUGCAGUGAAAAGAUAAAUAAAAUCCAUUUCCAAAAAACAGGCGGGAGAAGAAAACUGGGAAAAGGACCUUUUGUCCCGGGUGCCAACAGAAACCGGGACAAAAAGCCCCCCCCCUUUUAUCCCGGUUGGUGGUGGCACCCGAGAUAAAAGGGUAGGCUCCAAGCCCCACUUGGCGGACGCACCCUUUUGUCCCGGGUCCCGUCACCAACCGGGAUAAAAGGGGGGGCCUUUUAUCCCGGUUGGUGAGGGGACCCAGGACAAAAGGCCCUUUAGUCCCGGGUGUCAUUACGAACCGGGAUAAAAGGGGGGUUAAAAGGCACUAUAGCCCCUUCUACCCCCCACGCCAGUUACAGUUAGCAAAAUUUUCACCAAGAUCCCGCGCGCACUCUGCUCCGUCGCUGCCCGUCCGCCUUCCUCGCCAGCCGUCAUCGUCGUCGUCCCCCAUUGCCCCGGCCGUCGUCGUCCCGCCGGCUGACCGUGCCCAGAUAGCCUCCUCCUCCAUCGCCCCGGCCCGCCUCGAUCCUCCUGCGUCGUGCCCGGCCCCUACCUCAUCGACGCCGGCCACCUCCAUCGCGGGGCCUCAUCGCCGCCUCCAUCCUCGUCGCCACCUCGACGCCCUGGGUCGCCGCCUCGUCGCCCCUCGUCGCUGCCUCGUCGCCGUCCUGCCUCCGCCGUCUCGCCGUCCCGCGCGCCUUCGCUCCGUCGUCGCCUCCGCCGUCCCACCGCCCCAGCCACCGCCAUCCCGCCACCCCGGCCACCUCGUCGCCCCGACCACCGUCGACCGCGCGUGAGGUCCGCCGCACCGGCACUGGCGCCGGGAGUACCGCCUUGCUGACGCAAGCCCACCGGCUUGCGUCAACAAGGGCCUUUUUUAAGUUAGAAAAUAAAUAGAAAGGAGUAGUAAUUAGGUAGAAAUUCAAUAGAUUUUUGUAUAUGUGUUACAAAAUCAAAUUAGUGUAAAUUAGUUGUAAUUAGGUUCGUCGCUCUGCCUAGGUUAGAAAUGAAUCGUGUUUCGUCGUGGUUCCGUCCCCGCCUCCGCCGUCCCGCCACCCUGACCGUCGCCGUCCCAACCUAGGCACCGUCUGUGGUUCCGUCCCCGCCUCCGCCGUUCCGCCUCCAUCGCAAAUUCAUGUUAUUGCUAGAAAUUCCAAUAAAUAUGAACAAAUUAGUAGAAAUUUGGUAGAAAUUAAUCAUUGCUGCGGCCACCUCGCUCCACAAAUUCAUGUUAUUGCUAGAAAUUCAUAAAAAUUCAUGUUAUCACUAGAAAUUCGUACAAAAUUCAUGUUAUUGCUAGAAAUUCGUAAAAAUUCAUGUUAUUGCUAGAAAUUCGUACAAAAUUCAUGUUAUUGCUAGAAAUUCGUACAAAUUCAUGUUAUUGCUAGAAAUUCGUCACAAAGUACUACUAAUUUGCAAAAAUUUGUAUAAAUAUUCCGGACUUUGUGGGAUUCAUGUUAUUUUCUGAUUUCAUGUAUAUACCCUUAUGUACAUAUAACUAAGGAGAUUUCUAUGACUUUCAUGUAUGUUUCAAUCAAUAGUUGAAAUGGCAGACGAUGAGACCGCAAGGUAUCUCAUGGAGCAGAUAAUCGCUGGUGAUGGUAGUGGCGACAACCUUCCACUAUCGUACACCGAUGAAGAGGGCACCCAGGCGGACAUGUUCCUCAACAUGUCCGCCGAUGGGAAUGAAGAGCAAAAGCCCCAGCAACACCUUGCCGGGGCGGAAGGUUCCGGCGAGGUAUAUAUAACGAUUCUUGUAUUGUUUCACACCACCGUUACUACUACGUACUAAUUAACGAAUCAUGAACCGUUAGCCCUCUGGAUCGACGCAAGGGCAGAAGACACGAGGUCGUACAAAGGUGAUGGAAGGGAGGCUUGUCAUCACGGAAGUGAUAGAAGAGGGCAGGCCGGUUGCUCCCGAGAAAGUAGCAAAGAAGUACGUGAGUCAGAUCGGGGCAAUCGUCCGGGACAACGUGCCUAUCAGCAUCAGAGAAUGGAAGGGCAGAAGCACUAAUCCGUACGCCCUCCUGGAGACAGAAAGAAUAUGCUGUGGGAAGAUGUCAAGAGACAUUUCACAUUCACCGAAGGAUAUAUUGAGAAGGAUGUGAAAGCGUGGACGCUUAAGAAGAUGGCUACACAAUUUCCAGACAUUUAAGAAGAUGCUAGAUACCCACUACAUUAAGAAGGGCCGAACUCCAGACUUCAACGCGUGGUCAAAGUUGAGGGACCACUAGGAUGCAUUUGUUGAAUAUAAGAGGAGUGAAUACGAUGUGAAAAAGAUCACGACCAACACAACAAAUGCUAGUCAGAAGGGCUACCAUCAUCAUCUGGGGCGAGAUGGUUAUGGCUCAGCAAUUCCCAAGUCGAGGAAGAUGGAACAAGAUCUGAUUGAACGGGGAAUCGUACCGGCAACUAUUGAAUGGCCCGAACGAUCAAAAAAUUGGUACUACGCUCAUGGAGGCUCCCUGUGCCAAGAGGAUGGGACGUUGAUUUUCAAUAACACAAUACGUUAGAAGGCCAAACAUCUUGUGAAGAACAUUGAAGAUUCUAAGGCUGGGAGGUUGAAGGUGGACCGAGAAAAUGAUGAGCUCACAUUGGCCCUUGGUAAUCCAGAGCACCCAGGAUGUUGCCGAGGGUUCGGGGUCGUUCCGUGGAAGUUUGUUUUCCGAGGCGACAGCGCCUCGUACAGAAGCCGGAAGCGAAGAAAGGAACAGAUCGAGGAGAGCUGGUGGCAGAUGCUAGAAUCCAAAGUGCAGGCACAAGAACAAAGAAUGAUGGAGGAAAUCAAUCGUCGAGUGGCCCACGCAGUUGUGGAGUUGGCCCAAUCUGGAGCAUUGCCGAAUCCUAACAACGCCAGCCCUUCUCAAUGCCUCUUGAGCAGUUAUGCUUCUACAGGGGUCCCCGAUGCGCACACGCCCAGGUUACCCGUGGAGGAGCAACGGUUCCCCGUGGAUGCCAUCACGCAACACACCACAUGUGAGCUGCAUGCACCGGUCGGCAACCUCACUAUUAAGGUAUACUUAUACAUAAUAUUUAUGCAAUCUUGUCAAUUGAUCCACGCCUCGAUAUCGGAGUUUAACUUGUUUACUUCUACUAUAUGUACAGGUAGCGUACGGGAGUGCGUUAGCAACCCUGGCGGGGCAGAGCAGUCAUGGCAUGAAGAUUCCACCUGGCUACGCUAGCGUCCGCGUAGAGCAAAUAGUUGAUAGCCAAUAUGAAGGUCUAGAGCUCGACCUCCCGGGAGGUGACAGGGAAAGAACACUGGCAGAUGCGCUUCAUGGGAUCAUUCUAUGGCGAAAACGCUACAUCAUUAUUCCCGGCACGGAGCCAUCUCCUCAGAGCUCAAGACCACUCCCCGUAGAUCCCCAGCAGCGACCUUCUCCUCAUAGCUCGAGACCGUCAUCUCCUGCACAACCUGCUCCAGGACCGUCCCUUCCAUCUAUAUCAAGGUCUCCAUCUCCACCACAUCCUGGUGGUGGGAGCGACGACGACAAUAACAACACCCCUUCCUGAUCACCAUCGCCGGCACCAAGAGCGGCCCCCAUGAAGGAACCUGCACCACCACUAAAAAAGUCACGAGCACCGCCUCCCAAGCAAAGACAGAGAAAGAAGAAAACAAAGGAGCCUGAAGUGACUCGUAAGGAACGCUGGGAGACAAUGUCUCAUGCGGAACAGUGGGCAGAAAUCCAACAAGAGGCCAGUGAGUGGUUCAAGAAACAAGCCGAAGAAAAAAAAGCAACGGAGAUGCAGCCACCGCCAGUAAAUCGAAGAGAUUUAAACUUUUUUAUCAGGAUGGAAGAAGGAGCCAAGAAAAGGAUACCACUCUUAUCAAACUAUGAACGGGCUUUAGUAAAGGCUGAUGAAAAGGAUAAAAGGAAAGGAAAGUCAUCUUCCAGCGGUGCUGUCCCCGACCUCAGCCAUUUAUCAAAAAAAGAUGCUCAACGGGUAAAAGCAAUGCCCUUGGAUCAACAAGCAGAAGUAUUGAAGUUCAUGCAAGAAACAGGUCUGGGACUUGAUGAAUGCCUAGGGCAAGUUGAGACGCCAACUGCACCGCCCCCUGAGCCGAGAUGGCCUUAUGAGCUAGGCAAACCUCUAGUAAAGCCUUCAUUGGUACGAAAGCUAUCAACAAAGAUGUACGCAUUCCAUCAAUGGUACAUGAUGGCAUCCGCUGACUCAAGGGAGAUGCUCGGCCUGAAGGUAAAACCGAUGGAUUUUCACGACAGAGGCGAGAAAGUGCUGUGGCUAGACUUCAAGGAUAUAUACGAAGUGUACCAUCAUGAUGCCAUAGACGUCUCUCUGAUCCGCGCUUGGGUUCUGUAAGUGUCCGUUUAUCUCUACAUGUAAAUUUUGGCGUGCGUCACCGUACUAACUUCGUCUUCCAUUUCAUGUAGGAUGCUAAUUCAGACAUGCCGCCGAGAGGCGUACCUACAUAUAGGCUUCAUGGAUCCAUCUGUAGUUAACCAACAGCAGAUACAAUUAGCAUCGGAGAAAACCUUGGUGGAAGUAUACAAUUUCCUAGACAAACAAACAUUCAAGGAUUUCAUACUAUUUCCAUACAACUUCAAGUAAGUGUGUGUAUACCGUCUACUUUCGAUGUCUUUUUCCUUAUCUCUACAUGUUAGUUAGCUCUAAUAUGCAUGAACAUUUUACGCACGCAGCUUCCACUGGAUCCUUAUUAUAAUUGAGCCUCAAAGAAGCCACGUCACUGUCUUCAAUUCGUUGAGGAAAGAUCCAGUGGAGCACCAAGAAAUGCAACACAUGCUAGGCUUGUAAUAAUUCUGGACCUUUAUCUCUAUGCAAAAGUUUGUUUCCUAAAUUCUAUCCCUGUUACACUAUAUCAUUCAUUAUUCUAAUCCACAGCGUAUGGAAACAAUUCAUAAGGACACAAAAAGGUCCAUUCAAAGAAAAACUUACAUGGAACACAGACUUCCCGGUACAUAUGAAGUCUGCACAUUUAUUACAUUGUAUAACACGAAUAUUUCAUAACUUAUUUUUUUCCGUAUUGAAGUGCUUAAGACAGGAACUCGGAAAUAAUCUAUGUGGCUACUACAUCUGUGAGCACAUGCACAGUUUUAUGGGACCCAAGGGACUAAAGAUGACGCCGCACAACUUUAAAGUACGUAAAAUAAAACUAUUACUAGUUAAUUAUUUUCUAGCUCCUUAUAUGUAUUUGUUCACGUAACAUUCACAAAUUUCCAAAUUAUAGAUGUUAAAUAUUCAACAAGGACUCUUGAAGGAAGAAAGAGUAGCGGCAAUAUGUGAAGGUCUCAUUGGAUUCCUAAUGGACAAGGUGGUAGAUCCAAAAGGAGAAUUUUAUUUUGAUGGACGACAAUUAGACACUCUGAUCAGCAACACCUCGAUGGGAAGAUUGUAGAUAGAUACUUUGAUUUAUUUGUAUAUAUAAUACGCGCUAAUUAUGAUCGAUUUGUACUAGUUGAAUUCUGUAUAUGAAUUGUGUAUAAGAAUUGUGUAUAUAUAUAGUAACUGUAUAAUUACAAAUCCCAUUCGUUUAAAUACUAGUUAAUUUCAUUCUAAAAAAAUCUCAACUACUUAAGGUUAACAAAAGGGCUGCGGUACUACGUACGUGAUGCAUGCAUGAAAAAUUCAGGCGCCAGGCAGGUGCCAUGCAGGGCAUCAUUUAGUCCCGUUUGGAAUCCAGCCGGGACUAAAGGGUAACCCUUUACUCCCGGUUGGGAAACCCAACCGGGACUAAAGGGGGACCGUUACUCCCGGUUAAAAGACCCGGGACUAAAACCCCCCCUUUUGUCCCGGUUGGCUUAUCCCGGAUAAAUUUUCGGGAGAUAUGCACCCUACCAACCGGGACUAAAGGCCAAUUCUCCACUAGUGGAAGGUCCUUUCUCUACCAUGAAUAUUGCCAGAAAGAAUUGAAAGAGACCGCUUGCUAAAAACAUGUCAUAGAUGCGGACCAAGCUACCAAGGAGGUAGACCAAACAUGAUACACACCAUGCGUACCUUGCUGUGCAGACUAUGCAUGGACAAGAUACCCGACCACAUGUUGGCUUUGGUCACAUCAAAAGAAUCAUGUAGGCCAUUAAUAAACUACUUGAAGCGUCAUUCCGUAUCUUAUAUCCAUCAUCUGCAUUACAUUACAUUAAAUAUUAUUAACUAUUUGAAUAAAAUGAACCAAUUUAAAAAUAAUGAAUUGUACAUUACUACAAAAAGCCCUAGCACUGCCAGUUCCAAAAACAUCAUUGUUGACGGCCGUUAAGUACCAAAUAUGACGGUCAAUAUCCUAAAGAAUAAAGGACAAUUGGCAUUUCUUACACACAUAUUUGGUUUCGAAUAAUGUAGUUCUACAUGUCCUUGGAGAUUAUUUGGGUGUGGGUGAAAUAAUACAAAAAGAAGGAGAAAACACACUCCCAUGGCAAAGAAACAUAACUCCGACCAAUGAGAGAUAGCCACAGGGGCAGCACAUGGAUCCAUGGGCCCACAAACUGCAUCAAACCAUCUUACAAGGCGGGUAGCACCCACAACUGUCAUUAGGACCCACCUGGAAGUCUAGCAAAGAAGAAGGUUGUGAGUGGGGCCACGAGGGGUUCGGUUGAAUCAUCUCUAGCUCCCUUCAUCCCCAGCUGGCGCGUGGCGGUGGUUCAUGGUGUCCCGACAUCGGUUAGAGGACAUUCCCCCAAAUAUUCCUCCUGUAAACCAGCUCUAUGAACCUAUAAAUAGAGGGGUGUGCUCUCCAUUCCAACACACACCACAAGUUGAAGCACUCUCUCCCUCUUUAGUUUCCAAGUUUACGGAGAUAGGCUGGAGUAGCUCUGCUAAAGGUUCCAAGUCCACUUGGAGUUAAGCGUAUGUCUCUUGUAUCAUUAUUUCCUAGAGAGACUUUAUGCUAUUCAAGUUAUUUAUCUUCUUCAUAUAGUGUUAUGCUUAGUUCUUAUAUGCAUGAGUUAGUCUAAUACCCUUGCUCUAUUGAUAUGCUCAGCUUAUGUGCUCGUAUGCUAGUCAUGUACCCUUGCUGUCAUAGUAUAGGGUUAUAUGCUGUCAUGUGUGCCUAUAGACCUUGCUACAGUAUAUACUUGUUGUGUAUACAUACCAUUUGUAUAUACAUUAUUACAAGUUAAGGUAGUUUUAAAUAUCCUUGUGUUGACAACCAAAGCUUGAUCUUUUGUUUCCAUUGCCAGCGGAUUCAUCGGCUCAGAGUAGGAUCAAGACAUCAAGUUGAUGGAGUUCUUUAUAUUUCAAGAGGAGUCAUGGAGUUCUUUAUAUUUCAAGAGGAGUUGAUGGUGCUUUCAAUAUUGCAACCAGACAUCAUUGGCUCUGAAGACACCGAAUCAUCGGAGUUCUAUGAUCAGUUUCGGAACAUGAAGCCUUCAUACUCCGAAACUGGGGGGCCUGUGUUGACACCGAAUUAUCGGACUUCUAUAAUUAGUUUCGGAACAUGAAGCCUUCAUACUUCGAAACUGGGGGGUAUGUGUUUACACCAAAAUUUAGAAAUGUGCUCUGAAAGGAAGGACCUGGGAGAUCUAUUGGCUGAAAUACAAAUCCAUCGAAACUAGCCUUAUGCUAAGAGAUCAGAAUAUUGUACAAAGUCUAGAAAGUUCUAUUUACAUCUAAGUAACUCGAUAACUAGCCUUACGCUAAGAGAUCAGAAUAUUGGACAAAGCCUACAAAGUUCUAAUAUAGGUAACGUAAUGACCAGGUGAGGAUAGUUACAAGCUCGCUUGAGAUCGAAGCCGAUGUAGCCCUGCGCGCAAGAAGAAACUCACCUAUUUCUACUCUACUCUUACUCCUAGGGUUUGAUGGCGUGGCGUCAAAAGAUUGUAUUGAUUGAUUGAUUAUUUGAUACAAAGCUCAUGGGCCUAUAUUUAUACCCUUGAGAAAGCUAAAAUCCUAAUCAGUUAUGACAUGAAUCGUGACAGAAAAUCUAACUAAAGAUAGAUCUCCAUGCUUUCCCUUAUUUGGUGGAGUCGAUUUCACUUCAUAUCGGAUCCCUCCCGAUCUUCUAUCGGCUUCUAGCAUCCGGUCAUCUGCGACUGGCCUUGGUCAACAUCAGGUGUCAACAGACUUAUUUCUUCUACAAGUUCAUCGGCUGUCAGAGCCUUGUCUUAGUCAGUUGACUCUAGUAAAAAAUCGAUGUCAAUACAUGCCCCCCAAUUUUUGAAUAAAAUAUUAUAUUUCAAAAUUCUCUUCUCUUGUCAACAGCUUUUGAAAGAAAAAGAGUCACUGCUGCAAUCAUAAUCUUUUUCCCCGGGUUUUGUGAUAGCACCCUCCUCAUUUUAAGGGAUUCACCAUGUGGAAAUUAUAAUAUAACUGCUUCACCCAUUUCGUUUUCUUCACCAAACCAACUAUUGUCAGCCGCUACAACCAAAAAUCAAUUAUUCCCUUCACAUGCCUAGCGACUGCAUCCAUCACUCAUCGUCACCAUUAGUCUCCAUGUGUCAAGGCUUCUUCAACCAGCAAUGGCGACAUUAUCUUCCAUUCCACAGGUACCAUGUAUCCUAGCCAUUCCUUUCCCCUUUCAACCUGAAAUCCAAUCUAGUCACUAUAUAUCAAACCUGUGUUCUUAAUCAAUACUUGCCCCCUUGUACUUAGAAACACCCUUUUGAUCCCCAUAUCCGAUACGCAAGCAGAAUACUUUCUAGGCCCCAUGGGUAGUGAAGACCCAAUAGAAUCUAUUAAUGCUGAAAUACUUGGACAAAGUCUAGAAAGUUCUAUUUACAUCUAAGUAACUCGAUAACUAGCCUUACGCUAAGAGAUUUAAAUAUUGGAUAAAGCCUAGAAAGUUCUUAUAUAGGUAACUGAAAAGUGUGUUGACGCAAAAAUUGGAUGGUUGACUCCUGCGUACUAACACACGGAACCAGGGAGAAUCUGCUUAGCUACUGUUCGGGUUAUAGCCCUCUCGAUCCGUAGCGUGCCAGUUAAUCUGACCUGCUGAUUGACAAGUAAAAAUGUCAAAUUAAGAGCAAAUCAGCUGGUGUUCCGAAUCGCUCCACGGGACGUAUCAGUAGACAGCCGAUACGGGCAAACGACAAUCAGCUAGAUCAGCCGAUUUGCUCUUGUAUUUGACGUUUUACUUGUCCUUCUCAAUCAGCAGGUCAGAUUGACUCGCACGACGCAGAUCGAGAGGGCUAUAACCUAAACAAGAGCUAAGCAGAUUCUCCCGGGUUUCAUGUCUUAGUACACAGAAGUCAACCGUCUGAUUUUAUCAUCAACACGCUUUUUGGCACGCUCAGUGGGACCCGAUUCAUAUCUUAAUGGUAAUUGGUGAUCAAGUUUCAAACAACGUAUCCACUGGUAGAAAACUGAGCAUUAGUCCCGGUUGGUAAGGGUCAUAUCUCUCGGAUAUCCAUCCGGGAUAAACCAACCGGGACAAAAGGGGGGGGUCUUUAGUCCCGGGUAUUUUAACCGGGAGUAAAGGACCCCCUUUAGUCCCGGUUGGUGUCACCAACCGGGACUAAAGGGCCUGCCACGCCAGGCGCGGGACAGGCCCUUUAGUCCCGGUUGGUGACACCAACCGGGACUAAAGGGGGUCCCUUUAGUCCCGGUUGGAUUUCCCAACCGGGACUAAAGGGGUCCCCUUUAGUCCCGGCUCAAUUCCAACCGGGACUAAAUUGCGCUUGCAUGGCACUGGUGACGCCUGAAUUUUUCAUGCAUGCAUCACGUAUACGUAUAGUAGUACCGCGGCCCUUUUAAUUUGUUAACCUUGUAGUUGAGAUUUUUUUAGAAUGAAUUAAAUCAACUAGUAUUUAAACGAAUGGGAUUUGUAAUUACACAACUACUAUAUAUAUACACAAUCCUUAUACACAAUUCAUAUACACAAUUCAACUAGCUUAAUUAGUACAAAUCGAUCAUAUAUACAAAUAAAUCAAAGUAUCUUCCUACGAUCUUCCCGUCGUGGUGUUGCUGAGAGGAGUGUCUAAUUGUCGUCCAUCGUAAUAAAAUUCUCCUCUUGGAUUUACCACCUCGUCCAUUAUGAAUCCAAUGAGACCUUCACAUAUUGCCGCUACUCUUUCUUCCUUCAAGAGUCCUUGUUGAAUAUUUAACAUCUAUAAUUUGGAAAUUUGUGAAUGUUACAUGAACAAAUACAUAUAAGGAGCUAGAAAAUAAUUAACUAGUAAUAUAUUUAUUUUACGUACUUUAAAGUUGUGCGGCGUCAUCUUCGGUCCCUUGGGUCCCAAAAAACUGUGCAUGUGCUCACAGAUGUAGUAGCCACAUAGGUUAUUCCCGGGUUCCUGUCUUAAGCACUUCAGUGCGGAAAAAAAAUAAGUUAUGAAAUAUUCGUGUUAUACAAUGUAAUAAAUGUGCAGACUUCAUACGUACCGGGAAGUCUGUGUUCCAUGUAAGAUCUUCUUUGAAUGGACCUUUGUGUGUCCUUAUGAAUUGUUUCCAUACGCUGCGGAUUAGAAUAAUGAAUGACAUAGUGUAACAGGGAUAAAAUUUAGGAAAUAAAUUUUUGCAUAGAGAUAAAGGUCCAGAAUUAUUACAAGCCUAGCAUGUCUUGCAAUUCUUGGUAGUCCACCGGAUCUUUCCGUAACGAAUCAAAGACAGUGACGUGGCUUCUUUCAGGCUCAAUUAUAAUAAGGAUCCAGUGGAAGCUGCGUGCGUAAAAUGUUCAUGCAUAUUAGAGCUAACUAACAUGUAGAGAUAAGGAAAAAGACAUCGAAAGUAGACGGUAUACACACACUUACUUGAAGUUGUAUGGAAGUAGUAUGAAAUCCUUGAAUGUUUGUUUGUGUAGGAAAUUGUAUAUUUCGGCAAAGGUUUUUUCCGGCGCUAAUUGUAUCUGUUGUUGGUUAACUACAGAUGGAUCCAUGAAGCCUACAUGUAGGUACGCCUCUCGGCGGCAUGUCUGAAUUAGCAUCCUACAUGAAAUGGAAGAUGAAGUUAGUACGGUGACGCACGCCAAAAUUUACAUGUAGAGAUAAUAAACGGACACUUACAGAAUCCAAGCGCUGAUCAGAGAGACGUCCAGGGCAUCAUGAUGGUACACUUCGUAUAUAUCCUUGAAGUCUAGCCACAGCACUUUCUCCCCUUCACCGUGAAAAUCUAUCGGUUUUACCUUCAUGCCGAUCAUCUCCCUCGAUUUGGCGGAUGCCGUCAUGUACCAUUGAUGGAAUUCGUACAUCUUUGUUGACAGCUUCCGUACCAUUGCCGGCUUCACUAGAGGCUUGCCUAGCUCAUAAGGCCAUCUCGGCUCAGGGGGCGGUGCAGUUGGCGUCUCGACUUGCCCUAUGCAUUCUUCAAGUCCCAGACCUGUUUCUUCCAUGAACUUCAAUAUAUUUUCUUGUUGAUCCAAGGGCAUUGCUUUUACCCGUUGAGCAUCUUUCUUUGAUAAAUGGCUGAGGUCGGGGACUGAACCGCUGGAGGAUGAUUUUCCUUUUCUUUUAUCCUUUUCAUCAGCCUUUACUAGAGCCCGUUCAUAGUUUGACAAGAGUGGUAUCCUUUUCUUGGCUCCUUCCUCCAUCCUGAUAAAAAAGUUUAAAUCCCGCCGACUUACUGGCGGUGGCUCCAUCUCCCUUGCCCUUUUUAAUUCGGCUUGUUUCUUGAACCACUCACUGGCCUCUCGUUGGAUUUCUGCCCACUGUUCCGCAUGAGACAUUGCCUCAAAGCGUUCCUUGCGAGCCACUUCAGGGUCGACCUUUGUUUUCUUCUUUCGAGGCUGUCUUUGCUUGGGAGGCGGUGCUCGUGACUUCUUGAGUGGUGCUGCAGGUUCCUUCGAGGGGGCCGCUCUUGGUGCCAGCGACGGUGAUCGGGGAGGGGUGUUGUUAUUGUCGUCGUCGCUCCCAGCACCAGGAUGUGGUGGAGAUGGAGACCUUGAUAUAGAUGGAAGCGACGGUCCUGGAGCAGGAGAUGCCGGUCUCGAGGUAUGAGGAGAAGGUCGCUGCUCGGGAUCUACGGGGAGCGGUCUUGAGGUCUGAGGAGAUGGCUCCGUGCGGGAAAUAAUGAUGUAGCGUUUCUUCCAUAGAAUGAUCCCAUGAAGCGCAUCUGCCAAUGUCUUUUCCCCGUCGCCUCCCGGGAAGUCGAGCUCUAGACCUUCAUACUGGGCAUCUACUAUUUGCUCGACGCAGACGCUGGCGUAGCCUGUUGGAAUGUCCAUGCCAUGACUGCUCUGCCCUGCCAGCGUUGGUAACGCACUCCCAUACGCUACCUGUACAUAUAGCAGAAGUAAACAAGUUGAACUCCGAUCUCGAGGCCUGGAUCAAUUGACAAGAUUGCAUAAAUAUUAUGUAUAAGUAUACCUUAAUAGUGAGGUUGCCGACCGGUGCAUGCAGCUCACAUGAGGUCCGUUGCGUGAUGGCAUCCACGGGGAACCGUUGCUCCUCCACGGGUAACCUGGGCGUCUGCGCAUCGGGGACCCCUGUAGAAGCACAACUGCUCCCGAGGCGUUGAGAAGGGCUGGCGGUGUGAGGAUUCGGCAGUGCUCCAGAUUGCGCCAACUCCGCAACUGCGUCGGCCACCCGCCGAUUGAUUUCAUCCAUCAUUCGUUGUUCUAGCAUCUGCCGCCAGCUCUCCUCCAUCUGUUCCUUUCUUCGCUUCCGGCUUCUGUAAGAGGCGCUGUCGCCUCGGAAAGCGAACUUCCACGGAACCACCCCGAACCCCCGGCAACGUCCUGGGUGCUCUGGAUUACCGAGGGCCAAUGUGAGCUCAUCAUUUUCUCGGUCCACCCUCAACCUCCCAGCCUUGGAAUCUUCAAUGUUCUUCAUGAGAUGUUCGGCCUUCUCACGUAUUCUGUCAUUGAAAAUCAGCGUCCCAUCCUCUUGGCUUAGGGAGCCUCCAUGAGCGUAGUACCAGUUCUUUGAUCGUUCGGGCCAUUCAAUAGUUGCAGGUAUGAUUCCCCGUUCGAUCAGAUCUUGUUCCAUCUUUCUCCACUUGGGAAUUGCUGAGCCAUACCCACCUCGCCCCAAAUGAUGGUGGUAGCCCUUCUGACUAGCAUUUGCAACGUUGGUCGUGAUCUUUUUCACACCUUCUUCACUCCUCUUGUAUUCAACAAAUGCAUCCCAGUGGUCCCUCAACUUGGGCCACGCGUUGAAGUCUGGAGUUUUGCCCUUCUUGAUGUAGUGGGUGUCCAGCAUCUUCUUGAAUGUCUGGAAUUGAGUAGCCAUCUUCUUAAGUGUCCACGCUUUGACAUCCUUCUCGCUAUAAUCUUCGGGGAAUGUGAAAUGCCUCUUCACGUCUUCCCACAGCAUAUUCUUUUCUGUCUCUGGAAGGGCGUACGGAUUAUCGCUUCUGCCCUUCCAUUCUCUGAUGCUGAUAGGCACGUUGUCCCGGACAAUUGCCCCGAUUUGACUAACGUACUUCUUUGCGACUUUCUCGGGAGCAACCGGCCUGCCCUCAUCUGUAACUUCGGUGAUGACAAGCCUCCCUUCCAUCACCUUUGUACGACCUCGGGUCUUCUGCCCUUGUGUCGAUCCGGAGGGCUAACAGUUUAAGAUUCGUUAAUUAGUACGUACUAGUAGCGGUGGCGUGAAACAAUACAAGAAUGGUUGUAUAUACCUCGCCGGAACCUUCCGCCACGGCAAGUUGUUGCUGCGGCUGUUGCUCUUCAUUCACAUCGGCAGACAUGUUGAGGAACAUGUCCGCCUGGGUGCCCUCUUCAUCCGUGUAUGAUAGUGGAACGUUGUCGCCACUAUCAUCACCAGCGAUUAUCUGCUCCAUGAUAUACCUUGCGGUCUCAUCGUCUGCCAUUUCAACUAUUGCUGCAAACAUACAUGGAAUCAUACAUGACAGUCAUAGAAAUCGUCUUAAUACAAAUUUGUAUAUAAUCACAGUUCGGAAUCAUACAUGUAUAUAAUGAAAUCAUAAAAUAACAUGAAUCGUACAAAGUCCGGAAUCUUUAUACAAAUUUCUAUGAAUUUAUACAAAUUUCUAUGAAUUUAUACAAAUUUCUAUGAAUUUCUAUGAAUUUCUAUGAAUUUCUAUGAAUUUCUAUGAAUUUCUAUGAAUUUAUACAAAUUUCUACGAAUUUCUAUGAAUUUCUAUGAAUUUCUAUGAAUUUAUACAAAUUUCUACGAAUUUCUAUGAAUUUCUACAAAUUUCUACGAUUUUCUAUGAAUUUCUACAAAUUUCUACGAAUUCCUACGAAUUUUGACGAAUUUCUACGAAUUUUGACGAAUUUCUACGAAUUUCUACGACGGCGAUAAGGGCGGCGAAGGCGGGACGGCGGCGGUCAGGGCGGCGGAGGCGGGACGGCGGCGGUCAGGGCGGCGGAGGCGGUUCACCGGAACCACGGGCGGUGCCUAAGCUACUACGUUGUGAUGGGCGGCAGGACGGCGGCGAUCACGGCGGCUACUCGGCGGCGAUCACGACGGCUACAAGGCGACUGUCACGGUAGCUACUCGGCGGGACGGCGGCGAUCACGACGGCGGGACGGUAGUUAACAACCUAACUACAAAUCUAACUUAACAAACUAACUAGAAAUCUAAAAAUCUAACUUAACAAAAUUAGAAAUCUAAAAAUCUAACUUAACAAAAUUACAAUUCCAUCUAAAAAAACAAAAUUAAAAAUUAAAAGAAAACGGCCAGCUCUCCCGGCGCACCGGCCGGCGCGGCAGACCUCUCGCGCGCGGGGCGGCGGCCGGGGCGGCGGGACGGCGGCGGCCGGGGCGGCCUGACGGCGGCGGCUGGGGCGGCGACGAGGACGAAGACGACGACGGCGGGAUGACGGCGGCCGAGGCGAAGACGACGACGGCGGCCGGCGAGGGGCGACGAGGAUGGAGCUGGCGACGAGGGGCGAUGCAGCCGGCGAGGGAGGCGGACGGGCGGCGACGGGCGGAGAGGGAGGCGGACGGGCGGCGACGGGCGAGGGAGGCGGACGGGCGACGACGACGGCGCAAUGCGGGACUUCGACGGCGCAAUGGGGGACGACGACGGCGGCGGCCGGCGAGGGAGGCGGACGGGCGGCGACGGGCGGAGAGCGCGGGACUUGCGAAAAUUUCGCUAAGUGUGGAACUGGCGGGGGGUAGAAGGGAGUACAGUGCUUUUAACCCCCCCCCCCUUUUAUCCCGGUUCGUAAUGGCACCCGGGACAAAAAGGGCCUUUUGUCCCGGGUCCUGUCACCAACCGGGACAAAAGGCCCCCCCUUUUAUCCCGGUUGGUGACGGGACCCGGGAUAAAAGGGUGCGCUCCCAGCCCCACCUGGCGGGGGCACCCUUUUAUCUCGGGUCCCGUUACCAACCGGGACAAAAGGCCCCCCCUUUUAUCCCGGUUGGUAACGGGACCCGGGACAAAAGGGUGCCCCCGCCAGGUGGGGCUGGGAGCGCACCCUUUUAUCCCGGGUCCCGUCACCAACCGGGAUAAAAGGGGGGGGCCUUUUAUCCCUGUUGCAAAUGGCAACCGGGAUAAAAGGGUACGUUCGGGCGGGAGACGAAACGUACCCUUUUAUCCCGGUUGCCGUUUGCAACCAGGAUAAAAGGGGGGCCUUUUAUCCCGGUUGCUGUUAGCACCCGGGACAAAAGGUCCUUUUUCCUAUUUUUCUUCUCCCGCCUGUUUUUUGGAAAUGGAUUUUAUUUAACCUUUUCACUGCAUUCCAGGAUGAAAAACAAAACCUUCUCAGAUUUUGUACAUGCAAAAAUAUAUUUAAUUAACGAGUAAAUUGACAAUAAGUAUGAAGUAAUCAUUAUUUCUAUACCAACUCAUAUAGCCUGUAAAAUAUUUAUUUUACUGCAUUGCUGUGAUCAAUAAAUUAUUCAAUUAAAUUUUUUGAAUGCGCAGAAAAAUCCAUGUUAGUAUGUGGUUAACAAUGUUCAUGUAUAUCUAAAAAAUCUUCACCUAACAAAUUUAAUUACAAAUUUUAUCAAUUAAUACACAAAGGUCAUGCACAUUUAACGCAUUACAAUACAACGUUGUAAAAUUUCUUCUUCACGAAAGUUCCUUGAUCAUGAUCGCGGCGUAAGUACGGAGCCUCUUCUUUGGACAGCAGGAUGCUUGGAUCAACUUCAACGUCGAAUGGAGGCAUGCCAUCAAACUGAUCAUAAUCAUCUGAUUGGUCUGUUUUAUCCUCGACUCCCACGAUUUUUCUUUUACCUAGAAGAACUAUGUGGCACUUUGGCUCCCAUGUCUCUUCUGGAUUCCUCUUGGGUUUGCUGCACAUGUCCUUCACAUAGAACACCUGAUGCACAUCAUUGGCAAGUACGAAUGGGUCAUCACUGUAUCCAGUCUUGCUCAGAUCUACUAUUGUCAUUCCGUACUGAUCUUUGGUGACGGCAGUUAGCUUCACCCAAUUGCAAAGAAAUAGAGGGAUGUACAGCGGUCCGUAUUCGAGUUCCCAUAUCUCCUGUAUGAAACCAUAAUACGACUCCUUGCUAUUAUUUCUGUCCAUGGCAUCUAUGCGGACACCACUAUUCUGGUUCGUGCUUUUCUGGUCCUGGGCUCUCGUGUAAAAUGUGUAACCAUUUAUCUCAUAGCCUUGGAAUUUGACGAUUGUGGUAGCAGGUCCCCUGGCUAACCAAGCAAGCUGUGGGUGAAUCUCAGAGUUACCCAUAAGUUGUUGGCGCAACCAGGAGGGAAAAGUUUCCAUGUGAUGACGGGUAAGCCAAGCAUCGGAUUUGGUCGGGUUUUUGGAAGCUACCAUCUGCCUGUGCUGCUCGAUAUACGGAGACACAAAGGAUGACUGUUGUAGAACAGUGUAGUGUGCCUUGUCGAACAAAUUAGUAUCAUUGCUCAAACUUGAUUUCCUUCCAAGGGUGCCCAUUCCUCGGAGCCUCCCCUCGUGGCGUGAAGUUGGAACCCCAAUCGAGUCAAUUGAAUCAAUAAAAUCAACACAAAACUCGAUCACCUCCUCUGUUCCAUAUCCCCUGGCGAUGCUUCCUUCUGGACGAGCACGAUUACGAACAUAGUUUUUUAGGACUGCCAUGAACCUCUCGAAAGGCCACAUAUUGUGCAGGUAUACAGGUCCGAGAAUACCAAUCUCUUUUACUAGGUGAACCAGUAAGUGCGUCAUAUUAUUGAAGAAGGAUGGUGGAAAUAACAACUCAAAACUGACAAGACAUUGCACCACAUCGUUCUGUAGCUUUGAUAGCUUGGAUGGAUCGAUUGCCUUCUGCGAAAUCGCAUUGAGAAACGCGCAUAGCUUUACGAGCGGCAACCGGACAUUUUCGGGUAGAACACCCCUCAGUGCAACCGGAAGCAACUGGGUCAUCAACAUGUGGCAGUCAUGAGCCUUGAGAUUUGUAAACUUCUUUUGUUUCAUAUUUAUUAUUCCCUUUAUAUUCGAGGAGUACCCAGACGGGACCUUCAUACUAUUCAAGCAUUCAAACAUACUAUCCUUCUCCUCCUUGCUGAGAGUGUAACUGGCAGGACGUAAGUAGUGCUGUCCAUUAUCUCUCUUUUCCGGAUGUAGGUCAUCUCGUUGCCCCAUGGCUUUCAGGUCCUGUCUUGCUUCCAAUGUAUCUUUUGAGGUUCCAUAAACACCCAUGAAGCCUAGCACGUUCACGCAAAGAUUCUUCGUCAGGUGCAUCACGUCUAUUGCGUUGCGAACCUCUAGGAUUUCCCAAUAAGGUAGCUCCCAAAAUAUUGACUUUUUCUUCCACAUGGGUGCAUGUCCGUUAUCAUCGUUCGGAAUAGGUUGGCUACCAAGUCCCUUUCCAAAGACUACAUGUACAUCCUUCAUCAUCUCGAACACACGCUUUCCAUUACGGUGUGCAGGUUUUUUACGAUGGUCUGGCGUCCCUUUGAAAUGCAUCCCGCUCUUUCUCAGCUGGUGGUGAGCAGGGAGAAAUCGACGAUGACCCAUAUAGACGACCUUCUUACAGUGCUUCAAGUACAUGCUAUCUGUGUCAUCUAAACAGUGGGUGCAUGCCCGAUAUCCCUUAUUUGUCUAUCCUGAAAGGUUACUCAAUGCAGGCCAAUCGUUGAUGGUUACGAACAACAGUGCUCGUAGAUUAAAGAUCUCUUGUCUAUCCUCAUCCCACACACGUACACCUUCUUCCUUCCAGAGCUGUAAAAGGUCAUCAACCAACGGCCUUAGGUACACGUCAAUGUCGUUGCCGGGUUGUUUUAGGCCUUGGAUAAGCGCCGGCAUCAUAAUGAACUUCCGCUUCAUGCACAGCCAAGGAGGAAGGUUGAACAUACAAAGGGUCACAGGCCAAGUACUAUGACCACUACUCAACUCACCGAAUGGAUUGAAUCCAUCAGUGCUUAAACCAAACCUUAUGUUCCUUGCUUCACUUUCAAAGUCUGGGAAUGUUCUAUCAAUUGAUCUCCACUGUGCCCCAUCUGCGGGGUGUCUCAGCAUCUCAUCUUCCUUACGGUCUUCUUUGUGCCAUCGCAUCAACUUAGCAUUCGCCUUGUUCCUGAACAAGCGCUUCAAGCGUGGUAUUAUAGGGAAAUACCACAUCACCUUCACGGGAACUCUCUUCUUGGGAGACUGCCCCUCGACAUCACCAGGAUCAUCUCGCCUGAUCUUAUACCGCAGGGCUUCGCAGACGGGACAAGCAUCCAAUUCCUCGUAUUCAUCACCACGAUAGAGGAUACAGUCAUUAGGGCAUGCGUGUAUCUUCUGAACAUCCAAUCCGAGAGGGCAAAUAAUCUGUUUAGCUUCAUAUGUUGUGGACGGUAAUUCAUUAUUCUCGGGGAGAAUCUUCUUGACAAUUCUCAACAUCCCCUGAAAUGCCUUAUCGGACACACCAUUUUUUGCCUUCCAUUGCACAAAUUCUAGUGUCGUACCUAGUUUUUUAUGGCCCUGCUGGCAACCUGGGUACAACAAUUUUUGGUGAUCAUCUAUCAUGCGCUGCAACUUUGCUGCUUCCUUCUCAGUUUCGCAAUCUCUGUAUGCAUCUCGUAUCACCUGACCAAGGUCAUCAGUAGGGUCAUUUUCUGCAAACUCAUCUUCAUCAGCCUCGCCCAUUGUAGUACCUGCAAAAGCUUGGCCUGCAACCCAGUCCGGAAUGGUGUCAUCUUCCUCCUCCUCCUCGCCAUCUUCCAUUACAACCCCUAGUUCACCGUGCUUGGUCCAAACCAAAUAGUUAGGCAUGAAACCGUAUUUAAACAAGUGGCUGUGAAUAGUCCCCCAGGAAUUCUUUGAAUACUCCUUCCUGUUAUUGCAUUGGAAGCAUGGACAACAUACGAACCCAUUCUCUGGCUUGUUCGCUUUUGCCACUUCGAGAAAAUAAUGCAAGCCAUCAAUAAACACCUUGCUCCGCCUGUCUGCAUUAUACAUCCAAUGCCGGUCCAUCUGCAUCGUAUUACGCACGAAAAUGGAUUACACUUGACAAUGGAUUACGCGUGAAAAUCGAUUAAAGAUCCAAACAACAUGGUACAAUACAACAACAUGAAGAUCCAAAUACACAUAUUUAAAUUAAAGUCCCAAACACUGCAUAAGUUGUUCAACUUGAAGACCGUGAUCAUCUCGUGAGGAUGUCCUCAACUGGGCGGCACCGCACUUCGUCAUUAAAGAGGUUAGAUGCUACGGAAAAGGGGACACGGUCACAAUGUCCGUAUCCACUCUUUCUCGUAGAAUCGAACCUCCUUCUUGACAUACGUUGCUGCUCGGCGGAGAACAUCCUCGGCGAGAUGAACACGGUAUGCAAGUUCAACAAGUAGCAGAAGUCAUCUAUGUACAAAAAUUCUUUCCUUACCACUACAGAAGUUGUUGAACUUGAAGACCGUGUUCAUUUCGCGAGGAUGUCCUCAGCUAGGCGGCACCGCACUUCGUCAUGAAAGAGGUUAGAUGCUACGGAAAAGGGGACACGGUCACGAUGUCCGUAUCCACUCUUUCUCGUAGAAUCGAACCUCCUUCUUGACAUACGUUGCUGCUCGGCGGAGAACAUUCUCGCCGAAAUGAACACGGUAUGCAAGUUCAACAAGUAUAUGGAUUUAAAAAACCAUAUUGAAUUUGAUAAGAUAAACCGUCUAGACAAGGUAGCAUCAUUUUUAAACCACUGAAAUAAUGCAUACUAUAUAUGACACAUCAAUCUCCCUCACAUUCUAGCUCAAAAUACCUCUCCAUUUUUCUACUUCAUCAUCACAUUGUAGCAAAUAAUCUUUCCAUCUCCAAAGCAUAAAUCAAAGCAUAACACGAGGAUGAAGUAGCAAACCUUCGCAGCACUUGUUGGCUGAGUCAAAUUCCCACGAAAAUGAGGGAAAAAAGUUCGGGCAGCACCUCCCUUGCUUGGGCACCACCGGAGAGUAGGUGAAGCUCAGCUCUCUAUCAAUGUGCUGGACUGCUCGGGCUGGAGGAAGAAGAAAGUCUCUGUCUCGGGGUAUAGUGGGGGAUGAGUUUUAAUCCCGGUUAAAAACUCCAACCGAGACAAAAGGAAACACCUUUUGUCCCGGUUGGAAAGUUAGUCCCGGUUGGAGGAUCCAACCGGGAUAAAAGGGACACCCUUUUAUCCCGGUUGGAGGCACCAACCGGGACUAACCCUUUUAUCCCGGUUGGUGCCUCCAACCGGGAUAAAAGGGUGUCCCUUUUAUCCCGGUUGGAUCCUCCAACCGGGAUAAAAGGGUCCCGCCACCGACGGCCCCCGCUAGCCGUUGCAACCGGGACUAAAGGGGGGCCUUUAGUCCCGGUUGCAAUUACCAACCGGGACUAAUGCUCCCCUCCAAAUUCCCGCACCCCGGCGCACCCCCUUUUGUCCCGGGCCACUUUUAAACCGGGAUAAAAGGGGGUUGAUCGAAAGUCAGUUCUCUACUAGUGAUCGGUGACUCCGCUCGAGGAGAAUUGUUUAUAUCAAGCAUAGAAAUGACAACGUUGGAAGUGGAGGAUAUAUUUUGCUCUGUUGAUUUAAUUGCCGCGAGAGUGGCGGACAAGUUCUAAUGAUUGAAGAUCAGAAGCGUCUCGUGGAGAAUUUUUCAGAAGCUAUAUUUGGAAUUAUUAUAUUAUCUCAGGAGCAGAUUAAAUAUAACGCCACCACUGAAAGCCGAUGAGAUGUAUCUAUCGGCUACAUGCUAUUCAGAUGAAUUUGAUGACAGAUUAAUUACGGAGGAGACCGACCGAUACAACAUUAUGGUUUCUUACUGCUGAUCUGUUAUGAAAGAGGAUGUGAGAAGCUGAUAAUCAAGCAACAAUAAAAUGAUAUACACGCAGGGCAUUAAAUAUUGAGUUAAUGAUUGGGAGUACUACCAUUAUCUUAUGAAAAGUCCAUCGGCUAACCAAACAGCGUCAGCCGAUGGAAGCAAAUAGUGUCAGCCGAUAGAAUGAUGUUAUAUAAGUAUAUAUAUCGGCCUCCGAGCCAAUGGGAAGUAGGAACUAUCAGCCGAUGCACACAUCCAUGGACAUAGCCGAUAAGACAUUGUAUCGGCUGCUUGGCAAAUAAAAAUAGCAUCGGCUGACCGCUUGUUAAAAUAUUAUCGGCCGAUUGCUUGGCAAAAUAGUAUUGGCUGACUGCUUGGCAAAUAAAAAAAUAAUAGGUUGACCAAAAAAGGAUAGCAUUGCCUGAUUGCUUGGCAAAUAAAAAAAAUUACGUCGGCUGAUUGGUUCCAGCAAAAUAGUAUCGGCUGCUUGUUGAUCAGAAAAAGCCGAUACUGUUACAGCUCCCGCAACUGUGCUUUGCUGUCAUCGGCUGGGUUGUUCGUGCUCCAUCUGCAAAUAUUUGUCCCGGCUAGAAAGUAUCGUACGUGCAUUGGGAUUCGGCAGUACAAAUCACGUACACGCGUAUGGUCUGCUCAGAAGCUGUCUGUUCGACGAAGUUCCAGGCCAAUGGUGGAGACUUGAUGACCAUGGUGACCUGCAUUAAUCAACAUGAAGUAUGUAUCGGCUGUUCGGUGAUUGGUAGCAAAUCAGCUUUCUCAUAGCCGGUGACAUAUGGGGCAAGAAAUAUCAGGCUUAAAAAAGGACAGUACGAUCAAUGUCGAAAGUUGUAGCCGACGGUUCUAUUAUUGUGCAGUCGAUGGAACAUAGAAGAUGCAUCUGAAUGAGCAAAAGGAAGGGAGCCGAUAGAAGGGAAUUUAAGUUGCAUGAGAUCCAAUUAAAUUAAGAUGACGAGAGGUGUUGACAUCGAAUCAUCGGACUUCUACGAAGUCUUCAUACUCCGAAACUAGGGAGUCUGUGUUAACACCAAAAUUUAGAAAUAUGCUGAUGCAAAAAAAUAAUGAAAUCUCCUAAAUAAGGCUCAAGAAAGAAAAAGCAAGAAAAGAAAAUCAAUCGCACGCGGCAAGAAUUGAAUAAAAUAUUCUAGAGGUAGAGUUGGUUAGGAUAAGCUUAAUUAGGGAUAGAGUUGGAUUAGUUAGAGAUAGUAUUUUGAUUAGAAAAGAUUGUGUACAUGACUUGUACGUGGUGCGUCAGAGGCCAUCCGCCCUAUAAAUAUAAGGGGUCGUGGCCAUUGUAAUUAUCAUCACACGAUCAAUAUACAACAUAUUUAUCUUUUACCUUUUCGGCUUCACGCCAUUGUAUUAGGAGUAGGAGUAAUGUAGCUUCCUGACGAGUUCCUUCUAGCAAGCUGUGCUGCAUUGACCUUGAUCUCUGGCGAGCUGCAAAGUUCCGUCACCAGGUGUUCUAGGCUUUAACCACCGGGCGCAUCGCUUGUGGUUUCGUCUAGUUUCAUCUACAAGGUAUCGAAUAUCAUGGAUCUUUAACUUACGCAUCGCUUCUGUCUUGAUCUACGGUAUUCACCAGUUAUCCUGCCUUGGUUAAGUCUGCAUCGGCUGAUAUUUAUCUGUUCUAUCAUCUUGCCGUUCAGUUUGCUUUAAUUAGCUUUAGAUCGGUUCAUUAUAGAUGAUAGAUCGCUUAAUAGCCUGUUGCAUCUUAAUCUUGGUUACCCCUUCAAGUGCUGUUGGGAUUAAGUUUCGUUAUGAUUGGAUUCAUCGGCUGGUGGGGUUGGUGGGGUUCAGAUUAACAUCGUGCUAAAUAUUUCUAGACUGCAACUACUGGACGCAUCGCUGUGGUUUCAUCUAGAGAUAUUGGUAGAGAGUUUAGUUUAGAUCUCAUCGGUUCGUGGCUCUAGCUAUGGUGGAGCGGCAGCUGAAUAGCAUCCUGUUUUCUAUCGGUCGCCUGGCCGAUAGUUAUUGCAAAAUAUAUUAAAUCGCCUGGAUGGCCGAUGGAUCACUCACGCUCGUCAAGGAUCAUAUCGGCCUGAUCGGCCAGUUGCCUCGGACUUCAAAGGAUUAUUUUCACCUUGUCAGUUGAAUGGUCAAACUGGCUGGCACGCCCGCGCACACCAUGCGCGCCGAUUUGGAUUUUGCACUGGAGUUAAGUAGAUCUUCCAGGUCCUCAUGUGGUGACGAAGGAUCCACCACCAUCAGGAUUUUGCGUCAACACAUUUUGGCACGCCCAGUGGGACACGGUUAUAAGGUUCAUAUUUUUAUUCAUAUAAAAAAGCAUCUUCGGCAUCAUCGGCCAAAUGAGUGUUCAUCGGCUUGUUAGAAUUAAUUCAAUAUAAUAUUUCAGCAAAAGCAGCCGAUGUAGCGAUUGGAGAUAAGGCCAAGUCAAGUCUGCGUGUAUACGCAUGUUCCGGUGGGAUCAUCUUCAUAAAUGCCAAUGACGAUUAGAGAUGAAGCUUCCUGCAAAAUGAUUGGCUACUCUAUCCGGGAAGAAUUGCUUUUUUAUGAGGCAUAUAUAGAGACCCAUGUUGCAAUUAGGGGGCGUAUUCGUGCAUUGGCUGAAAUAAAAAAAUGCAUCGGCAUAUUGAAAAUUGCAUCGGCCGAUUGACAGUCGUAUCAGCUGAUUGGAAAAAUAAAAAGGGAUCAGGGAUCCGCCGAUUGAAAAUUGCAUCAGCUGAUGGAAAAUGAGAGCAACAGUUACAAUAUUUUUUUUAAAAGAAAGCAAGUAUCGGCAAGCAGUAGCCGAUGGAUUUGUAUUUCAGCCAAUGGGGUUUUUGUUUCAGCUGAUAGUACUACUGGCUGAUGGCAAGUCCAAUGGAGUUAAAAUUGCAUUGACUGAUUGAAAUAAAAAUUAAGUAUCGGCUAAUUUAUGGCCAAGUAGCAUCUGCUGAUUUGUUGCAAAGUAGUUUCGGCUGAUUUAUGGCAAAAUAGAAUCGGCCGAUUUAUGGCAAAGAAGCCAAUAGACAAAAGCAUCGGCUGGUAGAGAAGCCGAUUGAGCAAGCAUCUGUUGAUGAGCUAUGUAUGGGAAAAAGUAUUGGCUGCUUAAACAAUUGACAAAAGCCAAUUGGUCAGACUGAGAAGCCAACUGGGAAAGCAUCGAUCGAUGGAUUGCGUAUGGGAGAGAGUAUCGGUUGAAGUCUUUAGUAUUGACUGCUAGAUAUUUGAGCAAGCGUCGGCCGAUUGACUGCUUGGUAAAAAAAACAUCGGGCUGAUUGCUUGGUUAAUAAAAAAAUUGCAUCGUUCAAGCAAAGAUUGCAUGGGCUGAUUGGUUCAAGCAGAAUAGUAUCGGUUGCUUAUAGAAUAUAUCGGAUAUUAAUUUCGAAGCAUGAAAAUAUUCAUACUCCGAAACUGGGGGGCCUGUGUUGACAACAAAAGCUUGCUGGUUACUGCAUCAAGUUUUGGUGUCAACAUACUUGAUCUUUUGUUUCCAUUGCCAGCGGAUUCAUCGGCUCAGAGUGGGAUCAAGACAUCAAGCUGAUGGAGUUCUUUAUAUUUCAAGAGGAGUCAUGGAGUUCUUUAUAUUUCAAGAGUAGUCGAUGGUGCUUUGAAUAUUGCAACCAGACGUCAUUGGCUCUAAAGAUACCGAAUCAUCGGACUUCUAUGAUCAGUUUCGGAACAUGAAGCCUUCAUACUACGAAACUGGGGGCCUGUGUUGACACCGAAUCAUCGGACUUCUAUAAUUAGUUUUGGAACAUGAAGCCUUCAUACUUCGAAACUGGGGGGCCUAUGUUAACACCAAAAUUUAGAAAUGUGCUCUGAAAGGAAGGUAUCGGCCGAUGAUGCAAAAAAAUAAUGAAAUCUCCUAAAUAAGGCUGAAGAAAGAAAAGCAAGAAAAGGAAAUCAACGCACACGGCAAGAAUUGAAUAAAAUAUUCUGGAGAUAGAGUUGGUUAGGAUAAGCUUGAUUAGAGAUAGAGUUGGAUUAUUUAGAGAUAGUAUUUUGAUUAGAAAAAAUUGUGUACAUGACUUGCCUUGUACGUGGUGCGUCAGAGGCCAUCCGCCCUAUAAAUAUAAGGGGUCGUGGCCAUUGUAAUUAUCAUCACACGAUCAAUAUACAACAUAUUUAUCUUUUACCUUUUCGGCUUCACGCCAUUGCAUUAGGAGUAGGAGUAAUGUAGCUUCUCGACGAGUUCCUUCUAGCAAGCUGGGCUGCAUCGACUUCGAUCUUCGGUGAGCUGCAAGUUCCGUCACCAGGUGUUCUAGGCUUUAACCACUGGGCGCAUCGCUGUGGUUUCGUCUAGUUUCUUCUACCAGUUACCGAGUAUCUUGGAUCUUUGACUUAUGGCACAUCGCUUCUGUCUCGAUCUACGGUAUUCACCAGUUAUCCCGCCUUGAUUAAGCUUGCAUCGGCUGAUAUGUAUCUGUUCUUUCAUCUUGCCGUUCAAUUUGCUUUAGUUAGCUUUAGAUCGGUUCAUCAUAGACAAUAGAUCAUUUAAUAGCAUGUUGCAUCUUGAUCUUAGCUAUCCUUCGAGUGUUGUUGGGAGUAAGUUCCGUUGUGAUUGGAUCCAUCAGCUAGCAGGGUUUAGAUUAACAUCCUGCUAAAUAUUUCUAGACUGCAACUACCGGGCACAUUGUUGUGGUUUCACCUAGAGAUAUUGGUGGUGACGUUAGUUUAGAUCUCAUCGGCUUGUGGCUCUAGCUAUGGCGGGGCAACAACUCAACAACAUCCUGUUUUCAAUCGACCGUCUAACUGAUAGCUAUUGUAAAUUAUAUUAAAUCGGCUGGAUGACGAUGAAUCACUCACAUUCAUCAAGGUACUGGAAUCGGCUUCACAGCCGAUAUAUUUGUCAUGAUUUAUUUUGUUGCACCAUUAUCGCUACUGUGCUAGGAUUAUAUCGGCCUAAUCGGCCAGUUUCCUCGGACUUCACAACGACUAUCAUCUCCUUGUCAGUUGAAUGGUCAAACUGACUGGCAUGCCCGCGCACACCACACGUGCCGAUUUGGAUUCUGCACUGGAAUUAAGCAGAUCUCCCAGGUUCUCAUGUGCUGAUGCAGGGUCCACCACCGCCAGGAUUUUGUGUCAACACCUUGUAAUCUUCCUUUGAUUUCCUCAAUGAUUCGAAGACAAUAACCUUGCUUGUAUAAAUGAUAAUUAUAAGGAGAACCUAGUGGAAACUGUGUAUUCAUAUUAGAACUACCUAUGGUUAAUUAGGUUAGGAAAGGAAAUCGAAAAUAGACCGUACCCACACUUACUUAAAGUUGUUGGGCAGUAGUAUGUAAUGCUUGUAAUUCUGUUACUCCAAGAAUUUGUAUAUGUGGUCCAAUGUAGACUUUGGUUGAUCCCAUAUCUGUUGUUGGUUAAAUAAGUGUUUCUGGCCAUUUCUAGCCGUUAGAACCGGAACUAAAGGGGGCUCUUUAGUACGGGUUGAUAUUACUAACCGGGACUGAAGAGCCCCCAUUACAGUUGGUUUUUGGACGCGGAACUAACAACUCCUUUAGUCCCGAGUCCAAAAACGACUGAGAUAGAAGAUCCUUUCUCUACCGUGAAUAUUGCCAGAAAGAAUUGAAAGAGACCGCUUGCUAAAAAUAUGUCAUAGAUGUAGACCAAGCUACCAAGGAGGUAGACCAAACAUGAUACACACCAUGCGUACCUUGCUGUGCAGACUAUGCAUAGACAAGACACCCGACCACAUGUUGGCCUCGGUCACAUCAAAAGAAUCAUGUAGGCCACCAAUAAACUACUUGAAGCGUCAUUCCGUAUCGUAUAUGCAUUGCCGGUUCAUCUGCAUUACAUUACAUAAAGUAGUAUUAACUAUUUGAAUAAAAUGAACCAAUUUAAAAGUAAUGUGUUGUACUCUACUAUAGAAAGCCCUAUCACUGUCGGAUCCAGAAACAUCAUUGUUGAUGGUCGUUAAGUACCAAGACGGUCAAUAUUCUCAAGAAUAAUGGAGAAUUGGCAUUUCUUACACACAUAUUUGGUUUUGAACAAUGUAGUCCCACAUGUCCUUGGAGAUUAUUUGGGUGUGGGUGAAAUAAUACAAAAAGAAGGAGAAAACACACUCCCAUGGUGAAGAAACAAAACUCCGACCAAUGAGAGAUAGCCACAGGGGCAGCACACGGAUCCAUGGGCCCACAAACCGCAUCAAACUGUCUUACCAAGGCGGGUAGCACCCACAACCAUGAUUAGGACCCACCUGGAUGUCUACCAAGAAGAAGGUUGUGAGUGGGGCCAGGAGGGGUUCGGCUGAAUCAUCUCUAGCUCCCCUCAUCCCCAGCUGGUGCAUGGCGGUGGUUAAUGGUGUCCCUACAUCGGUUAGAGGAGAUUCCCCCAAAUAUUCCUCCUGUAAACCACCUGUAUGGACCUAUACAUAGAGGGGUGUGCUCUCCAAUCCAACACACACCACAAGUUUAAUCACUCUCUCCCUCUUUAAUUUCCAUGUUUAUGGAGUUAGCCUAGAGUAGCUCUGCUCAAGGUUCCAAGUCCACUUGGAGUUAAGCAUAUGUCUCUUGUAUCGUUAUUUCCCAGAUUGACUUUAUGCUUAGUUCUUAUAUGCAUGAGUUAGUCUAAUAGCCUUGCUCUAUUGAUAUGCUCGGCUUAUAUGCUCGUAUGCUAGUCAUAUACCCUUGCUGCCGUAGUAUAGGCUUAUAUGCUCUCAUGUGUGCCUUUAGACCUUGCUACAAUAUAUACUUGUUGUGUAUACAUACCAUGUAUAGGCUAGUCGAUCUAUACCAUGGCAUUGGUUCAAUAGCCAUGUUUUUGGUGGCUCCAACCCUAGUCAGAAUAGCUCGGGACAGCUAGAGUGUUGUUAAAAAUGCAAGAGUGAUGGUUGGGUUGUUUAGCAUCGUUGGAUAUGGGUUUUCCCCACGGGUUUCUAAGAGUAGGCGGCAGCUAGUGACAGCCCUGUCCGUCCUUCGUAAUCCCCCCACAUUCAAGUACGCCAUAGAAGUUCAUAAAUUAGCAGUAACUACACCGGCAGACCGGUAGGGUAUUGUCUCCCUAUAGUACCUUGGUGCAUAGAACUAGGUCAUAUACACUGUGUGUCUAUGUUUACGCUGAUAUGAUCUGUGCAGUAUAUAGCAUGUAUAUAUGAACCUAGAGCUAACUCCUAGUCCAUUCUCCGUAGCUUAGUUAUCUUGAGAUGAUUCUUCUGUGUGUGUAACACUACCCAUCUUAUCAUUAUCCUUAAUCCUGUCUUGUGUAAUAUAUCUACUCAUCCUAUGAUAUACUCAUAUGCAUAGUAAACUAUUUUGACCUACCCGCCUUCCUUUGGGAAAUACGAUACCCUGGAAUAAUCCUAGGUGAAAUGCUACAACGGUAUAUCCAUGUGCUUACGGAAUUAUUCCUGACCAUUAAAUAUACCAACAAUCAUCACUAUCUAUUUUGGGCAUCGUUAGUGAAGGGUCGGCAGUGAUGGGCAUCCCCUUCACCAAUGGAGCUGGAACUGGCGGUGAUGGCCAUUAAAAAAAAUGGGACCCCACCCAGCGUACCCCGCAACCCGGCCGGCUGCGCCUCCCAUCAUCCCCGCCGGUCGCCCUUCCUCUUUGCCGGCCGAGCAUGGUUCCGGCCCUCGUCCCUACCGCCUCGCCUCCAUCGCGACCCCCUGCCGAUGCCCUCAUGCCUGGCCCCCCUCGUCUGGCCGGCCACCCUCCCGAUGCAUCCACCGGGGCCCUCGCACCACCAACCACCCUAGCCUAGAGAGAGAGAGGAGGAGGGAGGUGAGGCCACGCACCUCGUCCUACAACGCCGCUGUUGCUCCUCGGCCCACCGCGCCUCACCCCACACCACAGCCGCACCUCGCCAUCUUACCGGCCGCGACGCCCCAUCUCACCGGCCACCGUUCCUCACCCCCACAUCGGUCAUCGCUGCUCCUUGCCCUACUGCUGCUCUUUGCAGCCGCGAAUGAGGGGCGAGUGGAGGGGGAGGGGCGGGGCAGGAGGAGGGCAAGAUCCGGGAGGAAGGGAGAGAUUUUGGGAGGUGGAGAUGGAAGGAUAUGGCGGAAGGUAGAGAUCUAGAGGGAGAGAGCGGGGGGGAGAGGGGGGCAUGUGGGGAGAGAGCGCAUGUGGGGUGGGGCCGGGCUGGUGGGAUGGAAGGUAGAGGGGCCGGAGGGCGCAGUGCAUUCAACUGGAUUAAGUAAAUAUUUCGGAUUCGAGACCCCAGCUUUAUUAUCACCGCUGGUCCGUAGUACCAUUCGGUGCCGGCUCAUAAUUUAAUUUGAACCGGUGGUGAUGUUUUAUUAUCACUGCUGGUUUCAAUUUUCACCAUCGGAUCAUAUAAAAAUCCGGCGGUUAAAAAUCCGCUGGUUUCGAUGAAAACCGACAGUGAUAGGACGACUGUGAUAGUCUCUUCUCUAGUAGUAGUAUAUUAGUACCGGCUGCCGGAUGGUGUUGCCGACGAGUACUUCUCCAGGGGCGAUUCAGUACUGAUGUUAGCAAAGCUUGUUCUCUAUGAAUUUGGGGAUGGAAAGCUAGUUCUCUAGUUGUGAUUUGUUACAUAUAUCUCUAUGAUAGUCUAGAAAUUGCAUGUCCUUCGUUGACAUAGUUGAAGCUGCUUCAAGAAUUUACUUCGUGCAGUCGUGCAGCAUAUUGGAUUAUCACCUAGACAGGAUACAUAGGUGAAGCAUUGCAUGUGAUUGUGGCUGAUAAUUAUGCAGGACGCUGUUGCAAUCAACCAUCAAGAAGACUGGAGCGAUGGGGUUGCCUCAUCAACAAUUUUUAUAUAUGGCUGCAGUAUUAUUAAGCCCACGUCAAUAAUUUUUUCUCCGCAGCAUAUAUAUGGUUACUCAGUUCGCUGGAGUAUCGCUGUGGAAAAACAUACGUACUGCGCCUCGGAACUAACUGGCAUUCAGGCCAUCAACGACCAGAUAUUUGGGACAACCAACAAAUAGUAGGUGGUUCCUAAGUUGUAGUCGUAUGUACUAAUGCGCCUCGAUGGGGUUUUCUUCAGAUAUUUUAUUGCCGUUCAAUGAACAAGCAGAUACAUAACCUGUGCAGAAAAUUCCAUCUCCACGCAUGCCACUGCACCAACAAGAUCCUCAGUCGACGAUGAUGGCUCAGCCUGUUCCUUCUGCCACCAAAUCCUCAAUCUUCCCUCCAGCAACGGAGAAUGCACCUUUAGUACCUUCAGUAUCAGAUGUUGCAAUCGGUACCGUGAAACCGAGACUAAAAUCCUUACUUUGCAGGGGGCAAAACAAUCUUGCAAAUAUAUAUUUUGAAUUCCAACAAAAUUUAAGAAAUGUUAAAGAUGACUAGCUGAGAGUCAACAGACAAGAUAUGAUAUUAGGAAUGUGGGAGGAUGAAUGCAUUUGUACAGGGGUCAUACUAUUUCCAGACUCUUCUAUAUUUCCAUAUGACUACCUACUUCAAUGUCACGCGAGCCAUUCAAAAAGAUACAUGGUACACUUGUAUGUCUAAUCCAUUAUUGAUUAUUUCCUCUUGUCAUCUCUUACAAGUAUUUCUCCAUACUAUAGAAACGUGCAACACAUUUUUAGGAUAUGGACACGCAUGAUUAAUAUGCUUGGACUAGUAUACAGGUCAUCUUUGGAUGAGUACAUAUGAAUGCCAGGGAGGGACUGAUGGAUAUAAGGAAAAGGGACCAUGCAUAAAUAAUGACAUAUGUAACAUGGCAAUCUUCAUUGCCAUGCAACUCCUAUCAACAAUCAUGGAAUACAUACUACUGCUCCAGAAGGGUGGUGUGCAAAUUUAUUUUACCUCGCGGUGAAAAUCUCCAGAGCAGGCCUGAAGUUAAAAUAAGAGGCAGUCACUAUCGAUCAUGACAGUCUCGAAACUGUACAGCACUAUGCUAGUCCUAGUCCUCAUGUCGUUCGUGCUGUCGUGUAGCAUGAUGGAUUAUUAACUGGGCAGGACACGGAGAUGGCUAGCGAUGACAGAGGAUGACGUACAUGAUAUUCACCUCUGAAAUGAAGCGUAGGCUAAUGAAGCACAAUUGCAUGUGAGUGUGGCAGAUAUUUAUACAGGACAGUGAUUGCAAUAAUCGACCAUCGAGAUCGAAGACAGGGGCGAUGGGGUUGCCUCAUCAAUAAUUCGCGCAACCAGACAAGCUGCAGACUCAAUAUGGUACGAAGCUAUUUGGUCAGCCCACAUGCUCUGAUAUAACAUUGGCAUCUGCUGAUCUACAGUAUAUAUGACCAGAAAUAUUGUGCCACCUCAAUAAUUUUCCGAAGUAUCGUUGGGGAAGCACCUACAUACUAUGCCUCGGAACUAACUGACAUGUUGGCCUAGGCGGUCCAGGCCGAUUGGACAGGCUCUUCCUUAUGGCUCCUCACGUCCCCUUCGUUUCCGAGUAAUCUCAGGUGUUCUGAAGUUUUCUUUUCACUUGCAUGUGGACCUUAUAUAUCAAUAGCUUCGGGAUAAGAAUGCCUCUUGAUAACCUUCCAAAUCGUCGCUUGAUUCACUUUGAUUCCAAAAUCAUCUUGCCAUAUCUUUUGAGACUUAGGCCCUAAGGCAUCAUGGAGGAUUGCUCGCCAAGAAUGAGCACCAUUGGGCUCCUGAGGACCCUAGGCCGAUCAGCCUGGGCUCUAUAGGUUGAUUGGCCCAGGCCCUCUCUGGGCCCAUUGGCCUUCAUCUUUCUCUGAGUCGACGCUUAUUGAGGGCUUUGUCCAAUUAUAGUCCAUUAUAGUCUAAUUUCCAAAAAAAUAGAAUAUCCUCCAAAAUACAAUACAUUUGUGAAAACAGCCCAAUUAUUAGGUAUGAUCAAUAGUCUAGGUAUUAAAUUAAUGUUAUUAUUUAAGAUAAAUAGGGAUAAAGGGUGUCAUUAAUAACGAGCACCAACCAGCGUACCAGCUGUUAACACUAACCGAUGCUAAUAUGUACCCUUUAGUACCGGCUAUUUCACCCGGUACUAAACGAGACAAGAGCACCCUAACAGAGGUUAAUACCAUCCAUUUCAUGAGUAAAAUACUAUGAUUCAAAAAUAAUUCAAAUCCCUUAAGACAAUACCUAUCAAAUGAGUAGAUUGUAAAUAGAGUAAAACAAUGUCCUAAUGAAACGGAACACUUCUGGUUCGUGUAGAGCACAAUAUAGAAAACAGUAGGGUAGCUGUACGAUUGACACGUGGUCCAUUAAUUAUUGAGCCAUCACUAUGGACAUGUCUUCAUGAGUAGUGUACUAGUCAUGACACAUGGUAUGUAGUAGGUGGAGGUAUUGAGUUAGCCAUGCCAUGAGCACUUAGUUACAACAAACACUUUGCCAUUAUCGAGCAUCCCAAAUCACUACAAAAUCCAUAGUUUACCAUAUACUACAAAAUCUGAGUUAAAAUAAGAGCAUACACGGAAGAGUCCGAAUGCACCGGUUUAGGACCAGGCACAUUGAAUUACUAGAAAAAGUUAUCGGACAAGGUUUUGGGUAACCGCAUGAAAAAUGUUGGAUUUUACUGAACACUUAGUUACAAUUACCAUGCCGUGAGCACUUAGUCACCACAAACAUUUAACCACUUUAGAUCAUCCUGAAUCCCUAUAAAUUCUGUACCUUACACCGUACCAUGAAAACGACAAGAACAGAGACAGAUGCAGUGAAAAUCUCCAGAGCAGGCCUGAAAUUAAAAUAAGAGGAGGCAGUCUCUAUCGAUCAGGACACGGAGAUUGCUAGCCAUGACAGAGGAAGACAUGAUAUGAUAUUCACCUCUGAAAUGCAGCGUAGACUAAUGAAGCACAAUUGCAUGUGAGUGUGGCAGAUAAUGGACCAUCGAGACCAUCGAAUGGUAUGAAGCAUGAUUAUCACCUAGACAUGAUAUCCUAGACAGGACGGUGAAUUGUAAAAAGAGUAAUCUUGAUCAAAGAAUGUCCUAAUGAAACGGAACAUUUUUGGUACGUGUAGAGCACAAUAUAGAAAACAGUAGAGUAGUUGUACGAUUGAAACUGCAUCCAUCCACGUGGUCCAUGAAUUGUUGAGCCAACACUGUGGACAUGUCUUCAUGAACACCAUCUAGUGAGGACAGGAUGCAGAAAAAUAUAAAAACAUGUCAUAGGGAGGCAGACCAAUCUUGCAAGGAGGUAAACGAAACGUGAUACACGAUCUGCCUACCUUGUCGUGGAUACCCCAAGAGAAGAUGUCAUAGAGGUGCAGACCAAGCUAGCAAGGAGGUAGAUGAAACGUGAUACACGGCCUGCCUACCUUGCCGUGGAUAUUAGCCCUGAUAUCAUUCUAUUGUUCAAGGAAUAACACUCAAUGCUGCUGCUGCUGCUGACCUGGCUCCAUAAAGUUGUAUUCCUCUAGCCGCUUGCACUAACUUUAUCUGAAGUAUUAUUCUCUCUGCCCUGAUAUCUGAAGUAUUAUUCUCUCUGCUGACUUUGCUGAAGAACCUACAUAAUAUGUCUUGGAACUAACUGACAUUGAUUCACAGACAAACUCUACAAGGUGCUGUUGUUGCCAUAUUUUAGAGCAUCCCAAAGGACUAUAAAUAAUAUAGUUUACCAUAUACCGUAUACCAUUAUAUGUUAGCUAAAAUAAGAGCAUAACAUGUCGCAGGAGUCCAAAAGCACCGGUUGAGGACCAGGUACAUUGAAUUACUAGAAAAAGACAGGGGGCAAUGUUUAGGUAGCCACAUGAAAAACAUUUGAAUUUACUGUUCCAUGAACACUUAGUUACCAUGCCGGGAGCACCUAGUUAACACUAAAAUUUAGCCACUUUAGAUCAUCCCGAAACACCCUCAAUAGCGACAAAUUUUGAUUUAAAUGCCGUCACCAAUGAUCCUCAAUAGCGACGUGUUUAGGUUUAAAUCCCGUCACUAAUAACCCUUGGUAGUGACGUGUUUUGGUUUAAAUCUCAUCCCACUGAUCCUCAAUAGUGACGUGUUUUUAGCAACACACGCUAUGAAUGACUUGUCAUUGGUGACAUGUUAAAUGCGUUAUCUCAAUGGCAAAUCAUUGGUGACGUGUUUUAAAAAAACAUGUCACUGUGAGAGUUAUUGGUGAAGGGUAAUUAAAAUGCAUCACUAAUUUUGUAGCAUUAGUUAUGAUAUAAUUUAGUAACGCAAAAAUCUACCAUCAGUAAUGAGGUUUAGAGCCGUCGCUAAUGUGGGUUUCUUACGAGUGAUGCAAGCUCUACAAGGUGCUGUUGUUGCCAUUUUAAAGCAUCCCAAGUGACUACAAGUUAAUAGCAUAGUUUACCAUAUACCAUAAAAAUAUUAGUUACAAUAAGCACAUCCGCAUGUGGAAGAGUCCGAAUGCACCAGUUGAGGACUAAACACAUUGAAUUACUAGAACCAAAUGUAAGACAAAGAAAGGGGUCAAGGUUUGGGUAACCGCAUUAAAAACAUUGGAUUUUACUGUACCAUGAACACUUAGUUACCAUUACCAUACCUUGAGCAUCUAGUUACCACAAACAAUAAUUUAGCCACUUUAGAGGUUCCAGAAUCACUAUAAAUAAUAUACCAACACCGUACCAUGAAAACAUCAAGAAGAGAGACGGGUACAUGGACCACCAUCAAGUGAGUAGUGACAGCACGCACAAGAAUACCCGGAACCUGUUAGCUUGUCUGUAGUGAUCUGUUUUCUUCCCCAUAAAAUCCAUGAGUAUUGCCACAAAUAAUGAAAGAGGCUGACCAAGCUAACAAGGAGGUAGAGAAAACGUGAUACACGUAGGUUUCAUUCAAGACAUCCAUGUAAGAUUCAUUCAAAACAUUCAUGGAAAUUUCUUGUAAGUUUUCAUGUAAAUUUCAUUCAAGACAUUUGUUAGAGGUGUUGUAUAUAUAUACCUUAACGUACAUAUAUCUAUGAUUUCAUGGUUGUUAGUGAUGGCAGAUGAGGAGCAUGCAAGGUAUUUAAUGGAGCAGAUUAUUGCUAGUGGUAGUGGCUCCAACCUGCCCGUAACGUACACCAACGAAGAGAGCAGCCAGGCGGACAUGUUCCUCAACAUAUCCGGUGAUGGCAAUGAAGAGCCCGAGCAAAACCUUGCCGUGACGGAAGGUUCCAGUGAGGUAUAUAUCAUUUCCAUUGUUUUACCCCAUCUAUAAUUUCAUAUUCAUUAUUACUAUGUACUAAUUAAUGGAUCUUGAACCAUUAGCCCUCUAGAUCAACGAACCGAAAUAAGCCCCGAGGUCUUACAAAGAUAAUGCAGGGAAGGCAUCACAUCACGGAAGUCACAGAAGAGGGCACAUCAGUUGCUCCCGAACAUGUGGCAAGAAAGUACGUGAGUCAAACCGGGCAAUGUGCCCAUCAGCAUUAGGGAAUGAAAGGGCAAUAGAAAUGAUCUAUACACGCCCCCGGAUACACAAAAGGAUAUGCUGUGGGCAAAUAUCAAGAAACACUUCACAUUUCCCAAAGGAUAUGUUGAAAAAGAUGUGAAAGCGUGGAUGCUGAAGAAGAUGGUCACCGAAUUCCAGACAUUCAAGAAGAUGUUGGAUGUCAACUUCAUCAAGAAGGGUCGAACUCCGGGUUUCGAUGAGUGGCCAAAGUUAAGGGACCACUGGGAGUCAUUUGUCAAAUACAAGACGAGUGAAGGUGGUGCGAGUAAGGUUCGCAUCAAUGUUGCCAAUGCUAGCAAGGAGUACCAUCAUCAUCUAGGGCGACGUGGUUACAGCACUGCAAUUCCCAGAUGGCGCAAGAUGGAACAAGACCUGAUCGAUCGGGGUAUCGUACCAGCAACUCCUGACUGGCCUGAUCGAUUGAAAAAUUGGUAUUAUGCUCAUGAAGGCAAUCUGAGCCAACAGGAUGCGACAUUGGUCUUCAAUAAAACAAUACGUCAGAAGGCCGGAAGGCUUAUUAGGAACAUUGAAAAUGCUAAAUCUGGGAGGUUCAAGGUGGAUAGAGAGAAUGAUGAGCUCACAUUGGCCCUUGGGACUAUCAUCUCUAGCAUUUCCAGCUCCAGGACUGUCGUCACCACCGGGACCGUCGCUUCUUGCUCGAUCACAGUCUCCAUCUCCAGCACAUCCUGGUGGUGCGAACGAUGACGACAACAACACCCCUCCCUGCCCACCAUCGCCGGGACUAAGACCCGCAUCGAGUAAGGAACCUGCAGCACCACUGAAGAAGUCGCGACCACCGCCUUCCAAGCCAAGUCAGCAAAAGAAGAAAGCAGAGAAGCCUAAGCCCACUGAGAAGCCAACAACCGAUAUGACCGAUGCGGAAAGAUGGAAGGCACUCAAAGAAGAAUGCAGGGAGUGGUUCUGUAAAAAGAACCAAAGAAAGAAAAGGAAAGCAGAUGGAGCCACCGCCAGUAGAUCCAAGAAAAUUAUAAUUUUUUAUUAAGAUGUCAAAAGGAGCCAAGAAGAUGAUUCCACAACUAUCAAACUACGACCGGGCGUUAGUCAAGGCUGAUGAGAGUUAAAAAAGGAAAGGAAAGUCAUCUUCAAGUGGUACUGUCCCCCACCUCGAGGAUCUACCAGAAAAAGACGCUAAAAAGAUAGUAGCAAUGCUCUUGGAUCAACAAACACAUAUAUCAUGAGAUUCAUGCAAGAAACAGGUAUGUGCCUUGCUGAAUGUCUAGGGCAAGUUGAUAUGCUAGCUCUAGAGCCAUUUGUACCGAAAUGGACCUUUGAGCUAGGCAAGCCUCUAGUAAGGCCUGAGCUGGUACAGAAGCUAUCCACAUAGCUAUAUGAAUACCAUGAAUGGUACAUGAAGCAGUCUGCCAAUGAGAGGAAAAUGUUCGGUCUCAGGGAAAAACUGAUAUUUUUUUUCGGCGAAGGCGAGAAAGUCUUGUGAUGGAAUUCAAGGAUAUAUAUGAAGUGUACCAUCAGGAUGCCCUUGAUGUCUCUCUCAUCAGCGCCUAGGUUAUGUAAGUGUAUGUUUAUCUAUACGUAAUUUUUGUCUCAUAUCAUUAUUUCUUUUGCGUGCGUCACCCUACUAACUUCGUCUUCCAUUUUAUGUAGGAUGCUAAUUCAGAUGUGCCGCAUAGAAGCGCACUUCCAUGUUGGCUUCAUGGAUCCAUCCCUAGUUAACCAAAAGCAGAUACGGAAGUAGCUAGAGAAAAUGUUGGAGGUGGUAUACAACUUCCUGGACAAACAAAACUAUAGAAUAGGGGCAAUAUGUGAAGGUCUUGUAGGAUUCCUAGUGGACAAGGUGAUAAAUCCAUAAGGAGAAUAUCAUUACAACGGACGAGCAUUAGACACACUGAGCAACACCUAGACGGGAGGAUCCUAGGAAUGACCUAGACAGAUUUUGGUAUAAAUAGUAAUUGUGUAAAUACUAGUUUGAUUUGUAUAGGAAUAUACUAAGAAUUGUAUAUAUAGUAAUUGUACAAAUACUAGUUUGAUUUGUAUAAAUACUAGAUUGAUUUUAUUAUAAAAAAGUUUUAAGUCGUACGUGCAUGCGCCUACAAAGGCGCGUAUGCCCUUUAAUCCCGGUUGGAAAAACAAACCGGUACUAAAGGGGCUCGUGCCGCACCUGGCAUGACCGCCCCUUUAGUCCCGGUUGAACGACCCAGGACCAAAGAUCUGCCCCGUCUCAUAAAUUUUAUCCUGGAUGCUUUUUAGAGAGAUUUGAGGCCUAUCAACCAAGACUAAUAUCGAGUUUUCUACCAGUGGAACUAACUAACGUUCACAUGCUUCUGACAUUCACCUGCCAUUUGGUGUAGACAAGGGCACCCUAACAUAUGGUUAAUAUUAUUCAUGAAAGAAAAUCCUUUGAUUCAAAAAUACUUCAAACCUAAUAAUACAAUACUUCUCACAUCUGAAAAAUAUGAGAUGGCCCGACAGUAUUCUAACCGACGCAAUAAUAUUUUGAGGGCAGCACUACUACAGCGACCCUCAUUCGUGCCGGUGCUGGAACCCCUAUCACGACCCUGAUACAAAUGAGGGUACAUUAUUGUUGCCAGUGCUAGAAUAGCCACGAAUAACUUGCUAAACAUGCUGUUACACUCACUACUAGAAAAAUAACCUCUCGUCCUGAGGCUUAGUACCGGUCACUUUUUUGCCCAGUACUAAUGUUAGUAUUAGUACCGGAUCCAAAUUUGGGAUCCCCCAGAGACCCUUUAGUACCAGGUGGAGUCUCCACCCGAUACUAAAGGCUUUGUUACCGGGUGAAGGAUCCUCCCGGUACUAAUGGGGGAUUUUUAGUACCGGGUGGGAACCCCACCCGAAACUAAAAUCUCCCAUGCGGACCCCUCCCCCCCCCACGCGUUGCCUCUGUCCUCCCUCCUCCUCCUCUGAGUAGUUAUCCCUUCCUCAUCCCUCCUCCUCCUCCCACACGUGGGGUGAGGUGAGGUGGCAGUAGCAACGACAGGUGGUGUGGCGGGUCACGGCGGGCCGGAUGCGGAGCCGCAACGGUGGUCGGCGGGAUGGGGUGGGGCAGAGCGGCAUGGCAGGGCGGAGCGGUGGGACGGGGCCGAGGUGGAGGUGCCGGGCGGAGGUGGAGUGGCAGGACAGAGGCGGAGGCGGAGCGGCGGGUCGGCGAGCGGGUGGAGGGUGGCGACGAUGGGGCGGGCAGAGGCAGAGGGGUGGGUGGAGGGGCGGCGUGGUCCACCGGCGGGGGGGGGGGGGGGAGAGGGAGGCGUGGGGGGUGCGGUUGGUGAUUUCAAUUUUCUUUUAAUUUUUUAACACCCUUCAGUACCAGUUAUUUUAACCGGGUCUAAAGGGAUCCCCUCUUGUACCGAAUUGCUAGUACAGGAUGCACAACCGGUACUAGAGGGAGGUUCCCAACCGGUACUAGAGCCACUUUCCCCGGUAGUGACUUUUUCACCGAUUAGAAUAUGUUAUUAUUCUAAUCAGCUUUUGUUGAUCUCCUGUAUAAUUUAGUACCUAAUUCUACUAGCAAUUGUUAACGCCGACACGUAUUGGGUAUAGUCCUAACAGUGUCUAACUAGGGCACUACAUUUGUUAACCUAUAACUACUGGUAUCGAUUAGCCCUGGUUAGAAUACUGUCAAGGCAGCCAGAAAAAAUUGUUUGCCAAUUCUGCUAUCCAUCAGAACCAUGACUAGUACCGUAUUGUAAUAAACGAAUUACACAAAUAACUGAUGCACACAAAGGAAUAUGCACUCGCAUGUGCUAGACGUUCGUAGCAACAACAAAUUACUCUCAUCAUCAAUUAAACAUAAUAGAUUAAACAUUAACUGAACAUAGUUCAACACGUACAUCAACAAGACAAAGCAGUUUAAACAUCAACUGAACAGAACUGAAAACAUACAUCAACUGAUGAUAAACUUCGACAUGAACACAACACAUAAACAUCAACUUCAAUAGAACUUAAUAGAGCAUAUUAAACAACAACAUCGACAAAACAUAUAAACCCAGCUCAGUAGCUCAAGCAUCAACUAAAACUGCUGAAUUAAAAUAACAUAACAUAGUGUAGUUCAUCAUGAUGAUAACUAACAGAACCGAAAAGCCUAACUGGGUAAAAGAGCAAUUCAUUCAUAAUGCUUCAGCACUUACAUCACCGGAGUAUGCAACUGGCGGCGUCGCUUACGUCACUAUCACCGCGCUUGGCGAGUAAAGGAGGAGGAGGUGGCAUAGUAAUCGAAGAGGAGGCCGCUGUCGGCGGGUUUAGACUACGUGGAGGUGUGGGUAGGGUUAAGGUGGCUCUGUGGACGAGUAUAUAUAAGAGGUCUGGGCUUGUUAGAAUAAGAUAACAUUCUAACUGGCCAAAUUCGGAUCCGGUUAGAAUAAAUUGUUCUAACCAGCCUUAAUUCGAGGUGGUAAGGAUAAGUUAACAUUCUAAUCAGCUCUAUUUGGAGCCCGAUUGAAUGUUCUUGUUAUUCAAAAAAAGAUCAAGUUCAUCAAUUUUUUUCUAGAAAAACAUCAAGAUAAUUUAAACACGAUAUAUAACAAGAUUAAUACAUUUAAAAAUUGUUUUCUCCAAUAAUUAACGAUAUUUAACAAAUUCAAAAAAAAUCCAAAUUAACAGAACAUAAUAACCAAUUGUUCGAAAAAAUCAAAAUAGUCCACACAGUAUCAUAUUACAAAUUCAGAAAAAUAUCAAAAUAAUCCCUGAUCCACUCGAUACCGUCGUAGAACUUUGAAAUACUGAGCUUCUUGAUUCAUCUGAGGUCCACGUACUCGUCUCAGUAACACUAGUGGUGGCCAUGCAUCUUGUAGAUGUCUUCUAAUGAAUUAAGCUUGACAUACAAGGUCGUGCCUUCCACUCCUUGAGGAUUGCUUAUGACGUUUCUGCAAAUAACGAAGCAUUGCUUUCUCCAACAUGAUUAUUUUCUUCGGCUUAUCCCAAGGGACAACUAUGGUUUUCCCCUUGCCGGAAGAGGAACGAUGAUCGCCCCCACCAUCGCCACUUCCUCCAGUAGCAGAAGCCAUCUAUGUACAAAAAUUCAUACCUUAGCACUACAGAACUUGUUGAACUUGAAGACUGUGAUCAUUAGGCGAGCAUGUUCUCAACUAGGUGGCACCGCACUUCGUCAUGGAAGAGCUUCGAUUUUACAAAAAAGGGGACAUGAUCUUCCAUGAUGUCCGUAUCCGCUCUUUCUCGUAGAAUCAGAGCUCCUCCUUGAUAUACGAUGCUGCUCGGCGGAGAACAUGCUCACCGAGAUGAACACGGUAUGCAAGUUCAACAAGUAUGGAUUUGAAAAACCAUAUUGAAUUUGACAAGACAAACUAUCUAGAUAAGCGUAGCAUCAUUCUUAAACCACUGCAAGGAUACGUACUAUAUAUGACACAUCAAUCUCCCUCACAUUCUAGCUCAAAAUACCUCUCCAUUUUCUACUUCACAUUCUAGCAAAUAAACUAUCUAUCUCCAUUCUACACAUCAAGUUGUUUUAACUAAUACAAAUCGUAUAUAACAAGCAAAAUAUCCAUCACAUUCUAGCUCAAAAACAUGUAUAAAUACAAAUCCUCUUCAUUCUCCCUUUUUCUAACAAACAAACUCAUUUUUCUCCCUCUCCAAAGCAUAAAUUAAAGCGUAACAUGAGGAUGAGGUAGCAAACCUUCACAACACAUUGGAUGAGUGAAAUUCCCACGAAAAUGAGGGAAAAAAAUUCGGGCAGCACCUCCCUUGCUUCGGCACCUCUAGAGAGUAGGUGAAGCUCAGUUCUCUAUUUUUGUGGUGGACUAGCUUGGGCUGGAGGAGGAAGAAAGGCCUCUGUCUUGGUAUAUAAUGGGGGAUGAGUUUUUAUCCCAGUUAAAAGCUCCAACUGAGACAAAACGGCCAAUCUUUUGUCCCGGUUGGAGCCUCCAACCGGGACAAAAGGGGCACGCCAUCGACGCACGGGAGCUAGCCGUUACAACCGGGACUAAAGGGGGGCCUUUAGUCCCGGUUGCAAAUACCAACUGGGAUUAAAUCUCCCCUCCAUUUUUGCCUACCGUGGUGCGCCCCCUUUUAUCCCGGGUCAACUUUAAACCGGGACAAAAGGGGGCGUCGAAGAUCAGUUCUCUACUAGUGACCCCUCCCCACCUAUCUCUCUCCCUCCAUGCUCCUCGAUCUGUGCCUCCCCUCCCCUCCCCUUCCACUCGCCCCUCACCGACGGUAAGGAGCAGCGGCGGGGCGAGGUGAGGUGGCAGCAGCAAUGGCAGGUGGUGGGUCGCAGCGGAGCGGCUACGGUAGGCAGCCGGACGGGGCAGAGCGGCGGGGCGGGGUGGAGGCGGAGGUGGCGGGUAGAGGCGGAGCGGCGAGGCGGAGGCGGAGGUGGAGGCGGAGUGGUGGGACGGCAGGGCCGGGCGACUAGUAUAGGUGGGCGGGCGGAGGGCGGCGACGGCGGAGCGGGCGGAGGCAGAGGGGCAGCGGGGGCCGCCGGCGGGGGGUGUGAUCGGGGAUUUCAAUUUUUUUUAAAUUUUUUAACACCUUUUAGUCCAACUGGUUCUAAAGGGACCCCUCUAGUAUCAAAAUUGCUAGUACCGGUUGCACAACCGGUACCAGAAGUGGUUCCUAACUGGUACUAGAGCCACUUUCCCUGGUAGAGACUUUUUUACCAGUUAGAAUAUGUUAUUAUUUUAAUCAGCUUUCGCUGAUCGCCAGUAUGAUUUAGUACCUAAUUUUACUGGCGAUUGUUACCGCUGACACGGAUUGGGUAUAGUCCUAACAGUGUAUAACUACGGCACUACAUUUGUUAACCUAUAACUACUUGUAUCGAUUAGCCCUGGUUAGAAUACUGUCAAGGCAGCCAGAAUUUUUUUUUUUUGCCAAUUCUGCUAUCCAUGAGAUCCAUGACUAGUACCGCAAUGUAAUGAAUGAACUGCACAAAUAACUGAUGCACACAAAAGAAUAUGCACUUGCACGCUAGACGUUCGUAACAACAAAUUACUCUCAUCACCAAUUGAACAUAAUAGAUUAAACAUUAACUGAACAGAAUUCAACACGUACAUCAACACGACAAAGCAGUUUAAACAUCAACUGAACUGAACUGAACACAUACAUCAACUGAUGAUAAUUAUCGACAUCAACAGAACACAUGAACAUCAACAUCAAUAGAACUUAAUAGAGCAUAUUAAACAACAACAUCGACAAAACAUAUAAACCCAGCUUAGUAGCUCAGGCAUCAACUAAAAUUGCUGAAUUAAAACAACACAACGUAGUGUAGUUCAUAAUGCUUCGGCGCUUACACCACUGGCGGGUCGCUUACGUCGGCAUCACCGCGCUGGCUGAACCUCCGACACCCCCACCACGGCAAACGGAGGUGAUGGCGGAAGGUGAGGCAACGACAGUAGCUGGUGAGCUCCCGCUCCAAUGUCUCGCGAGUAAAGGAGGAGGAGGUGGCAUGGGAAUCGAAGAGGACACUAGUAGAGAAACGACUUUCCAUCCACCCCCUUUUGUCCCGGUUUAAAGUUGGCCCGGGACAAAAGGUUCACCAACCGGGAUUAAAACUCGGUCACUGGUGGGGGGCUCACCAACCGGGACCUUUUAUCCCGGUUGCAAAGGCUAGUGGGAAAAAAUUACUCUGAGAGGCCUUUUAUCCCGGUUUGAAACACCAACCGGGAUAAAAGACCCCCCCUUUUAUCCCGGUUGGUAACACCAACCGAGAUAAAAGGGUCAAGAGCCUUUUAUCCCGGUUGGAAACACCAACCGGGAUAAAAGGGGGUCUUUUAUCCCGGUUGGUGUUUCCAACCGGGAUAAAAGGGUCCCCCACGAGUUAAUACAAAAGGAUAGUAUCCCCUACAUAGUCAGAUGUGGUGUGUAGGUGGGAUGGUAAGGAAGCUACGCGCGAGGCUGGAGGUUGUGGGUUCGAAUCCCACGAACCGCGCACGCGCAUAUUUCGCGUGAAAAAUCGCGUGACUUGCGACUUGCGCGUGUGGGGGGGCCUCCUGGGAGCUCGGGAAUUUUUUUUUUUUGCAGCGCCGGCCGUGGGUGAACCCUUUUAUCCCGGUUGGUAUUACCAACCGGGAUAAAAGGGGGUCUUUUGUCCCGGUUGAGUGACCCGGGAUAAAAGACCCCCCCUUUUGUCCCGGUUGGUUUAUCCCGGAUGCAUUUUCGAGAUCUUUGCACCCUACCAACCGGGAUAAUAGGUGAGUUCUCCACCAGUGGGAGGCCGCCGCUGGCGGGUUUAGACUACGUGGAUGUGUGGGUAGGGUUAAGGUGACGGUGUGGACUAGUAUAUAUAAGAUGUCUGGGCUUGUUAGAAUAAGAUAACAUUCUAACCGGCCAAAUUCGGACCCGGUUAGAUUAAAUUGAUAUUCUAACCGGUCCUAUUUCUAGGUGGUAAGAAUAAGUUAACAUUGUAAUUGGCUUUAUUUGGAACCCGAUUGAAUCUUCUUGUUAUUCAAAAAAACAUCAAGUUCAUCAAUUUUAAUCCAGGAAAACAUCAAGAUAAUUUAAGCACGAUAUAUAACAAGAUUAAUACAUUUAAAAAUUGUUUGAUUCACAAAUUAACGAUAUUUAACAAAUUCAAAAAAUCCAAAUUAACAGAACACAAUAACCAAUUGUUCGAAAAAAUCAAAAUAAUCCACACACAUUAAUAUAUUACAAAUUCAGAAAUAUAUCAAAAUAAUCCCCGAUCCACUCGAUACCGUCAUAGGACUUUUAAAUACUGAGCUUCUUGAUUCGUCUGAGGUCCACCUACUCGUCUCAGUAACACUAGUGAUGGCCAUGCAUCUUGUAGAUGUCUUCUAACGAAUCAAGCUUGACGUACAAGGUCAUGCCUUCCGCUCCUUGAGGAUAACCAUCUUUGGUGAUCUUGAAAUGGCAGACGGUGGAUGUGCCAAAGGUACGUGACGAUCCUUCUAAAUGUAUGCCACCACAACUUCCGUCUGAUCGCCAUGGGUGACACCAAGAAGAGCUACCAUGCGGCAAGGGACGAACAAUUUAUCAAUUAGUGCCGCUGUCCAUCGCCAUCAUCUAAUCCAGCCAUAUCUUGUUGUAUAUUUAAGUAUAGAAAUUAAGAUUUAAAAAUAAACAGAAUAAAUUGAGAUCGAUUAUGUAUGUAUAUCAGAACAUUAGCUUUUGGAAAAAGGGCUUCGAUGGAAGAGAGGCACGGGGCAUAGAGACAACAACGAGUGACAAUAUGUCAGAAGAAUACCCGAUCACAAUUAUUGGCACACACAGCCGAUAUUUACAGUAGUCAAUACCCCUGGUAAAUAACCACACCAUCAAGAGUAAAUAGUGACAAUAUGCAGUAUAUACACGACAUAGCCUUGGCUGCCGUGGAAGCACCAGAAGGGAGACAAAUAACAGGGACCACUACAUCAAGUAGAUAGUGACAAUAUGCAAAAGAAUACCCGCGCCUGUUAGCAUGUGUGAACUGACCACACCACGAAACGUGAUACACGGCAAGCGUACCAAGGCCUUGCUGUGCAGACUAUGCAUGGACAACACAUGGUACCUGACCGCUUUUGGCCUCAGACACAUCAAAAACUGCAUCGUUCCACGUUGUACAUCCAUUGCUAGUUUAUCUAUAUUACAUAAUAUAUUAUUAGCUAUUUGAAUAGAAUGAACCAAUUAAAAAAUUACGUUGUAUUUUAGUACCGGCUGCAGGAUGGUGUUACCAACCAGUACUAAUUGGCCUGUAGGAGUGAUGGUUAUUAGACUUGGUACUGUUGUUAGCAUCAUUAACCUAAUUGUGCGCCGUAUGAAUUUGGGGAUGCAAAGCUAGCUCUCUAUGAAUGUGAGGGAUGGAAAGCUAGUUCUCUAGUAGUAAUUAUAUAUAUGACAGUCAGGAAAUCGAACACUAUGCUGCUACGAGUCACCAUCAUUUCCUUCAUUGACAAUCUGACAUAGGUGAAGCUGCUUCAAUAAUUUCCUUCGCGCAGUCGUGGAGCUUAUUGGAUUAUCACCAGGACGGGACACGGAAAUGGCCAGCAAUGAAGCUGAUUGCCGUCUGAGGAAGACUACAUACUUACCUAUGAAAUGAAGCGAUUGCAUAGACUAAUGAAGCAUUGCAUAUUUGCAUGUGAGUGUGGCAGAUAAUUCUGCAGGACAUGAUUGCAAUCCACGCACCAUCGAGAAGACUGGGGCGAUGGGGUUGCCUCAUCAAUAAUCACGUGGAUGCAUGCAUGCAUGUUCCCUCAACCGGACAAGGGUCUGAUAUAUGGCUAUAGUAUUACUGAGCCCACAUCAAUAAUUUCCGCUGGUGUAUCGUGUGGGAAGAAUCAACAUACUACACCUCUGAGUUCUUGGAACUAACUGACGUUCACAUGCAACCUCCACAAGGUGCUGUAUGCUUUUGACAUUCACCUGCCAGUUCGUGUAGAGGACACCCUAACGUAUGGUUAAUAUUAUCCAUUUCAUGAGUAAAAUACUGUGAUUCAAAAAUACUUCAAAUCCCUUGAGACAAUACUUCUCACUUGACUAACCACUAACCAACCCCGAAACCCUAACUCAACUCCGAACCCUAACCCCUAACGGCAUAACCACUCCGUUUUGCCGGCGAGAUGGAGGAACUGGCUGGAAGGUAGAGAGGGCAGCGGUCCAGGGUUGAAAACGACGGGCGAGCGCAGUAACAUGUGGAGGAGGAAGUGCCACGUAUUCGUUCACCGCUAUUGGGCAGCGACACACGACACGCCCAAUAAGAUCUUCGCACGGUAGAAGGACGUCAUGUAUUCAAUAAUGUUAUUGGUCCCCCAUGUGCAGAAGGGCGCGCGCGUAUGGAAUAACAAGUAGGGACACUGCAACUAAUCUACUCUGCUCGUCCAGUCCCUAGCCUAUAAAUAGAUGCCAUGCUAGCUCUUGUUGUGCUCACAAUUAAUCCGAUUACACACGAGCUUCUCUCCCUGGCCAAGACACAACCAUAGUAUGAUGAAGAACAUGGCACUAGCCGGCAAUGGUAUGAAGAAGUUAAUCCUCGCUGUUCUCUUACUGUGUCUAGUUAUAGGGCAGAUACAAGUGGAAGCUAAGAGCUGCUGCCCAUCCACCACUGCAAGAAAUGUCUACAAUACCUGCCGUUUCACGGGUACAUCCCGUCCAACGUGUGCAAAACUGUCAGGCUGCAAAAUUAUCAGCGGGAACAAAUGCAAGCCCCCUAACGACCACCUCACCCUUGACCCGGACACUGGUAAAUAAUAAAUUUAUCUCACUUGAUUUCUUCGUGAUUUGAGUCGUUAAUGUAUUUUCCAUCUGAUGAAACGUAUUGGUUUUGCAUUGAAGAGGAAGUUAAUGUGCUUAACUUCUGCAAGUUGGGGUGUGCGUCGUCUGUGUGCAACAACAUCAACGCUGGUAAGCAACUUUUGCUCAGACAGAGAAAACAAUAAUCAUUAAUUAGCGGCAGCUAGAAUCCUAUAAUCUAAUAUAUAUAUAUAUAUAUAAUUUUAUCAGCUCUGGGAAAUGAAGAGGCGAACGAUGCCGUUGAGAGUUGCGACCAAGCCUGCUCUAGCUUCUGCAGCGUGCAUGUUGGCAGCGCCACCGUGGUUGCUUAAGCAAAUGCAUCCAACUAGAUCGUCCUUGUGCUGAAUAAUUGGAUAUCGUAUCCACUUAAAGCUGCCUUGUGUAGUACGUCUUUGUGUCUCUCUUUAUAUUCCAAUAAGGUCGGUGAUCUUGAUGCCACACACUCAGAUGUGUGUUCAUCUCCAGAUACUACUCCAUGCUACCUGCCCUUUGUGUUUUGUUCAAUAACUGGGUAUCAUAUCCCAGCCAGUAUGCCGUCUGUUUUGUGUUUGUUUCCUUCUAGUUCCAAAGGGGUCAUCAUGAUGUUACCUUCUUUCAAUAUGGUGCUUUGCAUGACUACUGUUGUAUGGUACCAUCUUGUGGCCAAUAAGUACAUCUUAUCCUAUGACCUUUGCUAUGACCCUUUGCAAAUAAGUAGAAGAUUGUUAUAAGCGUCAAUACUCCGUAUAAAUUGAUCGCUGCUGUGAGUUCCCUUUCAGCUUAUCGUAGGCAUACAUUAUUGCUAGCACGGUAAAGCCAACCAACACGAAUGAUGAAGUAAACGUAGCGGUACUUCUGUAUACCAACACCCUUACUUAAAUGUACCGGUGUCAUUCCCUACUGGCACAUAUAUUCUUAUAUGCUAGCCAGCUUGUAAAAUUAACCAAUUAAAAUAAUUAUUUCAAGAUAGAAAUAACUUAUCGGUUUCUGGAAGCAUGUGUAAUGUGAAUUCAAGGACUCGACGGAAGUUGAAUCACUUCAUCUAUAUUGCUUUCAGUAUUUUGGGUAACUAAAUUUAACAUUUGCACAUACAAAUGUUAAAGUACAAAUGUUAAAUCUAGUUACCCAAGCAGAAUAUGAAGAUAGUUUAUAGUAUAUAUAUACUAUAUAAAUCUAGUUAACAUUUAGUCUAAAUGUUAAAUCUAGUUACCUAAAAUCCUGAAAGCAAAAUGUAUAAAUAUAUAUCUUUUAAGGCAGUAUAAGCUUCGAUUCCUAUUGCUGCUCUGUUAAAUCUCAUCUUUCGUUGUGGCCCAACACUCUAGUAUGCAUGUUGCACCAAGCUUCUUUGAGCCGCUCUGCCCUCUGAUUUUGCUGCGUAGGGGAAUCUUUAUCAGGUUGGGCUACUUCCAGUUGUGCGAUGUAAAGAUUCGUAUUUUCUAGAAGGUAGACAAAAAACUCGCGUUCUCUUAAGGCAACAACCGGAAGAUUCUGCAGCGCACAGGGCAUACCAUUAUUGUAGAAACGACCUUUAGUACCGAUCUCCAACCCCCUUUAAAACUGGUUUUGCAACCGGUACCGUUAUGUCGGUCCUUUAGUACCAGAUCAAAUAAGUACCGGUUGGUAACCAGUAUCAACUUGUUUUGCGGCCAAAAAAAUAAAGAAAAAAACAGUCAGAAGGCUCGCGCACACGCGCAUCACAUGAAAUAUGCGUGUGCGGGGUCCAUGGGAUUCGAACCCAUGAAAUCAAGCUGCGCGCGACCCUUCGUUACCAUCUCACCUACAUAGCGCAUAUGCUUUCCUGAAGUAACCCGUGGAGGAGGCUUUAGUACCGGGUCAUAACACCACCCGGUACUAAAAAUGACUCUUCAGUACCGGGUCAUAACACCACCCGAUACUAGUAUCGGAUGGUGUAAUGACCCGAUACUAAAAGGCCUCUAGGGACCCUCAAAUUUGAACCCGGUACUAAUGCUAAUAUUAGUAGCGGGUCAAAGUGCAGCCAGAACUAAAGCAUGGGAUGAAAGGUCAUAUUUCUAGUAGUGUAUAGUUGUUGUGAAGGACUGACUUGGCUGUCCUCUCUCUUCUCCAUCCCCUUGGUCUUACGCCGCCGCUCGCACGCGAGCCGGUGCCCAACCAGAGGAGUGAGAGCUAGGGGCAGGUUGGGAGGUGGGGAUAGUGACUGGUGGCCAGGGUGAUGGUUGAUCCUGGUGGGGUUAGGGUUUUAGGGUUUUCGAGCUUCCUAUGGUCGGCGAACCUAGAGGAGGAGCUCAACAUCAGCUGCAACCCGCGAUGGUGGUGGUUUGGCCGGCGCCCGAGGCGAGGCAGCGCGGGAGUGCUGCCGGUGGGUUGGUGUUGGCACUCAUUAUUGACAACUAUUUUGUUCAUAAAAUAACACUCAAACUUGCUGCUGCUGCUGCUGCUGCCAUCGCCACCCUAGCCAUAAUAUAAAGGCAAAAUUUGCUAAAGGACAUGCAAAAUGAUGCUAGUUUGCUGGCGGGCAUCGUUGACCUUGUAAUAUGCUACAAGACACUCUAGUUGUGUAUCAAUUUGCUGAAAGACAUUGCUAUGACUAAAAUAAUGUUUCUGGACUGAGUUGGAGAGAGAGAUGGAGUGAAAUGUCUGUUUUGCCCAUGACCCCACUGGUCAGAUCCUUCUUCUUCCACCCUCCUUUGUUCUUUCUUCAACCAUUACCCAGCUCCAGCGUGUUGCAGAUCUACGAGGGUGGCGGCCUGGGGCGAGGGGCAUCGCUCGCCCUUGGAGGAGCGCUGCGAGCGACGGCGCGGGGGCGGCAACAGCGCGUCAGAACCUGACUGUUCGUUAGCUCCUCUCGCUGCUGGGGAAGGAGGGGGAUGGGCCAUGGACGGGGUUCCCUUGAAAACCUCAGCGUCGAGCUCGGGCGGCUACGCGCAGGCAGCACUAGGCUGCUUCACGGGGAGGGGGCGCGGCCAAUCAUUGGCACCCCACUGGUCCAAUGCUGAUGAAGAUGGUGCCAGCGUCGUGUGAGGACAUCUCAUCUCCUCGAGUUCCAUGGCCAGCACAGGUGAGCUGCCGCUACCACAAAACAGAGGUUUCGUGAGAGUCAAAAAACCUUAUGAAAAUAGCUAAAACCAUCAUGAAAAUAAUCCGUGACAUGACACUCUCACGAAAAUCCUCUCACAAAUAUGGUGCCAUGAAAAUACCAUUUUCAUGAGAGUGAACUGUCAUGAUUUUAUUUCGUGAGAGUAUUUCCUAUCAAUGACCUCCACGAAAUACUUUGUGCCACCAGGUCUUCAAGAUCAUUUUCAUGAGAGCUGAACAUCAGGAAAAGUCCGCCACAAAUGUUUUUCUUGGAGCCCCUAACUCUCAUGAAAAUCAUGCGGGCCGCCACGAAAAACAGCAUGACCAAAUGACAAAUUUCAUUUUCAUGUGUUCAUACCGCCAUGAAAAUGGUCAUUUUCAUGAGAGUUGAUGAAACAAAAAAUAGUGCCAUUUUCAUGAGAGUUCAAGCAACCAGGAAAAGACACUAAUAAACAUCCAGAUCCCAUCCAGCACACAUCCAUGCACAUAUAUAACCCACAUAUUGCUCCAGCACACAUCCAUGCAUAUACAAGAUCCAAAUGUUAAUAUAGUAGACAUCCAUGCCUGAACUAGUCUGCCACACAAGUCAUUGAUGCUACAAAUCCUACAAUCGCAGCAUGUGCAUACAAGUCACAGAAUGAGACAAUGUACCCAAAACUAAAAGGUUAGCAUCAACUGUGCUUCAACCAAAGUUGUCAUCCCAACUCUCCUCUUCAUCCAUGCCAUUCUUGUCGUGGCCGUCACUGUCAGUCCCCAUGGCAUUGCCAAUGCUGUGCAUGUCUUGGUAGGAACCUACAUGUGAUGAACUAGUAACCUGCAAAAAGAGCUCAAAGGAUCUUGUUCUCAUAUUGUAGCUGUGAAAUUCUUACAAGUAGUGUUGCAAUCAGUUCACUUUGAACCAAAAGAGCUCAAAGGAUCUUGUCCUAAAAGUUCCUCAUAAAGCUUAUGGGUUUGCUGGUGGAACUGGAAGGGCUUGAUGCAGCAGAUGCCAUUCUGCAAUAGAGAAAAAUUUAGAGAGCAGUACUAGUUAAAAUUGGAUGCAGAAGAUACACAUGAAACUAGUAUUUAUACAAGUCUAUACAAUUAAAAUCUAAGGAGACUUAUCAUCGUUUUCAUGUGUUGUGAAUUAAAAUAAUGAAGGAUACACUGUUAGGUGAAAAUUCAAGAAACAAAAUUUUGCAUAGAGAUAAAGGUCCAACAUUAUUACAAGUUAAGGUAGUUUUAAAUAUCCUUGUAAUCUUCCUUUGGUUUCCUCAACGAUUCGAAGACAAUAACCUUGCUUCUAUCAAUGAUAAUUAUAAGGAGAAUCCAGUGGAAACUGUGUAUUCGUAUUAGAACUACCUAAGGUUAAUUAGGUUAGGAAAGGAAAUUGAAAAUAGAUGGUACCCACACUUACUUAAAGUUGUCGGGCAAUAGUAUGUAAUGCUUGUAAUUCCGUUGCUCCAAGAAUUUGUAUAUGUGGUCCAAUGUAGACUUUGGUUGAUCCCGUAUCUGCUGUUGGUUAAAUAAGUGUUUCUAGCCAUUUCUAGCCAUUAGAACCGGGACUAAAGGGGGCUCUUUAGUACGGGUUGAUAUUACUAACCGGGAUUAAAGAGCCCCCAUUAGAGUUGGUUUUUGGAUGCGGAACUAACAACUCCUUUAGUCCUGAGUACGAAAACAACUGACAUAUUUGUUGCUGGAUGGAAGGUCCUUUCUCUACCGUGAAUAUUGCCAGAAAGAAUUGAAAGAGACUGCUUGCUAAAAAUAUGUCAUAGAUGUAGACCAAGCUACCAAGGAGGUAGACCAAACAUGAUACACACCAUGCGUACCUUGCUGUGCAGACUAUGCAUUGACAAGAUACCCGACCACAUGUUGGCCUCGGUCACAUCAAAAGAAUCAUGUAGGCCACCAAUAAACUACUUGAAGCGGCAUUCCGUAUCGUAUAUGCAUUGCCGGUUCAUCUGCAUUACAUUACAUAAAGCACUAUUAACUAUUUGAAUAAAAUGAACCAAUUUAAAAGUAAUGUGUUGUACUCUACUAUAGAAAGCCCUAUCACUGCCGGAUCCAAAAACAUCAUUGUUAAUGGUGGUUAAGUACCAAAUAUGACGGUCAAUAUUCUCAAGAAUAAUGGAGAAUUAGCAUUUCUUAGACACAUAUUUGGUUUUGAACAAUGUAGUUCCACAUGUCUUUGGAGAUUAUUUGGGUGUGGGUGAAAUAAUACAAAAAUAAGGAGAAAACACACUCCCAUGGCGAAGAAACACAACUCCAACCAAUGAGAGAUAGCCACAGGGGCAGCACACGGAUCCAUGGGCCCACUAACCGCAUCAAACCAUCUUACCAAGGCAGGUAGCACCCACAACCGUCAUUAGGACCCACCUGGAAGUCUACCAAGAAGAAGGUUGCGAGUGGGGCCAGGAGGGGUUCGGUUGAAUCAUCUCUAGCUAGCUCCCCUCAUCCCCAGCUGGUGGGUGGUGGUGGUUGAUGGUGUCCCUACAUCAGUUAGAGGAGAUUCCCCCAAAUAUUCCUCCUGUAAACCACCUCUAUGGACCUAUACAUAGAGGGGUGUGCUCUCCAUUCCAACACACACCACAAGUUGAAUCACUCUCUCCCUCUUUAGUUUCCAAGUUUAUGGAGUUAGGCUAGAGUAGCUCUGCUCAAGGUUCCAAGUCCACUUGGAGUUAAGCAUAUGUCUCUUGUAUCGUUAUUUCCUAAAUUGACUUUAUGCUUAGUUCUUAUAUGCAUGAGUUAGUCUAAUACCCUUGCUAUAUUGAUAUGCUCGGCUUAUAUGCUCGUAUGCUAGUCAUAUACCCUUGCUGUCGUAGUAUAGGCUUAUAUGCUCUCAUGUGUGCCUGUAGACCUUGCUAUAGUAUAUACUUGUUGUGCAUACAUACCAUGUAUAGGCUAGUCGAUCUAUACCAUGGCAUUGGUUCAAUAGCCAUGUUUUUGGUGGCUCCAACCCUAGUCACAAUAGCUCGGGACAGCUGGAGUGUUGUUAAAAAUGCAAGAGUGGUGCUUGGGUUGUUUAGCAUCGUUGGAUAUGGGUUUGCCCCACGGGUUUCUAACGGUAGGCGGCAGCUAGUGACAUCCCUGUCCGUCCUUCGUAAUCCCCCCACAUUCAGGUACGCCAUAAAUGUUCGUAAAUUAGCAGUAACUACGCCGGUACACCUGUAGGGUAUUGUCUCCCUGUAGUACCUUGGUGCAUAGAACUAAGUCCUAUACACUGUGUGUGUAUGUUUACGCUGAUAUGAUCUGUGCAGUAUAUAGGAUGUAUAUAUGAACCUAGAGCUAACUCCUAGUCCGUUCUCCAUAGCUUAGUUAUCUUGAGAUGAUUCUUCUGUAUGUGUAACACUACCCAUCUUAUCAUUAUCCUUGAUCCUGUCUUGUGUAAUAUAUCUACUCAUCCUAUGAUAUACUCAUAUGCAUAGUAAACUAUUUUGACCUACCCGCCUUCCUUUGGGAAAUAUGAUACCUUGGAAUAAUCCUAGGUGAAAUCCUACAACGGUAUAUCCAUGUAAAUGCGGAUUUAUUCAUGACCAUUAAAUAUACCAACAAUCAUCACUGUGAGUUUUGGGCGUCGUUAGUGAAGGGUUGGUAGUGAUGGGCAUCCCCUUCACCAAUGGACCUGGAACCGGCGGUGAUGGCUAUUAUAAAAAAGGGGACACCACCCAGCGUACCCCACGACCCGGCCGGCCGCACCUCCCAUCAUCCCCGCCAGCCGCCCUUCCUUUUCGCCGGCCGAGCAUGGUCCCGGCCUUUGUCCCUACCACCUCGCCUCCACCGCGACCCCCCGCCGAUGCCCUCGUGCCUGGCCCCCCUCAUCUUGCCGGCCACCCUCCCGAUGCGUCCACUGGGGCCCUCGCACCACCAACCGCCCUUGCUUAGAGAGGGAGAGAGAGGAGGGAGGUGAGGCCACGCACCUCGUCCUACACCGCCGCUGUUUCUCCUCGGCCCACCGCGCCUCACCCCACACCACAGCCGCGCCUUGCCAUCUUACCGGCUGUGACGCCUCAUCUCACCGGCCACCGUUCCUCACCCCCACUUCGGUCGUCGCCGCUCCUUGCCCUACCGCUGCUCUUUGCCGCUGCGAAUGAGCGCCGAGUGGAGGAGGAGGGAUGGGGCAGGAGGAGGGCAAGAUCCGGGAGGAAGGGAGAGAUCUCGGGAGGUGGAGAUGGAAGGAUAUGGCGGAAGGGAGAGAUCCAGAGGGAGAGAGCAGGGGAGAGAGGGGGGCGUGUGGGGAGAGAGCGCGUGUGGGGUGGGGCCGGGCUGGUGGGAUGGAAGGGAGAGGGGCUAGACGGGCGCAGUGCAUUCAACUGGAUGAAGUAAAUAUUUUGGAUUCGAGACCCCAGCUUUAUUAUCACCGCUGGUCCGUAGUACCAUCCGGUGCCUGCUCGUAAUUUAAUUUGAAUCUGCGGUGAUGUUUUAUUAUCACCAUCGGAUCAUAUAAAAAUCCGGCGGUUAAAAAUCCGCUGGUUUCGAUGAAAACCGACGGUGAUAGGAUGACUGUGAUAGUCUCUUCUCUAGUAGUGGUAUAUUAGUACCGGCUGCCGGAUGGUGUUGCCGACCAGUACUUCUCCGGGGGCGAUUCAGUACUGCUGUUAGCAAAGCUUGUUCUCUAUGAAUUUGGGGAUGGAAAGCUAGUUCUCUAGUUGUGAUUUGUUACAUAUAUAUCUAUGAUAGUCUAGAAAUUGCAUGUCCUUCGUUGACAUAGUUGAAGCUGCUUCAAGAAUUUACUUCGUGCAGUCGUGCAGCAUAUUGGAUUAUCACCUAGACAGGAUACAUAGGUGAAGCAUUGGAUGUGAUUGUGGCCGAUAAUUAUGCAGGACGCUGUUGCAAUCAACCACCAAGAAGUCUGGAGUGAUGGGGUUGCCUCAUCAAUAAUUUUUAUAUAUGGCUGCAGUAUUAUUAAGCCCACGUCAAUAAUUUUUUGUCCGCACCAUAUAUCGAUGGGGUUGCCUCAUCAAUAAUUCGCGCAACCAGACAAGCUGCAGACUCAAUAUGGUACGAAGCUAGUUGCUCAGCCCACAUGCUCUGAUAUAACAUUGACAUCUGCUGAUCUACAGUAUAUAUGACCAGAAAUAUUGUGCCCACCUCAAUAACUUUCUGAAGUAUCGUGGGGAAGAACCUACGCGUACUAUGCCUCGGAACUAACUGACAUAUCGGCCCAGGCGGUCUAGGCCGAUUGGACUGGCUCUUCCUUGUGGCUUCUCACAUCCCCUUCGUCCCCAAGUAAUUUCAGGUGUUCUGUAGUUUUCUUUUCACUUGCAUCUGAGCCUCCUAUAUCAAUAGCUUCGGGAUAAGAAUGCCUCUUGAUAACCUUCCAAAUCCUCGCUUGAUUCACAUUGAUUCCGAAAUCAUCUUGCCAUAUCUUCAGAGACUUAGGUCCUAAGGCAUCAUGGAGGAUUGCUCGCCAAGAAUGAGCACCAUUGGGCUCCUGAGGACCCUAGGCCGAUCAGCCCGGGCUCUAUAGGUCGAUUGGCCCAGGCCCUCUCUGGGCCUGUUGGCCUUCAUCUUUCUUUGAGUCGACGCUUAUUCAGGGCUUUGUCCAAUUAUAGUCCAUUAUAGUCUAAUUUCCUAAAAAACAGAAUGUCCUCCAAAAUACAAUGCAUAUGUGAAAACAACCCAAUUAUUAGGUAUGAUCAAUAGUUUAGGUAUUAAAUUAAUAUUAUUAUUUAAGAUAAACAGGGGUAAAGGGUGUCAUUAAUAACAAGCGCCAACAAGCGUCCUAGCUGUUCAAUAAAUUUUUUCUAGUACCGAUUGGUAACACUAACCGGUGCUAAUAUGUACCCUUUAUUACCGGUUAUUUUACCAGGUACUAAAGGAGACAAGAGCAUCCUAACAUAAGGUUAAUAUCAUCCAUUUCAUGAGUAAAAUACUAUGAUUCAAAAAUAAUUCAAAUCCCUUAAGACAAUACCUAUCAAAUGAGUAAAUUGUAAAUAGAGUAAUCUUGAUCAAACAAUGUCCUAAUGAAACGGAACACUUCUGGUUCGUGUAGAGCACAAUAUAGAAAACAGUAGGGUAGCUGUAUGAUUGACACGUGGUCCAUUAAUUAUUGAGCCAACACUAUGGACAUGUCUUCAUGAGUAGUGUACUAGUCAUAAUACAUGGUAUGCAGUAGGUGGAGGUAUUGACUUAGCCAUGCUAUGAGCACUUAGUUACAACAAACACUUUGCCAUUAUCGAGCAUCCCAAAUCACUACAAAAUCCAUAGUUUACCAUAUACUACAAAAUCUGAGUUAAAAUAAGAGCAUACACGGAAGAGUCCGAAUGCACGGCACAUUGAAUUACUAGACAAAAUUUAUGGGACAAGGUUUUGGGUAACCGCAUGAAAAAUAUUGGAUUUUACUGAACACUUAGUUACAAUUACCAUGCCCGUGAGCACUUAGUCACCACAAACAUUUAACCACUUUAGAUCAUCCUGAAUCCCUAUAAAUUCUAUACCUUACACCGUACCAUGAAAACGACAAGAACAGAGACAGAUGCGGUGAAAAUCUCCAGAGCAAGCCUGAAAUUAAAAUAAGAGGAGGCAGUCACUAUCGACAGGACACGGAGAUUGCUAGCCAUGACAGAGGAAGACAUGAUAUGAUAUUCACCUCUGAAAUGCAGCGUAGACUAAAUGAAGCACAAUUGCAAGUGAGUGUGGCAGAUAAUGGACCAUCGAGACCAUCGAAUGGUAUGAAGCAUGAUUAUCACCUAGACAUGAUAUCCUAGACAGGACGGUGAAUUGUAAAAAGAGUAAUCUUGAUCAAAGAAUGUCCUAAUGAAACGGAACAUUUUUGGUACGUGUAGAGCAAAAUAUAGAAAACAGUAGAGUAGUUGUACGAUUGAAACUGCAUCCAUCGACGUGGUGCAUGAAUUGUUGAGCCAACACUGUGGACAUGUCUUCAUGAACACCAUCUAGUGAGGACAGCAUGCAGAAAAAUAUAAAAACAUGUCAUAGGGAGGCAGACCAAUCUUGCGAGGUAGACGAAACGUGAUACACGAUCUGCCUACCUUGUCGUGUGGAUACCCCAAGUGAAGAUGUCAUAGAGGUGCAGACCAAGCUAGCAAGGAGGUAGAUGAAACGUGAUACACGGCCUGCCUACCUUGCCGUGGAUAUUAGUCCUGAUAUCAUUCUAUUGUUCAAGGAAUAACACUCAAUGCUGCUGCUGCUGCUGACCUGGCUCCAUAAAGUUAUAUUCCUCUAGCCGCUUGCACUAACUUUAUCUGAAGUAUUAUUCUCUCUGCACUGUAUAUAUGGUUACGGAGUUUGCUGGAGUAUCCGGGGGGAAGAACCUACAUAAUAUGUCUUGGAACUAACUGACAUUGAUUCACAGACAAGGUGCUGUUGUUGACAUGGUACAGUAAAUAAUAUAGUUUACCAUAUACCGUAUACCAUUAUAUGUUAGCUAAAAUAAGAGCAUAACAUGUCGCAGGAGUCCAAAAGCACCGGUUGAGGACCAGGUACAUUAAAUUACUAGAAAACAAAAGGGGACAAGGUUUAGGUAGCCACAUGAAAAACAUUUGAAUUUACUGUACCAUGAACACUUAGUUACCAUGCCGGGAGCACCUAGUUAACACUAACAUUUAGCCACUUUAGAUCAUCCCGAAACACCAAUGACCCUCAAUAGCGACAAAUUUUGGUUUAAAUGCCGUCACCAAUGAUCCUCAAUAGUGACGUGUUUAGGUUUAAAUCCCAUCACUAAUAACCCUUGGUAGUGACGUGUUUUGGUUUAAAUCUCAUCACCACUGAUCCUCACUAGUGACGUGUUUUUAGCAACACACGUUAUGAAUGACUUGUCAUUGGUGACAUGUUAAACGCGUUAUCUCAAUGGCAAAUCAAUGGUGACGUGUUUAAAAAAACAUGUCACUGUGAGAGUUAUUGGUGAAGGGUAAUUAAAAUGCAUCACUAAUUUUGUAGCAUUAGUUAUGAUAUAAUUUUGUAACGCAAAAAUCUACCAUAGUAAUGAGGUUUAGAGCCAUCACUAAUGUGGGUUUCUUAUCGUAGUGAUGCAAGCUCUACAAGGUGCUGUUGUUGCCAUUUUAAAGCAUCCCAAAUGACUACAAGAGUCCGGUUGAGGACUAAACAAAUUGAAUUACUAGAACCAAAUGUAUGUCCAGAACAAAGAAAGGGGUCAAGGUUUGGGUAACCGCAUUAAAAACAUUGAAUUUUACUGUACCAUGAACACUUAGUUACCAUUACCAUGCCUUGAGCACCUAGUUACCACAAACAUUAAUUUAGCCACUUUAGAGGUUCCACAAUCACUAUAAAUAAUAUACCAACACCGUACCAUGAAAACAUCAAGAAGAGAGACGGGUACAUGGACCACCAUCAAGUGAGUAGUGACAGCACGCACAAGAAUACCCGGAACCUUUUAGCUUGUCUGUAGUGAUCUGUUUUCUUCGCCACAAAUAAUGAAAGAGGCUGACCAAGCUAGCAACGAGGUAGAGCAAACGUGAUACACGUAGGUUUCAUUCAAGACAUCCAUGUAAGAUUCAUUCAAAACAUUCAUGGAAAUUUCUUGUAAGUUUUCAUGUAAAUUUCAUUCAAGACAUUUGUUAGAGGUGUUGUAUAUACACUUAACGUACAUAUAUCUAUGAUUUCAUGGUUGUUAGUGAUGGCAGAUGAGGAGCAUGCAAGGUGUUUAAUGGAGCAGAUUAUUGCUAGUGGUAGUGGCUCCAACCUGCCCGUAACGUACACCGACGAAGAGGGCAGCCAGGCGGACAUGUUCCUCAACAUGUCCGGUGAUGGCAAUGAAGAGCCCGAGCAAAACCUUGCCGUGACGGAAGGUUCCAUCGAGGUAUAUAUCAUUUCCAUUAUUUUACCCCAUCUAUAAUUUCAUAUUCAUUAUUACUAUGUGCUAAUUAAUGAAUCUUGAACCGUUAGUCCUCUAGAUCAACGAACCGAAAUAAGCCCCGAGGUCUUACAAAGAUAAUGCAGGGAAGGCUUCACAUCAUGGAAGUCACAGAAGAGGGCACAUCGGUUGCUCCCGAACAUGUGGCAAGAAAGUACGUGAGUCAAACCGGGGCAAUCGUAAGGGACAACAUGCCCAUCAGCAUCAGGGAAUGAAAGAGCAAUAGAAAUGAUCUAUACGCACCCCCGGAUACACAAAAGGAUAUGUUGUGGGCAAAUAUCAAGAAACACUUCACAUUUCCCAAAGGAUAUGUUGAAAAAUAUGUGAAAGCGUGGAUGUUGAAGAAGAUGGCCACCCAAUUCCAGACAUUCAAGAAGAUGUUGGAUGCCAACUUCAUCAAGAAGGGUCGAACUCCGGGUUUCAAUGAGUGGCCAAAGUUAAGGGACCACUGGGAGUCGUUUGUCGAAUACAAGACGAGCGAAGGUGGUGCGAGUAAGGUUCACAUCAAUGUUGCCAAUGCUAGCAAGGAGUACCAUCAUCAUCUAGGGCGACGUGGUUACAGCUCUGCAAUUCCCAGAUGGCGCAAGAUGGAACAAGACCUGAUCGAUCGGGGUAUCGUACCAGCAACUCUUGACUGGAUCGAUUGAAAAAUUGGUAUUAUGCUCAUGAAGGCAAUCUGAGCCAAGAGGAUCCGACAUUGGUCUUCAAUAAAACAAUACGUCAGAAGGUCGGAAGGCUUAUUAGGAACAUUGAAGAUGCUAAAGCUGGGAGGUUCAAGGUGGAUAGAGAGAAUGAUGAACUCACAUUGGCCCUCGGGACUGUCAUCUCUAGCACUUCCAGCUCCAGGACUAUCGUCACCACCGGGACCGUCGCUUCCUGCUCGAUCACAGUCUCCAUCUCCAGCACAUCCUGGUGGUGCGAGCGACGACGACAACAACACCCCUCCCUGCCCACCAUUGCCGGGACUAAGACCCGCAUUGAGUAAGGAACCUGCAACACCACUGAAGAAGUCGCGACCACCACCUUCAAGGCAAGUCAGCAAAAGAAGAAAGCAGAGAAGCCUAAACCCACUGAGAAGCCAGCGACUGAUAUGACCGAUGCGGAAAGAUGGAAGGCACUCAAAGAAGAAUGCAGGGAGUGGUUCAGCGAAGGCGAAGGUGAGAAAGUCGUAUGAAUCGAAUUCAAGGAUAUAUAUGAAGUGAACCAUCAGGAUGCCCUUGAUGUCUCUCUCAUCAGCGCCUAGGUUCUGUAAGUGUAUGUUUAUCUAUAAGUAAAUUUUGGCUCAUAUCAUUAUUUUUUUUGCGUGCGUCACCCUACUAACUUCGUCUUCCAUUUUAUGUAGGAUGCUAAUUCAGACGUGCCGCAUAGAAGCGUACUUCCAUGUUGGAUUCAUGGAUCCAUCCCUAGUUAACCAAAAGCCGAUACGGAAGUAGCUAGAGAAAACGUUGGAGGUGGUGUACAACCUCCUGGACAAACUAAACUACAGAAUAGGGGCAAUAUGUGAGGGUCUUGUAGGAUUCCUAGUGGACGAGGUGAUAAAUCCAUAAGGAGAAUAUCAUUCCAACGGACGAGCAUUAGACACACUGAGCAACACCUAGAUGGGAGGAUCCUAGGAAUGACCUCGACAGAUUUUGGUAUAAAUAGUAAUUGUGUAAAUACUAGUUUGAUUUGUAUAGGAAUAUACUAAGAAUUGUAUAUAUAGUAAUUGUACAAAUACUAGUUUGAUUUGUAUGAAUACUAGAUUGAUUUUAUUAUAAAAAAGUUUUAAGUCGUACGUGCAUGCGCCUACAAAGGCGCGGAUGCCUUUUAAUCCCAGUCGGAAAAACAAACUGGUACUAAAGGGGCUCGUGCCGCACCUGGCAUGACCACCCCUUUAGUCCCGGUUGAACGACCCAGGACUAAAGAUCUCCGCGUCUCAAAAAUUUUAUCUCGGAUGCUUUUUAGAGAGAUUUGAGGCCUAUCAACCAAGACUAAUAUCGAGUUUUCUACCAGUGAAACUAACUAACGUUCACAUGGUUUUGACAUUCACCUGCCAUUUGGUGUAGACAAGGGCACCCUAACAUAUGGUUAAUAUUAUUCUUGAAAGAAAAUCCUUUGAUUCAAAAUACUUCAAACCUAAUAAUACAAUACUUCUCACAUCUGAAAAAUAUGAGACGGCCCGACAGUAUUCUAAUCGACGCAAUAAUAUUUUGAGGGCAGCACUACUACAGCGACCCUCAUUCGUGCCGGUGCUGGGACUCCUAUCACGACCCUGAUACAAAUGAGGGUACAUUAUUGGUGCCAGUGCUAGAACAGCCACGAAUAACUUGCUAAACGUGCUGUUACACUCACUACAGGGACCAAGAAGGUAGAUAAAUUACACGACAUAGCCUUGGUUGCCGUGGAAGCGCCAAGAAGGGAGACAAAUUACAGGGACCACACCAUCAAGUAGAUAGUGACAAUAUGCAAAAGAAUACCCGCGCCUGUUAGCAUGUGAACUGACCACACCACGAAACGUGAUACACGGCAAGCGUACCAAGGCCUUGCUGUGCAGACUAUGCAUGGACAACACAUGGUACCUGACCGCUUUUGGCCUCAGACACAUCGAAAAACUGCAUCGUUCCACGUUGUACAUCCAUUGCUAGUUUAUCUAUAUUACAUAAUAUAUUAUUAGCUAUUUGAAUAGAAUGAACCAAUUAAAAAAUUGCGUUGUAUUUUUAGUACCGGCUGCAGGAUGGUGUUACCAACCAGUACUAAUUGGCCUGUAGGAGUGAUGGUUAUUAGACUUGGUACUGUUGUUAGCAUCAUUAACCUAAUUGUGCGCCGUAUGAAUUUGGGGAUGCAAAGCUAGCUCUCUAUGAAUGUGAGGGAUGGAAAGCUAGUUCUCUAGUAGUAAUUAUAUAUAUGACAGUCAAGAAAUCGAACACUAUGCUGCUACGAGUCACCAUCAUUUCCUUCAUUGACAAUCUGACAUAGGUGAAGCUGCUUCAAUAAUUUCCUUCGCGCAGUCGUGGAGCUUAUUGGAUUAUCACCAGGACGGGACACGGAAAUGGCCAGCAAUGAAGCUGAUUGCCGUCUGAGGAAGACUACAUACUUACCUAUGAAAUGAAGCGAUUGCAUAGACUAAUGAAGCAUUGCAUAUUUGCAUGUGAGUGUGGCAGAUAAUUCUGCAGGACAUGAUUGCAAUCCACGCACCAUCGAGAAGACUGGGGCGAUGGGGUUGCCUCAUCAAUAAUCACGUGGAUGCAUGCAUGCAUGUUCCCGCAACCGGACAAGGGUCUGAUAUAUGGCUAUAGUAUUACUGAGCCCACAUCAAUAAUUUCCACUGGUGUAUCGUGUGGGAAGAAUCAACAUACUACACCUCGAGUUCUUGGAACUAACUGACGUUCACAUGCAACCUCCACAAGGUGCUGUAUGCUUUUGACAUUCACCUGCCAGUUCGUGUAGAGAAGGACACCCUAACGUAUAGUUAAUAUUAUCCAUUUCAUGAGUAAAAUACUGUGAUUCAAAAAUACUUCAAAUCCCUUGAGACAAUACUUCUCACUUGACUAACCACUAACCAACCCCGAAACCCUAACUCAACUCCGAACCCUAACCCCUAACGGCAUAACCACUCCGUUUUGCCGGCGAGAUGGAGGAACUGGCUGGAAGGUAGAGAGGGCAGCGGUCCAGGGUUGAAAACGACGGGCGAGCGCAGUAACAUGUGGAGGAGGAAGUGCCACGUAUUCGUUCACCGCUAUUGGGCAGCGACACACGACACGCCCAAUAAGAUCUUCGCACGGUAGAAGGACGUCAUGUAUUCAAUAAUGUUAUUGGUCCCCCAUGUGCAGAAGGGCGCGCGCGUAUGGAAUAACAAGUAGGGACACUGCAACUAAUCUACUCUGCUCGUCCAGUCCCUAGCCUAUAAAUAGAUGCCAUGCUAGCUCUUGUUGUGCUCACAAUUAAUCCGAUUACACACGAGCUUCUCUCCCUGGCCAAGACACAACCAUAGUAUGAUGAAGAACAUGGCACUAGCCGGCAAUGGUAUGAAGAAGUUAAUCCUCGCUGUUCUCUUACUGUGUCUAGUUAUAGGGCAGAUACAAGUGGAAGCUAAGAGCUGCUGCCCAUCCACCACUGCAAGAAAUGUCUACAAUACCUGCCGUUUCACGGGUACAUCCCGUCCAACGUGUGCAAAACUGUCAGGCUGCAAAAUUAUCAGCGGGAACAAAUGCAAGCCCCCUAACGACCACCUCACCCUUGACCCGGACACUGGUAAAUAAUAAAUUUAUCUCACUUGAUUUCUUCGUGAUUUGAGUCGUUAAUGUAUUUUCCAUCUGAUGAAACGUAUUGGUUUUGCAUUGAAGAGGAAGUUAAUGUGCUUAACUUCUGCAAGUUGGGGUGUGCGUCGUCUGUGUGCAACAACAUCAACGCUGGUAAGCAACUUUUGCUCAGACAGAGAAAACAAUAAUCAUUAAUUAGCGGCAGCUAGAAUCCUAUAAUCUAAUAUAUAUAUAUAUAUAUAAUUUUAUCAGCUCUGGGAAAUGAAGAGGCGAACGAUGCCGUUGAGAGUUGCGACCAAGCCUGCUCUAGCUUCUGCAGCGUGCAUGUUGGCAGCGCCACCGUGGUUGCUUAAGCAAAUGCAUCCAACUAGAUCGUCCUUGUGCUGAAUAAUUGGAUAUCGUAUCCACUUAAAGCUGCCUUGUGUAGUACGUCUUUGUGUCUCUCUUUAUAUUCCAAUAAGGUCGGUGAUCUUGAUGCCACACACUCAGAUGUGUGUUCAUCUCCAGAUACUACUCCAUGCUACCUGCCCUUUGUGUUUUGUUCAAUAACUGGGUAUCAUAUCCCAGCCAGUAUGCCGUCUGUUUUGUGUUUGUUUCCUUCUAGUUCCAAAGGGGUCAUCAUGAUGUUACCUUCUUUCAAUAUGGUGCUUUGCAUGACUACUGUUGUAUGGUACCAUCUUGUGGCCAAUAAGUACAUCUUAUCCUAUGACCUUUGCUAUGACCCUUUGCAAAUAAGUAGAAGAUUGUUAUAAGCGUCAAUACUCCGUAUAAAUUGAUCGCUGCUGUGAGUUCCCUUUCAGCUUAUCGUAGGCAUACAUUAUUGCUAGCACGGUAAAGCCAACCAACACGAAUGAUGAAGUAAACGUAGCGGUACUUCUGUAUACCAACACCCUUACUUAAAUGUACCGGUGUCAUUCCCUACUGGCACAUAUAUUCUUAUAUGCUAGCCAGCUUGUAAAAUUAACCAAUUAAAAUAAUUAUUUCAAGAUAGAAAUAACUUAUCGGUUUCUGGAAGCAUGUGUAAUGUGAAUUCAAGGACUCGACGGAAGUUGAAUCACUUCAUCUAUAUUGCUUUCAGUAUUUUGGGUAACUAAAUUUAACAUUUGCACAUACAAAUGUUAAAGUACAAAUGUUAAAUCUAGUUACCCAAGCAGAAUAUGAAGAUAGUUUAUAGUAUAUAUAUACUAUAUAAAUCUAGUUAACAUUUAGUCUAAAUGUUAAAUCUAGUUACCUAAAAUCCUGAAAGCAAAAUGUAUAAAUAUAUAUCUUUUAAGGCAGUAUAAGCUUCGAUUCCUAUUGCUGCUCUGUUAAAUCUCAUCUUUCGUUGUGGCCCAACACUCUAGUAUGCAUGUUGCACCAAGCUUCUUUGAGCCGCUCUGCCCUCUGAUUUUGCUGCGUAGGGGAAUCUUUAUCAGGUUGGGCUACUUCCAGUUGUGCGAUGUAAAGAUUCGUAUUUUCUAGAAGGUAGACAAAAAACUCGCGUUCUCUUAAGGCAACAACCGGAAGAUUCUGCAGCGCACAGGGCAUACCAUUAUUGUAGAAACGACCUUUAGUACCGAUCUCCAACCCCCUUUAAAACUGGUUUUGCAACCGGUACCGUUAUGUCGGUCCUUUAGUACCAGAUCAAAUAAGUACCGGUUGGUAACCAGUAUCAACUUGUUUUGCGGCCAAAAAAAUAAAGAAAAAAACAGUCAGAAGGCUCGCACACACGCGCAUCACAUGAAAUAUGCGUGUGCGGGGUCCAUGGGAUUCGAACCCAUGAAAUCAAGCUGCACGCGACCCUUCGUUACCAUCUCACCUACAUAGCGCAUAUGCUUUCCUGAAGUAACCCGUGGAGGAGGCUUUAGUACCGGGUCAUAACACCACCCGGUACUAAAAAUGACUCUUCAGUACCGGGUCAUAACACCACCUGAUACUAGUAUCGGAUGGUGUAAUGACCCGAUACUAAAAGGCCUCUAGGGACCCUCAAAUUUGAACCCGGUACUAAUGCUAAUAUUAGUAGCGGGUCAAAGUGCAGCCAGAACUAAAGCAUGGGAUGAAAGGUCAUAUUUCUAGUAGUGUAUAGUUGUUGUGAAGGACUGACUUGGCUGUCCUCUCUCUUCUCCAUCCCCUUGGUCUUACGCCGCCGCUCGCACGCGAGCCGGUGCCCAACCAGAGGAGUGAGAGCUAGGGGCAGGUUGGGAGGUGGGGAUAGUGACUGGUGGCCAGGGUGAUGGUUGAUCCUGGUGGGGUUAGGGUUUCAGGGUUUUCGAGCUUCCUAUGGUCGGCGAACCUAGAGGAGAAGCUCAACAUCAGCUGCAACCCGCGAUGGUGGUGGUUUGGCCGGCGCCCGAGGCGAGGCAGCGCGGGAGUGCUGCCGGUGGGUUGGUGUUGGCACUCAUUAUUGACAACUAUUUUGUUCAUAAAAUAACACUCAAACUUGCUGCUGCUGCUGCUGCCAUCGCCACCCUAGCCAUAAUAUAAAGGCAAAAUUUGCUAAAGGACAUGCAAAAUGAUGCUAGUUUGCUGGCGGGCAUCGUUGACCUUGUAAUAUGCUACAAGACACUCUAGUUGUGUAUCAAUUUGCUGAAAGACAUUGCUAUGACUAAAAUAAUGUUUCUGGACUGAGUUGGAGAGAGAGAUGGAGUGAAAUGUCUGUUUUGCCCAUGACCCCACUGGUCAGAUCCUUCUUCUUCCACCCUCCUUUGUUCUUUCUUCAACCAUUACCCAGCUCCAGCGUGUUGCAGAUCUACGAGGGUGGCGGCCUGGGGCGAGGGGCAUCGCUCGCCCUUGGAGGAGCGCUGCGAGCGACGGCGCGGGGGCGGCAACAGCGCGUCAGAACCUGACUGUUCGUUAGCUCCUCUCGCUGCUGGGGAAGAAGGAGGGGGAUGGGCCAUGGACGGGGUUCCCUUGAAAACCUCAGCGUCGAGCUCGGGCGGCUACGCGCAGGCAGCACUAGGCUGCUUCACGGGGAGGGGGCGCGGCCAAUCAUUGGCACCCCACUGGUCCAAUGCUGAUGAAGAUGGUGCCAGCGUCGUGUGAGGACAUCUCAUCUCCUCGAGUUCCAUGGCCAGCACAGGUGAGCUGCCGCUACCACAAAACAGAGGUUUCGUGAGAGUCAAAAAACCUUAUGAAAAUAGCUAAAACCAUCAUGAAAAUAAUCCGUGACAUGACACUCUCACGAAAAUCCUCUCACAAAUAUGGUGCCAUGAAAAUACCAUUUUCAUGAGAGUGAACUGUCAUGAUUUUAUAAGCGUCAAUACUCGGUAUAAAUUGACUACUGCUGUGAGUUCCCUUUCAGCUUAUCGUAGGCAUACAUUAUUGCUAGCACGGUAAAGAGAACCAACACGAAUGAUGAAGUAAACGUAGCGGAACUUUUGUAUACCAACACCCUUACGUACCGGUGUCAUUCCCCACUGCCACAUAUAUUCUUAUAUGCUAACCAGCUUUGAAAAUUAAGCGAUUAAAAUAAUUAUUUCAAGAUAGAAAUAACUUAUCGGCUUCUCGAAGCUUGUGUAAUGUGAAUUCAAGGACUCGAUGGAAGUUGAAUCGCUUCAUCUAGAUUGCUUUCAGGAUUUUGGGUAACUAAAUUUAACAUUUGCACACACAAAUGUUAAUGUACAAAUGUUAAAUCUAGUUACCCAAGCAGAAUAUGAAGAUACUCUAUAGUAUAUAUGUACUAUAUAAAUCUAGUAAACAUUUAGUCUAAAUGUUAAAUCUAGUUACCUAAAAUCCUAAAAGCAAAAUGUAUAAAUAUAUAUCUUUUAAGGCAGUAUAAGCUUCAAUUCUCUGUUAAAUCUCAUCUUUCGUUGUGGCCCAACACUCUAGUAUGCAUGUUGCACCAAGCUUCUUUGAGCCGCUCUGCCCUCUGAUUUUGCUGCGUAGGGGAAUCUUUAUCAGGUUGGGCUACUUCCAGUUGUGCGAUGUAAAGCUUCGUAUCUUUUAGAAGGUAGACAAAAUACCCGCGUUCUGGAAGAUUCUGCAACGUGCACGUUGGCGCUGCCACCGUGGUUGCUUAAGCAAAUGCAUCCAACUGAAUCGUCCUUAAGCUGAAUAAUUGGAUAUGGUAUCCACUGCUUAAAGCUGCCAUGUUUAGUACGUCUUUGUUUUUCUCUCUUUAUAUUCCAAUAAGGUCGGUGAUCUUGAUGCCACACACUCAGAUGUGUGUUUAUCUCCAGAUACUACUCCAUGCUACCUACCCUUUGUGUUUUGUUCAAUAACUGGGUAUCAUAUCCUAGCCAGUGUGCCAUCUGUUUUGUGUUUGUUUCCUUCUAGUUCCAAAGGGGUCAUCAUGAUGUUACCUUCUUUUGAGGUGUCUAUGAUGACUUCGUUAAUAUCAAUAUUAACCAAUUCAAUCUGUCUUAACUAUUUGUAAGGGGUAUGAUGUAUGCAUGAUUAUAACAAUGAUUGCGCAUACAAUCGCCGCCAAAGAAACGGUCAAUACCAUUAAGACAUAUUACAGACAAUUCUCAUAAUCUAUAAUGAAUAUACAUAUUCACUACUGCAGAAGACUGUCAUUUGUAUCGGCUCAUACGUGCCAGGGCAAAGGUCACCCUUGCAUUAAGUACAUUUGCACGGUAAAGACAACCAACACGAAUAAUGAAGUAAACAUGCCGGUGCUUUUGUACACCAACACGCUUACUUAAAUGUACUGGUGUCAUUCCUCACCGGUAGCCGGCUUGAAAAUUAACCAAUUAGAACAAUUAUUUAUUGUAUCGGUGUGAUUUUUGACCUAUUGGAAUAUGAAUUUGACCGUUACUGCAUUCGUCAAGACUCAAGAGAGAAAUAACUGAUCGGCUUCUUAGAGCGUGUGCAAUGUGAAAUCAAGGACUGGAUGGAAGUUGAAGCGCUAGCACUAGUAGAGAAACGACUUUCCAUCCACCCCCUUUUGUCCCGGUUUAAAGUUGGCUCGGGAUAAAAGGUUCACCAACCGGGACUAAAACUCAGUCACUGGUGGGAGGCUCACCAACCGGAACCUUUUAUCCCGGUUGCAAAGGCUAAUGGGAAAAAAAGACUCUGAGAGGCCUUUUAUCCCGGUUUGAAACACCAACCGGGAUAAAAGACCCCCCUUUUAUCCCGGUUGGUAACACCAACCGAGAUAAAAGGGUCAAGAGCCUUUUAUCCCGGUUGGAAACACCAACCGGGAUAAAAGACCCCCUUUUAUCCCGGUUGGUGUUUCAAACCGGGAUAAAAGGGCCCCCACGAGGUGACUGGAAGGUGACUGGAAGGGGAUUAAAUCGUGGGGGACCCUUUUAUCCCGGUUGGAAACACCAACCGGGAUAAAAGGGGGUCUUUUAUCCCGGUUGGUGUUUCCAACCGGGAUAAAAGGGUCCCCCACGAGUUAAUACAAAAGGAUAGUAUCCCCUACAUAGUCAGAUGUGGUGUGUAGGUGGGAUGGUAAGGAAGCUACGCGCGAGCUCCGGAAUUUUUUUUUUUUUUUUUUGCAGCGUCGGCGCUCUCUACCCUUUUAUCCCGGUUGGUAUUACCAACCGGGAUAAAAGGGGGUCUUUUGUCCCGGUUGAGUGACCCGGGAUAAAAGACCCCCCCUUUUUUCCCCGGUUAGUUUAUCCCGGAUGCAUUUUCGGGAUAAAAGCACCCUACCAACCGGGAUUAAAGCUCACUUCUCUACCAGUGUAGCUUCAUCUUCCGCUGCAAGUUAAUUGCUUGGAUAAGAAGUUGUAGCCGCUGCAAGUUAUAAAUAGUCCCGCUGAUGCUGUGCUCCGAAGUCUAUACUAUAUAUGCGGAAACUAGAUUGCUUUCAGGAUUUUGGGUAACUAAAUUUAACAUUUGUACAUAAAAAUGUUAGUUUACGAAUGUUAAAUCUAGUUACCCAAGCAGAACAAGAAGAUAGUAUAUAGUAUAUACUAUAUAAAUCAAGUUAACAAUUAGUCUAAAUGUUAUAUCUACUUACCCAAAAUAUUGAAAGCAAAGAAAGAAUAAGUAUAUAUCUUUUGUUGGAAAAUUGGUCCACGGAGAGGCCCAUUUAGGCCUCGUUCGUUUCACCGGGAUGGGAUUCCAGUCAGGAUUACUUCCAAGUUCGGUUUGAGUGAUUCCACCCGUGUCACUCAAUCCGGCUAGGAUUCAUUCUAUGGGUGAGGAGGUAUGGUUUCAAUCCAGGCCAUCUAAUGUAGAAGGAUUCCAAUCCAGGCCGGUUUUCGUUCCAGGCCAGACUAAAACGAACAACACUUUCAAUGCAAGUCUGGUUUCAAACCGGGCCAUUUCAAACCACCCGGAAUGGACCUCGUUCCAGGCCAAUCCGGUGAAAACAAAUGAGGCCUUAAUGGAAUCCCAAAGCAAGAGUUCAGUGGCAUUCUAUAGUCCCAUGCUGCUAGUUUGAGUUGGUCGAAGCCAACUUAAAUAGGAGAGCUCUCUCACUUCUCUAAAUACGUAACUGAAGGAGAGAAGGGGGCUUGGGUUACACAACGCACGCACGCACGCAUAUUUGCGUUCUUUUCGCGUAACCAACCGCGUGACUUGAAACUUGCGACGUAGCGUGCUGCUAAGUCAAGUUGAUAUAACCUUUUUGCCGUUUGCAUGUAAUCUUUUGACAACGGUCAUUGGAGGUGAUAAGCACGCAGUCAAUACCUUAAUCUUGAGUUAAUAGGGUGGUUACUACUGCCAAUUAGUGGGGCAAUUUUGUAGGGGAAACGGUUAGCAGAGGGCUACCGUCUUCUCUAUAAGAAGUUCUGGAGACGUCCAGGAACACACAUGUACAUGUGAGAGACCCACAAAUUCCUUCCCUUCUCCCUUUUCCAUGUGGUGAAGUGUGCUGUGGUACUGAGCUGCUUGAUCUCGCCGCUCUUCUCCUUGGCAUGCACCGAGGAGGAGGGUGAGCGGUAUCUCCGAGCUAUUGCCGUCAGGAAGCCUGCACGAGGGACAACAAAAAGUUUUUGGGUAGCGCAACUGCCAGCACAACUCUCCCUCCGCCUCUUCUUCACGGUUGAUGGCCACCACAAGCAUAAACCUCGCCUUCGCAUCCACGCAAAAGGGUCGCUGGGGUGCCUUCUUGCAUCGCUUCUCAGCCUCCUUGACUUGCGGCCAGCCAAGAACUGCGCCACCACCUCGGGUGCACGCCACCACUCCAGGGCUGCUACCCCAUGCCUGCGGCCGCCGCCGGCCACCACGCGUGUGCAACCGCGUCGCACCGCUUCCUUGCUUUGUGCCACCACUGCUGCUGUACCACCAGCUCCACCACCUUGGGCUGGUCGCCAGAGUGACUGAUAACUUAUUAUCUGUAACUACUAUUAACUCAGGGAUACAUGCGUCUUUUGCUUCUCCUACUAAUAUGUCCUAAAAUAUCUAGGAUGCCUUAUAUUUCUGGACAGAGGAAGUAUUUGAAUAAAAUGAACCAAUUUAAAAAAAUGUGUUGUACACUACUACAGAAAGACCUAUCAGUGUCAAACCCAAAAAUGUUGUCACCGCCAGUUUUGGGCAUCAUUGGUGAAAGGUUGGCGGUGAUGGGCUUUCCCUUCAACAACGGCACUGGAGCCGACGGUGAUUGACAUUAGAAAACAAAAAAGGGGACCCUACCUAGCCACCCCUGCAACCCGGCCGGCCGUGCCUCCCCUCAUCCCCACCACCUCGCCUCCCCAUGACCCCCCGCCGGCGCCCUUGCGCCUAGCCCCCUCAACUGCCCAGCCGGCCACCCUCAUCACGAGAGAGAGGUGCAUGUUGUAUAAUUGCGUGAAUUUUUUAAUGUUUAAUUUCAUGUAAGUUCCGUGUAAUAAAUUGUACAAGUUUUAUUGUAUAUAUGAAUUCCAUAUAUAUAUAUAUAUAUUUAUAAUUUAAUGUAUGGUUUCAUGUGUAUAUUUCAAUCAUGUGUAUAUUUAGUAGAUUGCCGAUUUUCUUUUUCUACUAGACAAGGGUUGAUGUAUAAUUACGUGUAUAUGUUUAUUGUACGGGCAAUUAGGACAAGUUUUGUAUAAAUUUCUUUUAUUUGAUGGUUGUUGUAUGGUUUCAUGUAUAUACAUUUAUUGUACUACUUUAGACAAUUUUUAAUUUAAUGUUUCUAUGAUUAGAUGUGUGUAUAACUAAUUGUAUUAUUAGUUAAGAUGGGAGCUAAAGAGGAUGAAAGGUAUAUAAUGGAGCAGAUUAUUGCUAGCUCAAACGUUGCAAGAACCUACACCGAGGGUGAGGGUAGCUAGGUGGACAUGUACCUCAACAUGUCCAGUGAUGGCAAUGACGAUGAGGAGCACGAGCAUGACAUCUAUGAUAAUGCGGAACAAGACAUUGCAGAAUUGGAAGGUUCUAAUGAGGUGUGCUUCAUGUUGACAAUCUAGUUGGCUUUUUUUCGUUGGUCACACCUUAGUUACCAUAGAACUUCGUCUCGGGAGAAGAUUGGUGGUGGUAUGGUGAUUGGAAUUUUAUUUCCACGAAAUCUGAUUUCCAUCGAAUCAUAUCCCUUGUAUUUAUCUUCUUUUUAUUUGUGAGAGCAUCUUCUUUAUGCUUGCAAAACAAUUCAAGUGCACAUACUACCCCUAGGGUGACGAUUGGGAGUAGAAAUAAUUGCCAACAAAACAACACCACAUCCUAAGAUUCUUAACUUGUGGCAUAAUUAGUCUAGUAAAAAGAAAGAUAAAAACCUAAUGGGUGUAUGUGAGUGCAAUGUGUAUAUGCAUAUGAGUGGAAGGCAUAUAAGCAAAGACAAUAUUUACACAUAGUUCUAAACACCAUGUUUACAGCUAGGUUGCUGAAUUUCUCCAUAGCCAUAGAGAUUAAUUAACCAAGGUCAAAACACGAUGUCUAUCCCAAGAUCAGUAAUUAUUUAUAGCACAAGAAAAAGAAAGCGCAUUGCAAAGUUUAUAAACCAACCAAUACAGCAUGAAAACAAGAUGAAUAGCUAGCAAGGUUUAUUAAACUGAAUGAUGACGGUCUGUAAGCAAGUUUAAACACCAUCUUUACACAAGAUUGCAAAUGGAAAAUGCCCAUAUGAAGCACUAACAUGGAUAUGAAAUCAUUCAUCAUAAAGCGUAAAGAACAACCAAGCCAACCAUAUGCAAAGCAUGAAUGGAAUGCAAUGAAGGUGCAAGAGAACAUUUUUGGAUGAACACAUUAUGAUGAUGGCAAAAUGCAAUGCAUGCAGAAAAAAUAAAUAUGAACAUGAAUAUGAUGAUCAGGGGCGGACCCACUAUUGUGGCCUGGGUAUUCCUCGGCAUACCCAAUAUUUUUGGGAAAAUGUUUAGUAGUUUUUAAUGGCAUAUACAUGUAUAAUAUAGUUUAGGUGUUAAAAUUGAUAUUCACAGCUAUUUUGGGCUCCAAUUCGCGUCCAAACCAACCUGGCCCACAGACCGCACCCGGCCGCCCGGCCCAUCGGCCCAUCUUGUCACUGAUCCUCCCACCACCACACUCAGCCCGUCAGUUAGUCAGGUCCCGAGCUCCUGCCUGACCUAGUCCGCUACCACCGCCAGGCGCCAGGCACAGCUGUACACGCCGCCCCCGUCCACCCACGUCCGCCGCACGGCCGCGUCGCGCCCCCCCCCGGCGCCCGCUGCUGCCAGAACCCAUUAGGCCUCCACCGGCAAGUCCACCCACAGUCCCGCGCGACGCGGCAGCCUCUUGGCUCUCGGCGCUCGCGGCGCGCCAAUGCCUGCGCAGCCCCAGCAGGCGACUGCCCCCCCCCCCCCCGCAUCGGGCCUCGGCCCCUCCCCAGCUCCCCCUCCCCCCUCCACCAGGACUGCCUGCUGGCCCCCACCGCGAGGUAAUCGAAAUGGACUGCUCAAUCUCUCAAUCUGUUGACAUGAUGCACACGGUUGCAAAAAUAGAUGUGUCAAAAUAGAUGUAUUGCCAAUUGCUAUAGAUGCAUAUGGUUGACAUGAAGAAGUCAAAAAUGACAUUUGGUUCCUUGUAGGCAGUCAAAAAUGAAGAAGUCAAACAAUAUUGAUCUGAAAUCAAUGCGGGAAAGGGCUACGAAGACACACGGGUAGAUUCCCUUGUGAACUUUUUAUGUCGUUCGUCUAAAUAUAUUUUUGCAAUGGGCAUACCCUACUCUGAAAUCCUGGGUCCGCCACUGAUGAUGAUGGUCUAAACAUAAAACAAGCCUAGAUUAAUUAGCUACAACUGAAAUUAAGCAAAGGUUAAUGUCAUUGACCCUAGCUCUAUCCUAGCUUUUACUAAAGUCCCGGCACAUAUAGUGGUUGGGCCCACUCUCUCUACUUCCCUCUCUGCUGCAUGCACACACACGAGCAACUGGAGGCCCAACAAAGCCCAGAAGGGUUCGGCCGAACCCGUCCGAUCCAGUCUGAGCGCCGCUCCCUCCCAGCCUUCGCGCAGAUGCUCCUCCAACGUUCCUUGACCCCUCCCUCAGUGUCCCAUUGGGUUUAACAUUGUAGGAGAGGAGUCCCUUUUUUAAAAUCUCAACCACCUCCUCUCCUCAUUCACUCCACUCUCAUCUCCAUCAAACUCACCAAGAUCCACAUCGGAAAUACCUGCUUACCACCAUGGCUGGCAAAGCCCUCGUCCCUUUCACCAACUUGGGCUUGACCAUUGAUCUCGAUGGGAAAAUCACUCCAGCAAAUGUCAUUGUCCCUGUCGGCGAUCUGGCGAUGGAGGAGGUCCAGGCACUAGAGGUCGAGCCCCUAGCCAUCAUACCGCCCAAGGGGUAAAGCAGGAGCAUGACAGGCGCUGCUAGGGGUUCAGCCGAACUCCCAGUUCAGCCAAACGAGGACGGCGUCGCCUCGGCCUCCCGCUCGACUGCAUGCUUCCCCUUGCCAAGGAGGACUCCAGAACAGCGGGCGCGUGCGUCAAGUCCCUACAAAAGGCUGAAAUACAAUGAAUAUCCAGGGUCACCCUUGAAGAUGGGUGAACGCUACGCCGGGUCCUUGUUUGACUAGUACGGCGAUGCAUUCUGCCACCGCUAUGUCGUUGUCGAGAUUAGCGGAUCAAGACUUAGACUAGUAAAUUUCUUUUAUGCGCGUAAGGCUUCAGAUGGUGGCGUGGGAGACAUGGGUUUUAUACUAGUUCGGGCAAUGGAAUACCCUACGUCCAGUGUCUGGAGCUGCUUGUGUUGCCCACGCGGGGUUCUGUAGUAGGGGUUACAGGUGUGCGAGAGAGGGAGCUAAUCCCAGGUCUCUUAGGCGUGUUCCGGUCCUCUAGAUGGGAGAAGUGUGUUCUGUUUGCUUGGGAGUAUCGGUUGUGUCUGAGUUGUCUCCGGAGCCUCCUCCCGUCUCAGGUCCCCGAUUCUCCUUUCAUAGCACAAGGAGACCAUCGGGGUUACAGACGAGACCGAGCGUGGGGAGGAGUAAAGAGAUAAACAUAGCUAGGUAAAAAUACAACAAGAAAGGGGGGAACCAAGUUUCUAGGUCACCGGCGUCCUCGCCGGCCUUCGACUUCCGCCGGCGCAUUUGUCGGAGGAGGGUGGCCGCCAUCGCGUUCUGUCGAUGGCUUCCUCGGUGACUGUAGCCACCGGGCGUGAUGAUGGCAUUUCGUCGUGACCCUUUGUCUGUUGGGGGAGGCGGCGGAUCCUGCCAUUCUGCUGACGGCUCGCGGAGUGCGAACGUCGCAUCCCUGCCGCUGGGCACGCGGGGCGCGAGAACGUGCGAGGCUUCCCCCUACCCCAGGCGGCGCAGGCCAUGAGUGCCCUGUGGCAAAUCGGAGGAGGCCGCAGCUACUGUAGCUUGUACUGUGCAGCCACGUAUGGGUACUUGUGGCAGGUUGCGUGGUGGAUGCGGAUAUCCUUCUCCCUGACAGAUCUGCGGCGCAUUUAUGGCGAGAUCGACAUGGGGACCCACAAGACCCGCGCCCAAGGCGGAUACUUGUCUGGAGGGCCCGGGUUAGCCUGACCCCCUACGCUUGGGGUCGGGCGAGGCGGAGACUUGCGGCGGGGCGUCGGACGCUCCCGACACUAGACCUGCGGUCGCGCAAGGCGGAGCUUGGUCUUCCGGGGGUCGGGGGUGCCGGACCCCAGGAUGCGGGGUCGGGCGAGGUGGAGCGUAAUUCUUGCCUCCCAUGUUGGGCCGAUGGCAGUCUUUGUUACCUCUAGUGGGCUUGGGCCUUUAUGUUUUGUUGUUUCCAUGGGCUUCGAGAGGUCGUUAAUAUUUCCCCCCAACAGUAGCCCCCGAGCCUGUGGUGGAGUGGGGGCGCUCCUCCGGAGGCUACUAUCAUCGCCCCUAGGGAAUCCUCGCAGUUGAUCCGGGAUAGGAGGUGUUGUUUGCACGGCUUGACCGAGGGGGUCGAUUAGGCGACGCAUCCUGUGAGCGACUCGGUGCGGGAGGGUUUCUUGUUGUUCCCUUCUGUCUGAGAGCCUUAAGUCGAGACCACCUGCGUGGCCUUUGGUUGCAAGGCCAGCCCCCGAGCCCCCGCACGUUGCAGGGGACCGGUCGGAGGCUAGGUCGACUUUUGUUCAUUACCCUCAAGCGUCUGUUCGCUAGGACGGAGGGGGCGAGCCGUGCCAUGCUAUCCUCAUCGGACGAACCAUGGUGCUCAUUGAGUUACUAACGGGUUGAUUCGAGUGGGAUCCCGGUCCCCGUUCGGGGGGGGUCCGGCUUGGGCCAAGCUGGUGGCGUACCCCAGGCUCCGGUCGGCCAGUUCAUAUAGUUCCUGAGUCCGUUCGGUCGGACCGGGGGCUCAUUGCCUUUCUUCGGGGAAAAACCAUGAACUUUGAUGCCGGUCCAGACUCGAAUGUGAGAUUGAGACGCCCGGGGCUGUCGCGUGCCCGGGUGAUGGCCGCUAGCGGACCCGUCUCCUCUCACCCCUCACUCGGGGGUAUCCUGAGGCGGCUGUCGAACCCGUGGCGGGCCAGCCUUCGAACCUCUGGAUCGUAAUGGGCCGUAGGGGCGUUUUCAGCCCCGUAUCCCUUUUUACCUUUUGGUGGGCCUUGGGCCGAAUCAUGGAGGAGGUCGGGCCUUGGGCCGGAUGCGGAGGAUGUCGUGCCUUGGGCCGGAUGUGGGGGACGUCGUGCGUGUCUUCCGGGAGACGAAGUGGUGGAGGGUGCCAACCCGCGAAUCGAGGGAGGAGGGGAUGUUUCUACUGCAGGUCAUGCGCACGGUUUCCGAAAAGGCAGCGGGCGUGACGGGACGUACCUCGCGCCGCAUUUAUUGCGAUGGGGGCGUCUGUUCUGCUUCCCUCGUGCCUUCCCUAUAAAACGAGGACUUCGCCUCGCCGGUUCCGCCCGCCAUCUACCUUCAAGCCUUUUCGCCUCCUCGCGCGCCCUUAGCUUUCCUGUGCCCGCUUCGUCUUCCUCCGCCCAGUGCCGCGCCCUUUCUCCCCAUCCGCCGUCGAGUUCUUCUCCCUCCGGCGAUGGGAUCCUGGGCGCGUUCCCACUUCGGCCCCUCACGCGCCGAAGGCCUAGUGAGGAAAGGCCUCCUUUGCGAGAGGACGGAGACGGAUGAGUGGGGGUUCCCUGAGAUGGAAGAGGUGCCGACUCCGCCCACCGGCUACGUCGUUUCCUUUGCCCACUUCCACGAGAGGGGGUUUGCGACUCCGCCGAGCCUCUUCUUCCGCGGGCUUUUGUAUUACUACGGGCUUGAGCUGCAGCACCUCAACCCCAACGGGAUUCAGCACGUCGCGGCGUUCGUUGCGGUGUGCGAGGGGUUCCUGGGCAUUGAGCCCAACUUCUCGCUGUGGAAGUACUUCUUCACGGUCAGCCUAUACCAGAAGGCCGAGAAGAGGGGAAGCCAGCAGCGGUCGACCCCGGUGCCGAUAGGGUGCGUCGGAAUCCACCUCUGCCAUACUCGCGCCAAGGAGUAUAUCGCGAUGAAGACCGCGGCAUCCCACAAGGGGUGGCACCAGCAAUGGUUCUACGUGAAGAACUACUCCAACCCCCCCUGCCGGAGUUCACCGGCCGCAUUAUUGAAGCGGCGCCGGAGGUGUGGGUGUACGGCCCGGUGGAGAAGGAGAAGAAGCGGAUCACCGGCCUGCUGCAGGCCAUCGAGCACCUGAAGGAGAGGGGACUGACCGGAGCCGGAGUCAUCGGGGCGUACCACGCCCGGCGGGUGGCGCCGCUGAUGCUCCGGGUCCGCUCGCUCGCCGACAUGACCCCCGGUGCUCUCACCGAUGGCACUGUCCUCGCGACGGGUGCUCUCGCUGCCUCCGAGAUCCGGCAGCGGAUCCGGGAGGCGCUGGAGGACAAGGACGCCGAUUACCCGGUGCCCGGCCACCCUCCGAUGCGCCCGGACGAGAAUUUCAUUGAUCUGGUAAGGAUUUUGCGCGCCAGUUUCCCUCUCUUGCGUUUCUUGGUAUGCCGUUCUGACGCGAGGCCCUCUGUGUUUGCAGGGUAGCAUGACCCGGGUCGUCGACUUGCGUCCGCCAGUGUCGGAGGACGCCGAGUGGCGGUAGCAGAACCGUCUCCUUGCCGAGAAGCAAAAGUGACGCAAGGACAAGAGACAGCGAAGAAGAAGAAGAGGGCCGCCAAGGAGUUCCAGCGGCGGCGGUGGGGAUAGGUCGUGUCGGAUGACGAUGACGAUGAGAAGGAGGAGGAGGAUGACGAGGAGGAGGAGGAGUUUAUCCUGUCCCCCCGGUCAGGGGCGCUUGUUAUCCGGGAGCCGCGCUCCCAAGCGGCCAUGGGGGACAAGGCGGGCGAGCUGCCUGCCCGGACCCGAUCCUGCGAAGCUUUGGGGGCGCGCCCCAGGGGUCGGCGCAGAGCGCCCCCCGGGGGUCGACGGAGCCGACCCCCAUCCCUACACCUGCAGCCCAGGAGCAGAGGAGCAGCGACAAGCGGCCGUUGCCAGAUGCCCCGGGGUCGGCGUCCAGCUCAGAGGCGAAGCGCGCGCGCCGCCCUUGCGCUGGGGGAACGUGAGUUGAAUUUCCUUGCGAAUCUCGUUCCUUUCCAUGCAUUGUGUUUGUUUCCGCUGAUGCUGUUUGUUGUCUCACAGCACCGCCCCUCAAGGCCUUGUCCCGCCGUUGGCGCCAAAGAAGGCGUUGCGGUGUUGUCGCCUCUGCGGGGCGGACCGCGGCUCCGCCGGCGGCGAGUGGCGGGGUCACUGGUGAGACCGCGGGUCCUACCGCGGAGGUGGCCCCUGCGGCGGCAACCGGUGGAGUGGUGCCACCGCCGGGCAUGGGACAGGGUCUGGACCCCGCUCCGUCCUCCGCCUCUUCGGCCGACCCCGCGGUGCAGAGUAUCGCUCCUGGGGGCCCUCAGGCCGGGGAGGUGAUUGACCUCGACGCCGACGAGGUGGAGGAGACGGCGGCGGUGGAGACGGGGGCGGUUGCCCCAGCGGCCAUGACGGGGACGACGACGGCGACGGGGGAAGGAGAGUCUACCCCCGCGGCCACGGCGGGGACAGUGGCGACAGAGGAGGCGGGGACGCCCGCCCCGGCGGCUGCGACGGAGGAGGCGGCGGUGACGGAGACGGGGGCUUCCGCCCGGGAAGCCACAGCCGAGGUGGCAGCGGCGACGGAGGUGAAAGUGCCUGUUCUGGAGGCCACGGUGGGGGUGGGGACGCCUGCCUCGUGGCCACGACGGAGGGCGAGGCGGCCCCAGGGACACUUGCUCCGGCACCCGCGUUGGAGGCGGUGGCGCCGACGGGUUGGCCCGUGGCGGCCUCGACGGGGGCGGGGGUGCGUGCGCCGGGACCGUCGGUGAGGCCGGCGACUUCCGGGAUGGUGGUGCCCGUCUUGACGGCGGCGGCGGCGCGGUCGGCCCCCGCCCUUGCCUCUACCACUCCCAUUCCCAAGGCGUGGAGCGGAUCCGUCCUGCGUUGGUCGUCUCGUGACGACCCGCAGAGGCCCCUCUUCACGUUGGAUGAUGCCACAGAAUGGGGCAAGUGGCAGGCGCUGCAGGGCGGACUCGCUAACGUCCGCGCCGCUCUAUCUUCGGCGUUGGGGGAGCUGGACGGCGUCAUCUUCCCCGGUGGCCGGGUAUGGUGCUUUCUCCGUUGGUUAUUUUCUUCCCGUUACUUCGUCCCUGAUGGCACAUUGUUCUGCAGGCCCUCCAAGAAUGUAGCCGGGGAAAAUCUGAUUUCCUUUGGCUCGAGCAGGGGCUCUGGGAGCGCUUCAACUUGGAGUUGCAGCGGACCGGGGAGCUGACCAUGCAAGUCGCCACCGUCUAGCAUGUCAUCGACGAUCUGCGAAGGCACGAGCAGGCGGCACAGGAGGACGCGCGGCGGGCGGAGGCCAAGUUCCAGGUCGUUGCCGAAAGGGCUCGCUGCGACCGCGAGGAGUUCCAGGCCGUUGCCGAAAAGGCCCGCCACGACGCUGAGGAGCUCGCACGGCUGAAGGUGCAGCAUGAAGCUCUUCAGAAGAGCGGCAGAGGGCCUGGCAGGACCGGGACGCCGAGAAGGUCCGGAAGGAGGAGGCUGAGAAGGUGGCGGCCAACCUUGGGGCUGAGGUCAGCCAGCUCCAAGUGCAAGCGCGAGAGCUUCAGGCCUCCGUGGCCCAGGGGCUCGACCAGGAGCGCCAGCUGAAGGCCUAAUCCGAGGGUAUGACUCUGUUUAUUUCUUUGUCUUUGUGAUGUUGCGGUGAUAUUUUAUUUGGCGGGUUCUUCUGGAUGAUCCUUGCAGAUGAGCUCAACUGGCUGAGGGAGGUGCUUGACGCGGAGCGCGCUGAGCACGGCGACCUGCGGGACGCGGUCCGCGUCAUCUGUGACUUCCUUAGUGUGGUCCAGGGGGAGGGGACGAGCUCGCUGGCGGCUCGUGUCCUCGGGACGUACCGCCGGACCAGCGAGAUCGCCCUGGAAGCGCUUCGCACCGGCUUGAGGCAAGCCUUUGGGGUCUUCGGCUCCCACUAUUCCGGCAUCAACUUCGCCGGGAUGAGCGGGGGAUACGCCACCGGCUACUACGAGGCCGAGCUGGAUGAGAUCGACGUGUCGGUGCUCAGCCCGGCGGAGGCCUUGGUGAAGCUCCUCGAGGAUGAGGCCGUCCCGCCCGAAGAUCCCCGGACGAGUUAACUAUAUCGGGCUGGCGCCCCAGAUGUAAAUACGUUAGGGAAAGACUUGUUUUUUGUGAGGGCCGUAGAGGCCUUUUCUAUGAAUUGUCGUAAAAAAGUUUUUGAUUCCCUUUCUUGCUUUUUGGACUUGGAAAGUUUAGAGCACGUUGUCGGGCGUGUCAGUAAGCUUUGAUGAGCGAAGGCACCGUAGCCGCUGGGGCGUCGUUUUUUUUGCAGUCCGAUCAAUCUUGCCUGAACACCGUUCGUGCACUUUCUCCUUUUUAUGCCCAAAAGUUCAGAAAGAGGGUCGGCUCGGAAAGAGAAAGCGUUUUGAGAGGGUGUCAAGUGGCUUAGGUACUUGCGGCAGGUUGCGUGGUGGACGCGGAUAUCCUUCUCCCUGACAGAUCUGCGGCGCAUUUAUGGUGAGAUCAACAUGGGGACCCACAAGACCCGCGCCCAAGGCGGAUACUUGUCUGGAGGGCCCGGGUUAGCCCGACCCCCUACGCUUGGGGUCAGGCGAGGCGGAGACUUGCGGCGGGGGGUUGGACGCUCCUGACCCUAGACCUGCGGUCGGGCGAGGCGGAGCUUGGUCUUCCAGGGGUCGGGGGCGCCUUACCCCGGGAUGCGGGGUCGGGCGAGGCGGAGCGUAAUUCUUGCCUCCCAUGUUGGGCCGACGGCAAUCUUUGUUACCUUGGGUGGGCCUGGGCCUUUAUGUUUUGUUGUUUCCAUGGGCUUCGAGAGGUCGUUAAUAUUUCCCCCCAACACUAUGAGGAGGACUUGUGGGCAGAAAGUCAGCUACCACAAACUUGCCUCUGAAUAUUUGGAGUGCAAACAUUGGAUGGUGGUUGUGGAGAGCCCCAGCCAUACCUCGCACCCGUGGAGAGGUAAUUGUCGGAUUGCUUGGUUCGUCUCUAGAAUGCGACAAGGUCAGGCGCCACCUCUCACUGCUGCCAGUCAGAAGGCCGAGGGGCCAGUUUCAACAUAGUAAUGAGAAUCUCCGAAGGCCAAUAUGGUUAAGCAGCUAACCUCCAUGAUCAUAGACUUACGUUUAGAAAAUAGGAGGCUUAGCGAUGCGUUAACAGAGCAGAAGUUAGAAACAGAAGAACUUAAGGACGACUUCCGUGUCCUCCGCCUUGGUCUUUGUGCUAAGAUAAAGCGCUUGUACAAUGCCACGGGGAAUGACGGUCUCUACGAUGCAGCUCAAUAGACGUGCCCCUUGUAUCCUUUCCUUUAGGCACUUUAGAAUAUGUUUAUUUGUUUUCCUUCAUUUUAAUUUCCAAUAGAUUGUUAGCGCCUCCAAUUUAAUUUCAAUAAAGUGUAGACUCACCGGUCAUCCAACUUGAUGGAGUCCUUUUGUCACCUAGUUGUCUUUGGAAGAAGUAGCUGGGUACAAAAUAAGUGUGGGGGAGAGCCACAGACUCUCUAGAGCUGAAACAAUGCACAACACCCACAAAUAGAGAAAACCACGCUGCACCAGCACGUACGUGAAAGUGGAGCCAGAGCUGGACCCAUAGGGGUUUGGCCAACCCAAGGGGUGGCCCACUCGGGCCAUCUUCAUCCACCGCGUCGGUUUGUGUCUCUUUACCCCUGAUCUCCCUGAUUCAUGAGUUUGAAUGAAUUUUAAAUCUGAUCAACUAAUUCAAACUCAACUAAAAUGAAUCAACUGCUCCACCUGCUCUACAUGUUUUCUAUGGUUGGCUUGCAUAUGUUUUAUUUCAUGCUUAUCAUCUUGAUGCUUGUGAACAAAUAUCUUUAGGACAGCAUGCUCAUCUAAGUAGUUGAUGUGUAUGAUAUGGUUCGAUGAUAUGAUCUUCACUCUUAAUGCUUAAGUGCUUGGGAAAAUCUAUUUGAAAAUUUAAAAGCCUUUUUGAAAUCUCCUCUUUGAUGUGCCAAAGUCCUACCAAAGCCAUAUGAUAAGUUAUCUUGAAAAACCAUUUGCAUAUGUUGCUUGUCUUUGCAUUGAGCUUUGUCAAAUUGGUGUGACCCUUGUCACAAUUCUUUUCAUACUUUCAUGAUCAAGACUCAUGUGCACGCCAUAUACCCCUUGCUAUGCUUCUAUGAGAUGUUAGCAUUGUACCAUCCAUUCAUUCCACAAAAUAAAUGCUCCACCAUAUGUGUUGGUCUCCUUCUAAGAUUAUUGUUACAAAAGAGAUAUGGGCUAUCAAAAAAAAAUAUGAAUGUCCAAGAAAGUUGGACACAUGAAUGUCCAAUAAAAAGAAAAAGAAAGAUAGCCAUGUCCUCAGAAAUAUUUACAAAGGGAGAGAGAUCAUACAAAAAGGAGUUUCCAUUCCAUCCACCACAUCCAUACAUGUGCACAUCUUGAUCUGAUUGUAUGACUUAUUUUUCUCUUUGGAUCUGGUCUUUGACUUUGCAAUAUAUGUGAUGCAAGCAUGCCUUAUCCUUCAUAGCCUACCUUGAGCUCCACAUAUAGCCAUCAUUAGAAGUAGGAUGAAGAAAGGCAAGUCUAAUGCCUUGGUGAGGACAUAUACACAUUGAGUGAUCUGAGAGAAUCAAAUGAGGAGCUAAGCAAGGUUUUGUUUUGAAAACUAAUUGAAAAAUCCCAAGCUACUUGGCAUAAGGAGUUGAGGUGACUUGAUUCAAGACCAUUACAUUCCUCAACUACCCAAGAUGGCAUGAUAGACACUCCAAAGUUCACAAGUGCAGGUAUGGUUUGGAAUAUCUUUUAGGCUCGCUUCAUACCUUUGAAAGUUAUGUUUCACCUUAGUCCUUUCUCGUUCACUCAAGGAUAAGCAAAGGCUAAGUGUGGGGGUGUUGUUGAUGGCUCUUAAGUACAAAAUCUGCGCCAUCAACUCUUGCAUAAACACAUAAAAUAUGAGCAUCAACAAUAGUGGUAGGAGUUAUUACAAACGAAUUCCACAAGUCUUGGUGAAUAUUUGUAUGCAAGCCCAAUAGGAGAGAAAAGACACCUCAAAAGCAAGGAAACACACUCUCAACCAAUCAAGAGCAAGCACAUGGAACCAUGGGCCCACAACCAAAAGGAAAUCGACUACAUUCCAAACACCCUAUACCCACAUGAGAACCCAUAGGGCAGUGACCCAGAGCAAAGGUGAUGCCAGAGUGUAGAUGGUAGUUAGCAUGCCAAAUUUUGAACCGCAAGCGCUCGGAUUAGUUGUUUCUUUUCCCUUAGAGAUUCCCCCAAGGUUUAUCAAUCCAUGGAACAAGGGAUUUGCACGUUUCACUAAGCACUAAUCAAUGUAAUUGAAAGCUUUUCGAAUAAGAUAUGAUUAUGCUAACAAAGGAACUAAGCAAUCUAGAUUAAGAUGGAUAGAGAGUACAGGUUGUGAACAAGAUAGAUUAAACGCUUGUAGAUGCAAUCACCAUGCAUGAAUGAAUUAGAUCUAGGUGUUAUUGUGAGUGGUUGUGAACCAUGCCCAACACUUUCCCACCCGCAACAUUGUCACUACAUGUGGGUACUCAACUAUCGGAACAUAAGAACACAUCAAGAUGAUCAUUCUAGGUAAGCAAAUAAGCAACCCAAAGUAGCGCUGGCCAGCCUUUUCAUGAAAGAGCAUCAUCAAGAUAAGAUUGAUAACAAAAUAGAUCUCAACCAAAGGUUCAGCGAUUACAAAUCAAGAUCUUCGUAUAACCCCGAUGACAAAUAGAGGUAUUACCCCCAUGAUCUUACACAUGUUGAUGAAUUUUAGGGUAAAGGACACCCUGUAGAUCAACUGGACCAAAGAUGAUGAUGAACGGGGGCAGGGAAGGCCCAGGUUGAUCAGCCUGCGCACUUUUGAGCCGAUCAGCUCAGGGGGUUUCCUCCUCCCCUGGUGCUCCUCUUCGCGUGGCCUCCUCUGGAUCCAAUCUUCUCUUCAUUUCUCCUACUUGUGGCGGCAAUGGAUGGUGUUUGCAUGGUGAUUUCCUCUUCUCCCCAACUCUCCCUCCUUGAAGUCCAUGAGGGGGUAUUAAUAGUCUCCAAUAGGCGGCAGCUCUGGGUCAAUGUCAGUGAAAAAAUCCUAGAGAUCAUCGUACACUUCAUGCUGAGGAAACAAGAGGUUGACCGAGCCCUGGGAUAGACCAAGAGGAUCAUCCUAGAGGGUCCCAGGCUAAUCGGUCUAGGCCCUUCCUAGCCCUUCUAGUCCUCUCCUUCCUCGUGCUGGCUUUUCUCGAUGACCCUUGUCCAAAUAUCCAUGAAGCUCUAUAUACAUACCCCCUUGAUUAUGUUGUAUUUCCUGUCAAAAUACAAUGCUCCAAAAUACAACACAUAUGCAAUAAUAGGGUUAUUUCAGGUGCCAAUUGGUGGGUUAGUAUACGAAUAAGCAUGAAAAUACUGUUUAAAUGACACUAAAAGUGUGUCAAUAACGAGCACCAACAAUCCCCCCACGCUUAGAUCUUGCUCGUCCUCGAGCAAGUCUAGCGACUAAAAGAUCUUGAAUUAAACCUGAGCAAGCGAGUCAAGUACCUAGCCUUGAAACAAAAGAUUAGAGGAGCAGCAAAGAUAAUCAAAGUCUGGGUGUUCAAAGAUUUAUCUAAGCAAAGAUUCCCCUACAACUAUUAUUCAGAACCAAGUAACUUCAAAAAUCAACUACACUUAUUUUCUGGCUUUUUUCAGAGGGUUUUUCUUUCAUCAUAAAACAAUCUCCCUGCAACAAAAUUGAAAAAAGAAUUAUUUUCAAGGUGCUUACAUGUCGCUUAAAUGAAUGUUGGCUAUCCUACUUAUUUGCAAGCUCUCAUCUCUCAAAAUUCAUUCAAUUAUAUGGUGGAGUUUGGGUAAGGUUAGCUAGAAUCAACACGUAUAUUAUUGAAUUAAGAAAACCCUCUAACGGUGGCCUACCUUCCGAGCCAUUGAUCAUAAGAAUAUCCACAUAAUGUGAAGUUUUCAAGGAUGAGAAGAUAUAGAAUGGUGGACAUGUGCAAAGGCAAAGAAAUAUAGUGACUCUGAGGCACAAGCAAUGUCCUCGUCGUUGGAUUGCAUAUGGUUGUAAUGAAAAUAUGUUCCUUAAACAAGUCUAUCUUUUCUUUGCACCACUCUUGAUCUUCAUGACAGUAAAAACUCCUCCUUUAUUUCUUUCUCUCUUUUCCUAUUAUUUCUUUUUAUUUGUCUCAAUACUUUUAUUUCUUUAUUUCUUUAUUUUAAUCUCUUCUCUGAACCUCUUCUGAACACCACAUAAUAAAAAUAAGUUUUAGAUCCUUCCAGAGACCUUCCAGGAAUUUGCUACAUGAAAACCGAGGCAAGGAGACCCCAGGCCGAUUGGCCUAGCCACUCCUUUGCUCUCCUCUAGCUCUUCUUUCUGGUGAAGCUUCCUUAUCUUGUAUCUUUCCAAAAAUUUCAUAAAGCUCGACUAGAAACGGAACAGAUCUUCAUAUAAUGAGUUGUGUUCAAGGAAUUGGUAAUAAAAUUGAGAAAUUUGUGGUUCGGGUUUACGAAUUCAGUACAAAAAUAUGAUUGUUCCAAUGAAGAACUCUCAUUACUGAAUAUUGACGAGGCAAGCAUUCAAAGAUGGUAAAAAGGAUAUGAUCAAUUCUCAAAAUUAAAGCAAACCAAGAGAGAGCGAUCCUAAUUCAAUUCAAAGUGUCAAAUGUUGCUUAUGGUGGUAUGAAUAAAUAUUUUUAGGCAUUGGGUAGGAUAAAUAAAAACUCUCAACCUGGUUAAAAGAUAUUGAUCAAUCUUGUUUUUGCAGAGGUUUUAAAUAAAAAAUAAAAUUUUAAAUCACCUCCAAUUCAAAGCCUUACUCAUAAAUCAUAAUCAAAACUGAAGCACUUGAUCAUCAUAAAGCAUGGGUAUUGCAUAAACAAAUCGAUUACUAAAACUCCACAACUACGAUUUAGAAUUCAAGACAAUGCUCAUAAUCUAAAGUUGCAAAGAUAAAAUAAAAGACAACCAAGCCAAGGUAGACACUAAAAACACUUGCACGAUCCUUGAAUUUUAUUCAUGCUUCUUCUCACAAAGACGCUAAAGUAGCCAUGUAGGCCUAAGUCUUCCCAAAAGCUUAAGAAAACUACUACUUUAUCUACUUUUGGUUGAAAUAAAAAGACUAAUCUAGACUCUCACAUGAUUCGACUCGACCAAAUUAGAUCCAAAAACUCAUACGAGCGACGAUCUCCCCCCCCUCACGCUUAAAAUCUACGACCUCCUCGUCGUAGCCAUAUGGAGUACAAGGAAAAGAAGCUUGUAAACGCUCUAAUGACGCUACCCGCACUACUUGCACACGGGAUGGUUGCUGCUUCCUUCGCUUUGUUCUUCCUCAUGUUGCUGCACAUCCCGAAGAGCUUCCUCACGUUCCUCUGCAAGAACUUGAACUCGUCCUCCUGACGGCGAUCAUUAUCUUCUGCCUUUUGAUCCAGAGCUUGUAAGGCUUGCAUGAUGUCAUCGAACGCAUCGAAGAGGUAGUGGAUGUUCUUCCUGCAAGCUGUGGAACAUGUACGAUCAUGCUCCUCCGAUUCUGGCCCGUCGUCUUCUAGAUCCUUCUCUUUGCCCUUGUCUUGACGGUGGCUAUCUUGCUCCUUGCUCGCCUUCUUGCCUUCAGCCCAAUCCCAGUACGUGUUGUCAUCUUCUUCAUCGUCACGGCCUGCAGCACCCUAUGAUCCAUUGUCUAUCUUGUAUGAAAGAAUCAGAAGCUUGUUCUCCUCAGGGUGUCUUGCGCGGUGCAGCGUUUGCAAGUGCAAGACUUGCUAGUUCCUUUUACACAUUGUAAUGUUCAUUGCAUGCUCUAAUUGUUCUACAUUUGUAAUUUCUUGGUGAAGUUUGGUUACUGAUCCACUGUUUGAUUAACUCUUGGGCCCAAACACUGUACUACUUCUGAUUAGAUAUCUGUAUCUUGACUUUGACCAAAAAAAAUAUCCGGCAGUUUUUGCCAUUAAAGUUUCAUAAAUCAUCUUGCAAAAAUCGUACUAUACAACAAGGGACGGUUUAUUAUAAAAUAUACGUUCCCCUUAUCACAUGCCACUUCCACUCAAAAGGCAACGAAUCAGUUUUCAAUCCUGAGUGAGCAAUUUGCUUUUAUUACCGAUGCCUCCUAUUCCCUUGUGCACCAAGUUUAUUUUGGAUAGGGCUGCAAAAAACGACUAACCAGCUCGGAUUCUCCACCUGCAAAACCGCAUCUGCAGCAACCAACCCCACGCGGUGGAAAAAAAAACAAAACCUAGAAACCGGACGGGGGUGGAUGUGGGGCUCGGAGCCCAAGCAAAAAACGGAUCGGGAGCGCCGGAGCAGGCCAUCACCGGAUGUUAGAGAUAGAAAAUGGUUGAAGUUUGGAGUGGAAAUCAAACAAGCCUUGGAGCAAAGGAAAAAAAAAGAUCAAACCACUCAAGCAUUCAUUUGAUUUAGAAAAGAGAACAUUUGUUAAGGUGGGGAGUUGAAAUCAUCUUUUAAUUAGUUCCACGUAUCUGGUAUCAUUACAGUUGGUUUACUUGUGUAAGUAUAAGUAGCUCUGCCGAAGCCUUUGCUCCUAUAAUUUAGUAACUAGUACAAAUGGAUCAAUAGGAAAAUCAAGUUGCAAUCAUUUCUCAGCCAACCAAACCUAUGUAAAUCAAAUUAUUGUCCAUGCCCGGCAUGCACAGGUGCCUGCCAUGCAUGCAUUGUUGCUCCAUUGUAAUAACCAUUAUUGUCCAUCGAUGUUGCAGCGCAUGUGUGCACUGUGCAGACACCAAGCAUCGAGAUUAUGUACUAGUAAGGUGUUGAAAUAAUGGGCCUAGCCCAUAAGUAAUUUCAGAAUUUCAAAUAAAUCUCAAAGGCCCAUGUGGGCAAGAGGUGGAGUGGUGCAAGUCUUUAGUCCCACAUUGCUAGUCGAGGGGAGGGAUGACCAACUUAAAUAUGGAAGUUGUCUCCACUCCUCCAAGCUAUGUGUGAAGGGCGCGGGCGCGAGGCACUUGCGUGAAUGGUCCGCCGAAAUCUGGCCCCCCUUGCGGGGGCGCGGCUUCCUUUUGCCGUUUUAUUUUUUGGUUACUUGGUCGUUAAGUCAUGGAAUCCUAACCGGUUUAGAUCACGAUCGUGAAGGUUUUUGGGAAGCGCUCUGCGCGACUGCUCGAUCGCUUCUUCCGCUUCGUCAAGUUCUUCGUCGACUCCUUCACCACGGCUCGUCUACCUCUUCGUCGCUCGGGCCUCACUCGUCGUCGCGAACAACGUCAGGCUGCUGAUCGUCGUCGCCUGCUGUAUCCGGUAGUCGUCCAGGAGCCGGUUUUCAUCAAGAAAGAAACGUACGGUCUCUUAACUCACAUUAUGUCUUCCAUACUAGCUAUUAUGAUUGUUGCAGUCUGAUAGCUCUGGAUAGUAUGGUAGAAUGUCUGAUUCUAUUUGCAAUGAUAGACUUGUCUAGAUCUUGCGUAGACAUGUCUAGUUUAAUCUGCUGCUUGUUCAUCAUAUUCAUGAUUUAUUUCUGGAUUAAGUUAAAACUAAAAGUGCUUAUAUAUCCAACAUAAGGUACCAAGAACACGUGAAGCACCCGGGGGAGGCUGCUCCACUCCGCAUGCACAGGUGGGCACGGCACCACUACUCGUCUCCUUCAGGCUGAGGAUAAGUGAUGUACGCUGAUCAACAGACCACGACGGAACCAGCAAUAAUAGUUUCAGCCUGCCUCACAGUAAUUAAUAUAUCCUGUAUCCUCCGAGGACCCCUCCCCUUAAUCUUGGCCUAUUGCAUCCAAUAAUGAUAUGUGUGUUUAUCCAAAUUUACGGCACCUUUGGCGGGGGUUCCACCCAGCUCCGCCCUCUCCACCUUCGGUACUCCAUGGGAAACCAUUCCUUUGGAAUCAAGGAAGCUUGAACAGUAUAACGAAUAAAGUUUCAUAUAUCCAUUUGAUUUCACAUGAAAUAAAAUAUUCUGUCAGAACCAAUGGUUUCACUGAAGCUCCAGGCAGCGAGCGAAGGGGUGAGAGAGGAUAACGCUUACUGUGUGUUACCAUCGCGUGCACCAUGGAUGACCAACGCGCAGCCGAGAUGAAACGGCGGACCUAAACAGGUCCUCGCUAUUUUUGCAGGUUCUCGACCAGGCCAGUUCUUUAGGCCAACCUAUCAUUCACGAGUUAAACAUACGGUGGCUGGAGAAAUGUUCUAUUCUUUUAAACAAUACCAGCUGGUUCCUCCGUUUUUAUUCCACCAAUACAAGCACCACCUUGUAACAUUUCCUAUGUUUUUUUUCCUUUCGUCUGUUUUCUCACUACAUGCGUUGCUCUUUCAUGCAUUUUUUUCCAUUCCUGUAUUCCAAAUAGGUCUACAUGAACACAAAAUGAACUAGGGGACAGAAAAAGCCAGUGAAGUUAGUUUUGAGCUUCACCAGCUACUUGCUACAUAAAGUGUGCUAUAGUCGCAGAAAAGCUAAGCUGGAUCAGACGUGGCCGAAACAAUGCCAAAGAGCUAGGUCCCUAGCUGAUGGCAACACAUCAGAUGACUAGCCUGCUUUUCUGUAAUAAUGAUAUUGAGCAAUACACUGCAUGGCUAACCUGCUUUACAAUAAUUGUCAUUUUAUAAUAUUGGUCAUCACGAGAGAUGCACAUUGCAUACACCGGCCCAUCCCUAUAAAUAGCCAAGCCUUUCAGCCAUCUUGGGCACCUCCUCUCAGGGCCUCGUCUCACCAUCAGACAUCUCGUUCCCAGUUAUAAUUUGCGAGGUUAGAUCAGGCUGCGCCAUGGCGUCCGCAACUGCUGUCAAGAUCGUCGCCACCUUCAUGCUGGUGCUGACCAUGGGCCACCUGAUGGCCGAAGCAUCACCGCAGCCUCGGCGUGUGCUUGCAGAAACGGAGCAUGCUGCGGUGUCCGGGAAUCCUGGCCUCCCAGGUGAUGCUAGCGUCAUGCAGGUCCUCGAACCCGCCCUAGUUUCUCGGCUUGCCUGCAAACCAGAGUGCACAGUCCCUUGGCCUCCUUUUGUAUGUAUCUGCUAGAUCCUCUUCCUGGCUCAACGGAACUUCAGGGAAAUGGCUGUGACGUCGGCCAAAGAAUAAAUUGGAUGAACAUAAUAUACCCCGGGUAGUGUAGCUUGGGCUUUUGUUGAGCGUCUGGUGCUAGUUGUAUUUUGUUUGCUCAUGUGGCUUUGCUUCUGGUUGCAUAUUGGCUUUCCUAUCGCUCUCUGUUGCAGCUAUGGUUUCUGCCAGGUGUGUGUUAAUGCGGUUUGUAAGCGGUGCUUGUUCCUACCUUCUGUUUUCAAUAAAAGAAGUCGGAGUCUCCCUCCGACUCUUGUUAUCAGUCAACAAAAAUGAGUUGUAUCAUAUAUAUCUGCGUCUUUUUUCUACGUAUCUUUGGGCUGCUUCAGCUGGAAGUUUAUCGUAAGUACGUGUAUCAGGAUGAUCGUUUGAAUUAAAACGAAAUGAUAAUGUGUGGCUGCUAGAAAUGGAAUGAGCAUCUUACUAUAUUACUAAUUGGAAGCCUCCACGUGAAGCCACCUAGAAAUUCUAGGUGGACGUUUUAAAAAAAACAAAACUCAUAGAAGCCUCCACCACCUAGGAAUCCUAGGUGGACACUCUAAAAAGAGACAAAUCCUAGAAAUUCUAAAAAAAGAAAAAAAUAAUAACAAUAAGAUUUUUUUGCAGUCAAUUACAUAUAUUUUUUUGAGACACCGUGCUGCUAGCUCUUGCCAUUGCGACCAGUAAAGCAAGCAGAUAGUAAGAUGACAUGCGUGUGGAUUGAUUAAAACAAAUUCAGUUAGUUGAUUCUAAAUCGUAUGUAUCCUAAAAGGAAGAUAUGUGCGUGCAUGGUCCCUAGCGAUGACAUGUAGACAUGUAUUGCAAUUUCUUUUUUAAAAAACAUGUCUAUCUCUAAACCAACAAACAGAAAAAAUAUCAAUCUAAAUCUAAAUCUCUUCCGUUCUCACACGCCUAUUAAAGAGAAGACAACCAAUCCCAUCCAUGUUCCAUAGAAUCCAUCUAAAAGCUUGCUCACUGCGGACGGCAUUUGACGGCAAAUCAAUGAAAGAUCAUCCUCUCCAAAUAGCUGGACGGCAUCACCAUCUUUAUCUCACCAACCUACAGAGCUACAACGAUGUUGUAGAGAUCAACUAGGUAACCUACCAAUCACCCUCCCCUUUUCUAUAUGCUCUAAAGAACACGUGGAGUAAUUAUAGGCCUAUAGGAGCCGACUAACCUAGAUUAAUAUGAAAAAUAUUCCAAUAUUAAAAGCAAGCAGAUAGUAAUACUUGCCUUUGACCAUUUUUCUAGAACUGUUAUUCCUAUUGAAUGUUCAAGUGCUACGGCCAGGCAUCGAAUGCCUGCACGGAACCUUCCUAUUGAAUGGUUACUCUAGAGAUCAACGCACCGCGAGACAUUUUUAUGGAAUUUGUUUGAUUCCCCUUCUACAAUUAGAUUAAUUUUUCAUGGCAUAUAUUACUACUAUUAAAUUAUUUGUUUAUUGUCGGGCCUGCUGCAUGUGUGGUAUAUAUGACUUGCUUCUCACCAUUGUUCUCAAACUAUUAUUCCUAUCGAAUCUUUCUAUCGAAAUAUAUUUUAAUUACUUGAUUGUUGUUUGUGUACCAUAACUUCUGUAUAGAAAAAUUCCAUGUUUGUAGAUAAUGUCUUUUGUAUAGAAAAAUAGCCCAAUUAGAUCCAUCACCAUCUUUUGCUUAUGUAGUUGAACAAGUUGCAAUGUUGAACAAAACUUUAAGUGAAAUUAGACCAGGAAAAGGAAUUGUGGAACAUUAAGGCAAGGGUAACCAGAUUGUGGAAUGCAACCUUACUCAGUAGUGGCGAACAAUUAAGUCUUGACAUGAUCCUUAUUGAUCAAAAGGUAUGAUAGAUGUUCACUUUGAUUGCAUUAUUGGUAUAAUUUUUGGUUUACAAAUUAUUAAUGAUGAUGCAAAAUUAGGGAACCAUGAUCCACGGUGUUAUCAAUAAGCCCUAUAUGAAAAAGUUCAAACCAUUGAUUGAAGAAGGCAAUGUGUACAUAAUUGCAAAUGUCAGAAUCACACCAGAACCACAGAAGUAUCGGCCAGUGGAAAAUGACAGGAUAGUCAACUUCUUACCCACAACUGCACUAAAAACGAUCAAAGAUACUGAAGACAUUCCAAAGUAUAGUUUUAACUUCAUGAGCACGGAUAUGCUUUCAGCAAGAAUAAAUGUGGACAUGUACCUAUUAGGUAAAACAUUACUGGCUUUUCAAUUUUUACACUUCCACUCAUUAAAUGACCAUCUAAUAAUAAUACAUAUUUAUGUUUCAUAGAUGUUAUAGGUAUCUCAGCUCACAUUGGACCGAUAGAAGAAACAAGGACAAACUUCGGAUUUACUAAAAUCCGUGAUAUUGUGCUCCUGAUCGAGUAAUUCUCUUUUCUUUUGUAGAAAACAACUACAAAACUUUCAACAUUUACAUGUAUGUUAUAGAACUUCUGUUGAACUAAAAAAUAUCUUCUACAGUGCCCCUACAAAUAAUUAAUUUCGUAGUUGGAUAUUUAAAAUAUUUAUUAUUCACUUUUAAAUUUGUGGCCAUGAAGUUAAAGUUAGAUUUUGGGGAGACAAAGUUGAGGAAGUUGAUGAUAAGACAAAAUCCCAUGUCAUUGCAAUAACAUCUACAACUGUGAGUAAAUUUGGCAGUAAGUCUUCAUUCAAUAUGAGUUAUUCAAUAUUAGUCAUUCAACAAACUAACCUCGUAAGAAAAAUAAAUAAUUGAUGUUUUAUCAGGGUAUUCUCUAUCGUCAACCAAUGCAACAAAACUUUAUGUAGAUCUACCUAUUCCUGAAACUAAGGAUGCACAUGAUAGGUGAGAAAAAUUAGAUAUUGUUUUUCUAUUUUAAUCUAUGUAGCAUGCACUCUAACAUGAUACAUUCUUUCAUAUGAUAAAAAAAUGUUAGUUCAAUUGAAAAUAUUGUCAAAGAGAUUCAUAUUGAGGACCAUCUAAAAGGGACAUUGGAAGACCAAAUGCAGUACAAUAGAAGAACUUUAGAAGAAUUAAAUUUCAUAUUAUUUGAAACAUCAAAUCAGGUAUGGAUUAGUAUGUUCAUUGUACACUAUACUAUUUAAAGACUUACAUACAUAAUGAUGGUAUUGUUCCUACUUUCAGGAUGAGGUAUUUACUAUUGAAGCAACAAUAAAUGAAAUUAAUGCAACAUAUGGUUGGUUGUCACACCCGAUUUUAAGGACAAAAUUGAGUGCAUUAAAUACAUGUGCACCAGGAUCAAGUUACACACAUCCUAUGAGUACCGUCCUUCUUUGGCACAAAGAUAACCGGUGCUCCCCAUGGUGAUGAACUAGGCCGAAUAAACUAUUUUGCUGAUAAUUCCUCUAGUUGUUGUUUCAAUUCUUUUAAUUGUUCAACCAACAUUCUAUAAGGACGUUUGGAGAUAGGUGCAGUACCAGGUAAAAGAUCAAUAGCAAAUUCAAUGUCGCGGUCAGGUGGCAUACCUGGUAAAUCGUCGGGGAACACAUCCGGAUAGUCACACACCACUUUGAUAUCUUCCAAGGAUUUUCCAGCCAACUGAUUAACUGCACAAUCUGCUGCUGAGGGUAGAGUAGCUACAAACUCCACUUUCUCUCCAUCAGGACCUGUUAGCAGAACUGUCCUCUUGGCACACUGAAUCGUUGCAUCAAAAGCGGCUAACCACCUCAUCCCCAGAAUUACAUCGAUUCCACUGGACUCAAGGACGAUAAGAUCAGCCGGAAACUCUAUACCCAUUAUUCUCAGUUUAACUUGUGGACAGAUGUAUUGAGCCUUCAUUGACCCCCCAGGUGAACUCACUAGCAUAUGACGCCUCAUGGUAUGCAUGGGUAAAUUAUGCUUUGCUACAUAAUGACUAGUGACAAAAGAAUGCGAUGCUCCAGAGUCAAAUAAAACUGAUGCGGGGGCAGAGUUGACAAAGAACAUACCAAGCACUACAUCUGGAGCCUCCUUAGCAGUCUCGGCUUCCAUGUGGUUCACCUUGCCACAAACAAAGCUUUGCUGCCCCUGAUUGCCUUGUGGGGUCUGGUUCCCAUUCCUCGGUUGCUGCAUCUGAUUCUGCCGAGGAGCACUGCUGUUCUGCACGGGGGUAGCUGGCCCACCUCUCUUAGGACAAGAGCUGGCAUAGUGACCAACCUCGCCACACUUGAAGCAGGUAGGACCCACUGGAGCAUUGGGCCUUGUUGGAGUGCCAGUAGGGGUCAUCUGGCGGUUCUGCGUAAAGCUUGGGCGCGGAGUCUGCAUAGUCUGCAUCCCUGGAUGCUGGAACUGAGGGCUAGGGCGCUGGAAUGACUGCUGAGCAGGGCGCGGAAAUGAGUGCUGCCAAAAAUUCCCACUCGGGCCCCCUGCGCGGAACGGCGUCCCUUGCUGUGGAGCAAAGCGAGGGCGGGUGUUGCUUCCUGAAGACUACUGGGAAUUGAAUUUCCUCUUCAUCUCCCCGAGCUCGUUCCUCUUGUGUUCCAGGCCAAUUGCCUUGUCUAGCAUCUUCUGGAAACUGGGGAAGGUGUGCGACAUAAGCUGAUAUUGGAGUGGUCCAAUCAACCCAUCCAAGAAUAGCUCCUGCUUCUGCUCAUCAUCAGCAACAUCUUCGGGAGCAUAUCGGGACAACUGGACAAACUUGUCCCUGUACUCUGCCACUGUCAUGUUCCCCUGCUUGAGAGCAAGGAACUCCUUCUUCUUAAGCUUCAUCAAUCCGGAAGGAAUAUGAUGACUUCUGAAGCUAGUCCUGAAUUCAUCCCAGGUGAUGCCAUUAGCAUUGGCAUGGGUGGUGGUGUAAGCAUCCCACCAAUCAGCAGCUGGCCCUUCCAGGCGUCCUGAAGCAUACAGGACCUUCUCCCUGUCAGUACAUUGGGCGAUAUCCAGCAUCUUCUCCACUGUUUUCAGCCAAUCAUCAGCAUCUAAUGGAUCCGGAGAAUGUGAAAACGUCGGGGGCUUGUGGCUCAUGAACUCCCUAUGCCUGUCCCUUGGCGGCGGCUGCUGCUGGUUGUUGUUGUUGUUAUUGUUCAGCUGAGCUUGUAAAGCUGCCACGGUGUUGGUCAGUCCGGCGAGAAGCUGAGUCUGAGCUGCUAGAAACUGCUCCAUCCCUGCAGGUGCUUGUUGGUUCUGUUGCGGAGCGGUGUUGGGAUUGCUGCUGUUGUCCCUGUGGCGUGGCACUGUGGGACGGUCAACUCCUGAUCCGGACCUGGUGUUUACCAUCUGAGCGUUAGAGACAAUGGAUUUAGAUAGAUGUGUGAAAGAAUAACUGAGAAAGAUAAAGCGACCAGAUGUAAAAGUAACACAGAUUCUGUUAGCUCCAUUUAAUUAGGUGUGGUCGUCAGAAGAAGUGUCCAUAAAUUCUGAACAAUUACCAAGUCGUAACUUAUUAAAUUUGUAAACCAACCCAACUGGAAUCAUCUCAAUCGGACUUCUGGAUCUCGAGUUACAAAAUUAACAAGCUGACAGUGUCGGUCGAUAGGUUCAGAUUCUGAGUGCUUUACUAAUUCGCAUACACCUCCCAGACAGAUACACCAAAAAUUCUGAAAAAUUUACAGAUAGUACUCCACGAAAUUCUGAAACUAACCCCACUGGUUUCAUGUCAUUUGGACUUCUGUAGCUAGAGAUAUAAAUAAAAAAGUACUGGCGUGUCAGUUAAUGUCGAGAACAGAAUUGAAUGUCGCUUAGCUUGCGUGAUGGAUAGAUUUAGACAGAUGGUAGAUCAUGAUUAAGGAAGAUUAAAUACUGAUUUAGAACAGAAAUAAAACCCAACUAAGCACUUUAUUUAUUAAGACCAGUAUCGUGUGGCAAUUGCCCCACAUACCGCACUCAUUACAAAAUCCAACUCAAACAUGUAGCACAAAACCAAUCAUCUAAGCACACUUUAACUAACACACUCGAACGACGUCUAACGAUUACAAGAAUUUAAACUAAAACACUCCUAAUUUCCUAGAGGUCUUCUGCGGCGGUGCCGGGCGAGUCGUAGCGGGGACGCUUAGGCGACGGCGACGAAGCGGGAUGAACAGCAAACUCCUGCGGCGGCGGUGCUCCCGUCGCGGCAGCCAUAUUCGCAUCCCUCUCCCACCGGAGUUCCUGAACCUCCUGUUGAAGCUCCUGGAUGUGGUUGUUUGCUUCAUUCAAUGCGGUGAGAGCUGCCGACGUGUACUUGCGGAGGAAGUCUGUAGCCAUGUCAACCCCAUCGUUAGUAGCGAUGAAGGUUCUUGCUUCCCCACUAGCUCGGUAAGGAAGGAACCGAUGGUAAGUGUGCUGCAAUCGCGGCCGUUCCUUGUGGGAGACGACCUCAAGUGCCCUCCUGGCGGCCUCGGCAAUGCCGGAUUCCAUGGUCCUCCUUAUGGUCACAUCAUGGUGAAAAGCCUUCACCUCCCAUCCUCCCUCGUGCUCCUCACGAAGGACAACCUUCACCUCCCAAAAAGUGGGAUAGCGAGGGUGGGUGAACCGGGAGCACUUGUAGAGUGGCCUCAUGCCGUACCCCAAGCGGUGACAAGUCCACCUGAGUAUGUCGGCCAUGUGCACUCCUUGGCCAUAAUCUUCCUUCACCCAUUUGAUCCAUGUCUCGGGCUCGGGAUCUGCUUCGGGCUCAUCAUCCGUCAAGUCGACGACCGGUACGGGCGUCGGGGCUGGUGCAGGAGCGGGCGCCGGUGCUGGCGACGGUGCUGGUGACGGCGUGGUCUCCUGCUCCACGGUCACGGCGUCCCCGUCAGAGUCAUCCCCCGGAUGCUGGAAGAUCUCUUCCUCUUCUUCCUCGUCCCAAGGCUCCAUGGGGGCGUACGACGGCGCGAUGCCAUGACGCGGCGGACGGGUGCUCUUGCGUGCGGUCAACCGGGUGCGAGCCAUCUAACAGAAAGAAAGAAGAAAAUUUUAGAAUAAAAUUUUGAACAAAGCUAGAUAAUAAAAUAGCAAUAAGGAUGAGACAAAUCAAGUUUAAGAAUAAUUAAGUAGAUUUAAAUUAAGAAAGGUAGGAAUGGCUACUAGAUUAUUAUAAUCCUUAAAUACGACCAUUUUCUAACUAGGCUAACGUCCUACAGUCAACACGGCUCUGGUACCACUUUUGUCACACCCGAUUUUAAGGACAAAAUCGAGUGCAUUAAAUACAUGUGCGCCAGGAUCAAGUUACACACAUGUACGACAAUAGUGAAUAGUAAAGCCAGUGCUAAAUCGAAUAAAGAGAGUAUUAACCAUUAUUACAUGACCGAAUGUCUCAAAUAAACCACAAAGUCUAAUUAUUACGCAGCGGAACUCCAAAGAUGACGACGACUCCAUAGGCAGCUGACUGAAGAAACGUACGCCUAGAACUCCUCGAAGUCGUGGAAGUACUCCUCUUCCCAAUUAACUUGGUCUGAACAGCGGUUUUGCAAGGGUGAGUACACUUAUGGUUGGUACUCAACAAGUCGUGGGAAGUAGUGUAGUGUAAGGCUAAUUCAAGGUAUGGCUAAGGCGUAAAUAGCAUUCGCUUUUAAUUAAGUUGGUCAAAUUUUAUUAGCAUUUACUAAGUAUAAGUUCAUACCACCCGAAAUUAAACAUGAACAUAAAGUAAACCACAUGUGCAUGAAAUGAUAACAAAUUAAAUCCAUCUUCCGAUAAUAUUAUCAUGUGAGGGUCCAGGCCGCUCUUAACCGUGAGCACGGCUGAUUGAUCAGUUUAACACUCUGCAGAGGUGGCACAUCUUUACCCACAAGUCGCGUAAAAGUUCAAAAGAACUUUGGACCCAACCAUGCGGUGUUUGCAAGGCACCAUACCACACUUCCGAGGUGUGAUUGCAUAGGGACGCUACGAGGCCUUUACAAAGAUUCAUUAAUCAGUGGUAACCCGCUAAGGUUUCGGUGUCUGGCGUGCACCACCCAUCCCAGGUAAAAUGCAACGACUCAGUCCCCCCCCUUGAAUCAUCACGAGUAAGGUCACCCCAGACUAAGGUUUCUAAUUAAUCAGCCAAGACCAGAGCUAUUUAGUCUUGUGGUAGCACUGUUUUCCUGGGUGGUCGCUCCAUGUUCUGAUUAACAAAUAAUGAUCUUGUCUUAAUGAAAGGUAUAACAGAAAUAAGGCAAGAUUAAGCAUUGUUUUUAGUUAAACCACCAUGUACCAAGUAAGCACUAAGCAUGAGCUACCCAACAUAAAGUAAACCGGUUGGUCAAGGCAAAGGUAAAACAAUCUAGGCCAACCUUAAUUGGGACCCAUCAAUUUAAUCUUAAUAUGUGCACAGCAUAAAUGUUGAGUACGAGAAAGUAAAGGUGUAUAGGACAAAAAGGUAGUGAUCAAGGACACGACUUGCCUUCUUGGCCUUGCUCCUGCUGUUCGUACUCCUCGAAGGCUUGAUCGGCAACUCCCUCGAACUGCGGGGCGUCUACACGCAUCACACGAGCACAUACAAGCAAACAUGGGCAAAAGUAAGAAAACAGUAUACCAAACAUAGUCAAACAGAGAAAACAAGCUUGAAAAGAUGAUCUACGCUUUAAAACGAACACGCGGAUAUAAAGAACGCGAAAAACGGAGUUAAGAUGCAAAAGAUAUGAUUAAAACAAAAUCCAGGGACUUUUCUGUAAGAAAAACAAAACUUUUAGGGCCUAUCCGCGAAAACCGAGGGCUUAUACGUAAUUAUGCGUAUAAACCGAGGGUCUGAUGCGUAAAAACAUCAAACCCGGACGGCGGGUUGAUUUCUGGAAAGGUCAAGGGUUAAACCGAAAAAUGCGAGGGCAGAUCUGUAAAUACUUUCAACGCGAUCUGGACCGCGGGUUGAUUUGCGAAAAAGGCGGGGGCUAAAGUGCAAAAACUGCACGGCGCGGCUCGGUUGACCGGUACGCGAUCUUGAUUGACUCGCGUCCGGCCGUCGGAUUAAGAUCCGACGGUCGCGGUGAUCCGCGACAUCGCGGCGGCGGCGGCGAGCGGCGGCGAGCGGCGGCAAGCGGCGGCGGGUCGCCGGAGUUAGGCAAAAUAGCGCCACGAGGCACGGUUUAACGCGCGGGUUGCACCAAAAAAGAGAGGGGAACACGUCGAUCCCGUUUUGGGGGUUCUUGUCGACGGGGGCUCACCGGCGACGGCGAACGGCGGCGAGGAAGAGGCGGCGGCGCUAGGAGCUCGGGCGGCUAGGGUUUCGGGGAGCUGCGGCGCUGGUUUUGGGCGGAGGAGACUGGGAGGAGGCGGCGGCUUUUAUAGGGCUUGGAGAUAGAGCCGGCGCGGGUUCAAAUCCCCCGGAGGAGUCGGAGCGGAUGGAGUCCGGGGCGGAGACGGCGCGCGGCGGUUGCGGAGUUCUGACCGGAUUCGGCCGGAGGUGGGAGACGAUGGGUGGGGUCCACCCGUCAGUGGCGGAGGGGAGCGGUAGACGGGCCGGCGCGACCGUGGGCUGGCGCGCGCUCGUGGGCUGCGGGGAGCGGGAGAGAAGCGGCGAGCGGGCGCUGGCGGAGCAGGCCGAGCGGAGGUAGAGCUGGGCCGCGGAGAAAAAGGAGGAGGCCGGCGGGCUGCUUCGCAGGCCGGUAAGGAUGAGGCGGCCGGGCCGAAGAAGAAAAAGAAAAGGAGGGACAAGGAGCUUUCGGCCGAGGGAAAAGAAGAAGAAAAAGAAAAGGAAGAAGAAAAGGGAAAAGGUUUUGGAAUUUGAAUUUAAAUCUGAAAUUCAAAAUUUGAUUCAAACUCAAGCAACCAAAAAUUAUGCUCCAGCAUGAAUGCACAAAUAAUUCCUAUGAUGAAUUAAUUGAAUUAAAGAAAAUGAAUUUAAAUGCCUAGAAAUUAAAUAACACCCUAAUUUGAGCAAAUUUUAAUGAAUUUGAAUUAUUGAAAUUUUGGGUGUUACAUUGGUACUACAUCUCAUGUAGUAGAGGCGAUUGUAAGAAGCAACUUGAAAAGAAGUUUGAUCACUACUAUUGCAAUAAAUGUGACAAGAGAGCCGAACCUAAAGCCCAGUAAAUUAUUUAGUAGUUUACAAUCUUAUUAUAAUACUUCUAUUUCUAAUAGGAGAAUAAUAUUUUCAGAUUCAAAUUAAGCUUCAAAUAAGUGAUCCAACAACAAGUGCAACUUGUGUACUUUUGACAAGGAAGCAGAAAUGAUAAUUAAUGAAUGAGCAGAUUCGAUGAUCACCUCAGUUGAUCAUGAUAAUAAGUAGCUACCAAAAUCAAUUCAGGAAAUAUGUGAAGAAACAUUGAUUUCUCAAUUCAGAUUGACCGAGUACAACUUGACAAGUUUUAGACCUGAUUAUACUGUUUCAAAGAUAUUUUUUCCAAAAGAAAAGGGCAGUUCAAGAAUUGGUAUGGAAAGUGUAAAAAAGGUAACACUUUAUUAUUAAUUUUUUAUUGCACUUUUUUCUUUUGAAUCCGUAAUACUUAAUAAUUUUACUAUAUCAAUGAAACAAAUUCUAACCUAAAUUUAUUUUCUUUUUUAUUAUUUGUAGGAAGUAGAAGACAACUCAGACAAAUGCUACACGAUAACUACCGAGAAUGAAGAGGUAGACACUGAUGACUCUUUUACCGAGAAAGUAACAUUCGUAGAAGAAGCCAUAAGGACUGGGGAAAGAUUGGCUAGAAAAGUAUACUCACUUCCAUGUCAGUGUUCAUUCUAUUUACAAUACAUGCAAAAAAAAUAUUAUUCAUGCAAAAUUGCAGGUCUACUAAGCAUUAAAGGAAUAGCGGAUAGUGCAAUAUGUAAUCUGAGCAGCAUGCAUUACAAAGUGCUCUACUGCAAUUAAAUUAAAAAACAUGAUAUAUGUUGAAUUCUUAGACUUUAUUAUUAUACUUUUCUACGUGACAAUUCACAAUUUUUUAGAAAAAAGAAGAUCCCAGAAGAAGUGACCAUGAAAAAAGGUCUAUGACCAGCAAUAAGAAAAAAUGCAAGCAUAGAAACAAAUCCGUAGAAAACAUAGAAAAUAAGGUACUCCAUAAACAAAAGUAUUCUCUUAUAUUUUUAUUAAAUAUUUUUUUAACACUUGACAAGUUCUUUUUUAGGAUCAAUAUAUCAGCAAUUCAGAUGUCAUUGGAGAUGAAACCUUAGUUCAUCCAAAAGGUCAAAAAAAAACAUCUGAAGAAAGGUGUUUGGCUGAAAAGGAAAAGCAAAAAAGUGGUAAUGCAGACAAACACAUGCAGAAAAAUAUAAAAACAUGUCAUAGGGAGGCAGACCAAUCUUGCAAGGAGGUAUAGACGAAACGUGAUACACGACCUGCCUACCUUGUCGUGGAUACCCCAAGAAGAUGUCAUAGAGGUGCAGACCAAGCUAGCAAGGAGGUCGAAACGUGAUACACGGCCUGCCUACCUUGCCGUGGAUAUUAGCCCUGAGAUCAUUCUACUGUUCAAGGAAUAACACUCAAUGCUGCUGCUGCUGCUGACCUGGCUCCAUAAAGUUAUACUCCUCUAGGUGCUUGCACUAACUUUAUCUGAAGUAUUAUUCUCUCUGCACUGUAUAUAUGGUUAUGGAGUUUGCUGGAGUAUCCGGGGCGAAGAACCUACAUAAUACGUCUUGGAACUAAUUGACAUUGAUUCACAGACAAACUCUACAAGGUGCUGUUCUUGCCAUUUUAGAGCAUCCAAAGGACUAUAAAUAACAUAGUUUACCAUAUACCAUAUACCAUAUACCAUAAUAUGUUAGCUAAAAUAAGAGCAUACACAUGUUGCAGGAGUCCAAAAGCACCGGUUGAGGACCAGGUACAUUGAAUUACUAGAAAAAGACAGGGGACAAGGUUUAGGUAACCACAUGAAACAUUUGAAUUUAUUGUACUAUGAACACUUAGUUACCAUGCCAGGAGCACAUAGUUAACACUAACAUUUAGCCACUUUAGAUCAUCCCGAAUCACCAAUGACCCUCAAUAGUGACAAAUUUUGGUUUAAAUGCCAUCACCAAUGAUCCUCAAUAGUGACGUAUUUAGGUUUAAAUCCCGUCACUAAUAACCCUCAAUAGUGACCUGUUUUGGUUUAAAUCUCAUUACCACUGAUCCUCAAUAGUGAUGUGUUUUAGCAAAACAUGUUAUCAAUGACUUGUCAUUGGUGACGUGUUAAAACGCGUUAUCUCAAUGGCAAAUCAUUGGUGACGUGUUAUCUCAAUGUUAUCAAUGUUCUAUUCUUUUCAACAAUACCAGCUCGUUCCUCCGUUUUUAUUCCACCAAUACAAGCACCACCUUGUAACAUUUCCUAUGUUUUUUUUCCUUUUGUCUGUUUUCUCACUACAUGCGUUGCUCUUUCAUGCAUUUUUUUCCAUUCCUGUAUUCCAAAUAGGUCUACAUGAACACAAAAUGAACUAGGGGACAGAAAAAGCCAGUGAAGCCAAUUUUGAGCUUCACCAGCUACUUGCUACAUAAAGUGUGCUAUAGUGACGUGUUUUAGCAAAACAUGUUAUCAAUGACUUGUCAUUGGUGACGUGUUAAAACGCGUUAUCUCACUGGCAAAUCAUUGGUGACGUGUUUUAAAAAAACAUGUCACCGUGAGAGUCAUUGGUGAAGGGUAAUUAAAAUGCGUCACUAAUGUUGUAGCAUUAGUUAUGAUAAUUUAGUAACGCAAAAAUCUACCAUCAGUAUUGAGCUUUAGAGCCAUCGCUAAUGUGGGUUUCUUACAUAGUGAUGCAAGCUCUACAAGGUGCUGUUGCUGCCAUUUUAAAGCAUCCCAUGACUACAUGUUAAUAACAUAGUUUACCAUAUAUCAUAAAAAUAUUAGUUACAAUAAGCACAUACGCAUGUGGAAGAGUCCGAAUGCACCGGUUGAGGACUAAACACAUUGAAUUACUAGAACCAAAUGUAUGUUUAGAACAAAGACAGGGGUCAAGGUUUGGGUAACCGCAUUAAAAACAUUGGAUUUUACUGUACAUGAACACUUAGUUACCAUUACCAUGCCUUGAGCACCUAGUUACAACAAACAUUAAUUUAGCCACUUUAGAGCUUCCAGAAUCGCUAUAAAUAAUAUACCUACGCCGUACCAUGAAAACAUCAAGAAGAGAGACGGAUACAUGGACCACCAUCAAGCGAGUAGUGACAGCACGCACAAGAAUACCCGGAACCUGUUAGCUUGUCUGUAGUGAUCUGUUUUCUUCCCCAUAAAAUCCAUGAGUAUUGCCACAAAUAAUGAAAGAGGCUGACCAAGCUAGCAAGGAGGUAGAGCAAACGUGAUACACGGCCUGCCAAGAUUGCCCUGGAUACGCCAAUAAGAGCGACAGAUACAUGGAUCACACCAAUAUGGUGAAACGUAUAUUCAUCACACAAGCAAAGCUGGUCAGUUUAUCCAUGGUCAAAUUGUGGUCUUUGUUUUCACUUGAGAGCUAAUUGAGGCACUAUAAUAUGGGCAGGCCUAUCUUCAACAGACAUGACAGCUACAGGGAACUUGACAUAAUUUGCUGGGCCGCCUGUGCACAAUUAUUUGUUUUAUUGUCCUUGCAUAGAAUGCUAAAAUACUCUUUACAAAAUGUUGGAUCUAAUAUUUGAAAUAUAGAGUAGUAAUCAUAUAUUGAUCAACAACUUGAAAUUAUCUGUACAUUCUCGGUGAAGCUGUUGAACUAAUUUUUGCAAAUUAUUAAUUCAUCUCAUUACGUAAAGAAAAAAGUAAGUGGAUAAGAUAUUUCGUGGACCACAUCACUGCAAACAUGUCAUGGAGAGACAGACCAAGGAGGCAGGACGUGAUACACGACUUACCCUAGGUUGCCGUGGAACCGCCAAGAAGAGAUACAGAUACAUGGACCACACCAUCUUGGGAGUAGUGACAGCAUAUAUGCAGAAGAAUACCCCGUGCCUAUUUGCAUGCAUGUCUCAAGUGAUCUGUUUUCUUCAGAAAAUACAUGAGCAUUGCCAGAAAGAAUGGCAAGAGACAAACAUGUCAUAGAGACUUGCAUGUCUUGCCUUGGAUACGCCAAGAAGAGGGACACAUACAUGGAUAACACAAAUCUAGUGACACGUAUAUUCAUCACAAAGGCAAAUCUGAUAAUUUUAUCCAUGGAGCAGACCAAGGAGAAAUUGAUGACGGACAUGUGAUCUCUGUAUUCAGUUGAAAGCUAAUUGAGCUACACUAAUAUGAGCAGGACUAUAUUCAAGAGACUUGUUGAGAGCUACAGGGAACUUGUAAUAAUUUGCUGGGCGGCCUGCGCACAAUGAUUUGUUAUACAUAGUUGAAAUAUUUCAAGAAUUUAUCAACCUCAUACUCUGAAACCCUUGGUGCAAUGUACUCUGCUUUCCGAGGUAGACUGUUCACGUAAAAUGAGGUCAUGCGUAAGACGGAAUCGGAUUGGAUUCACAGGGAAUCAGAUUUGGAUAGCACCUUUUAGCAGGUUUUUAGUCAAAUGCAAAUUCGGAUCCACAUGUGGUUGAAUGCGAGUUCAAAAUUCUACUUGGAUAUCCAUUUAAUUUAGGUGAUAGCAAUUAGCACAAAAUGUUGGAUGAACAAAAUCAUAGUUAGACAUACAAUUACAUGUAUGGUUAAAGUAUAAUACAAUACACCAAGAUUAUUCCUUGAAAAUAUUUCUUAAAAAUAUUAUAAUAAAUGAAUAAAUAUAAUUGUGGCCACCAACAAAUAGUCGGUGGUCGCUAAGUUGGAGCCAUUUCUGGUUACUAAUGCGGCCUUCUCCUCGACCAGCGACGACAGCUGAGCUUGUUCCUUCUGACACUAAAUCAUCAGAGUCUUCCCUCCACUACUAUAGAAUGCACCUUUAGCACCAAUUGGGAAAUCCCCUUCAGUAUUGGAUGCUGCAACCAGUGCUAUAUAUCAAAAUGGAGACUAAAAGCCUCGGUCUUGGGUACCGGUUGCAUAACGCAUUACUAAAGGAGGCAAAAGAGAAAUGUAACAAAAAAAAUAUUUUGAAUUCCAAGAAUGUUUCACUAUUCAAGAUGACUAGCUGAGAGUCAACAGACAAGAUACUAGGAAUGUGGGUGCUUGAAUGCAUUUGUACAGAGGUCAUACUAUUUACAAACUCUUCUAUGUUUCCAUAUGACUACCUACUUCAAUGUCACGCGAGCCAUUCAGCUGGACACAUGGCACACUAGCUUGCAUGUCGAAUCCAUGAUUAAUUAUUUGCACUUGUGAUCUCUUACCAGUAUUUGUCCAGACUAGAAACGUGCAACACAUUUUUAGGAUAUGGACACGCAUAUAUUUGGACUAGUAUACAGGUCACCUUUGGAUGCGUACAAGGAUGACCGGGAGGGACUAAUGGAUACAAGGAAGGGACCAUCAGGAUUAAUAUUGACAUAUGCCACAUGACAAUCUUCAUUGUCAUGCAAUCCCUAUCAACAAUCAUGGAAUCCCUAGUGUACUAAUCCCUGGAGGGUUGUGUGGAAAUUUAUUUUACCUUGCGGUGAAAAUCUCAUGAGCAGUCAUUAGUUAAGCUGACUAGCUGAGAUAUAAUAGACAAGCUAGUAAGAUUGGGAGCAUCAAUGCAUCCAUACAGGGUCACAAUAUCCUUUCCAUUCACUUUUAUAUAUAACCCUACGAAUACAAGUCCAACGAAAUGCGGGCCUUUCGAUCAAGAUAAAUUAAAUGGCCCACUUGUAUUUCUAAUCCAGGAUUAACUAUGCCCUCUGUUCAUCUCUUGCAAGCACGUGCAACACAUUUUCACGAUAUGGACAUGCAUGGAGGUUAUUAUACUGUUUGGACAAACUCUGAUGUGCCAUGACCUAAAUGCUUAGGGCCUGUUUGGUUUGAGUUGCUUAUUAUAAGCAACUUAAAGUUGCUUAAAGUUGCUUAUUUGAAGUUGCUUAUUUUUAGUCUAAACUGUUUGGAUACCCUUGCUUAUGAGCAUUGAAUGAGUUGGACAUUGUCAAAUUUGCCCCAUGUGUUGCUACCCCUCCAAUUUGCCUCCCCACCCUUCUUCUUCCUGCACACGUCCGAUCCCGGGGGCCGACGGCGGGCAGGGAGCAGCAGCAGCUGGCCAGGGCGGCGGUGGGGCGGGAGCGGCGGCGCACACCAGCACGCGCUCGCACGCCAGGUGCUAGGGCGCGGCGAGGCAGUCGUCGUAGCCCACCGGGAGCGGGUGCUCGGGCGCGAGGCGGUACUCGACGGAGAUGCCGAGCGUCGGGCGCGCGGCGGCGAGCGCGUUGAGGAAGCGAUGGUAGUGCGGCGACGUCGCGGACUCCGCCACGAAGCCGCCGCCGUGGACGUACACCACCACGGGCAGCUUCGUCUUGCCGUCGGCGGCCGCGGCCGCGGCCUGGGGUGGCAGGUAGAGGCGGACGGAGCAGGAGCCGAGGUCGACGUCCCUGGAGUCGACGCCCGUGGCGGCGUCCAGGCUGGGCCCGACCGGCGGCGGCACGAGCGGGCGCUCGAUGCGGCCGCUCUUGUAAAUCCGACGGGUCUGUGCGGAGGCGGGCGGCGGGCGGGAGCGGCGGGUGGGAGCGGCGGCAGGUGGUGCGGAGGCCGGCGGCGGCGGGUGGCGCGGAGGAAGGGGAGCUGGUGAGUGGUGACAGGGGAGGGGGGGAGAGAGAGGGGGGGUAGGGUGCAUUGAAUGAGGGCAGGAGGUGUAAAGUGCACCUUUUAGUCCCCAUGAGCAACCAUAAGCAGCCCAAGAGUUGCUUAUUUGCUUAUAAUAAGCAACCUCAUAAGCAAGAGUGAUUGGUUUCAUAAGCAACUUAUUUGCUUAUUUUAAGUUGCUUAUGCAUAAGCAUGUGAAACCAAGCAGGUCCUUAACCUAUGGUUGUGGCACCACACAGUACAUAGUAUUUAAUAAUGCUAUUCGUUUGGUAUGUGCACAAGGGCACGCAUGAAAUGUCUGGCCCACGGUAAACAAGUACGGACGCUGCAAAUAAUCUACUCUGCUCGUCCAGUCCCUAGCCUAUAAAUAGAUGCCAUGCUAGCUCUUGUUGUGCUCACAAUUAAUCCUGACUACACACGAGCUUCUCUCCCUGGCCAAGACACAAUCAUAGUAUGAUGAAGAACAUGGCACUAGCCGGCAAUGGUAUGAAGAACUUAAUCCUCGCUGUUCUCUUACUGUGUCUAGUUAUAGGGCAGAUACAAGUGGAAGCUAAGAGCUGCUGCCCAUCCAUUACUGCAAGAAAUAUCUACAAUGCCUGCCGUAUCACGGGUACAUCCCGUCCAACGUGUGCAAAACUGUCAGGCUGCAAAAUUAUCAGCGGGGACAAAUGCAAGCCCCCUAACGACCACCUCACCCUUGACCCGGACACUGGUAAAUAAUAAAUUUAUCUCACUUGAUUUCUUCGUGUUUUGAGUCGUUAAUGUAUUUUCCAUCUGAUGAAACGUAUUGGUUUUGCAUUGAAGAGGAAGUUAAUGUGCUUAACUUCUGCAAGUUGGGGUGUGCGUCGUCUGUGUGCAACAACAUCAACGCUGGUAAGCACCUUUUGCUCAGACGGAGAAAACAAUAAUCAUUAAUUAGCGGCAGCUAGAAUCCUAUAAUCUAAUAUAUUUAUAUAUAUAUAUAAUUUUAUCAGCUCUGGGAAAUGAAGAGGCGAACGAUGCCGUUGAGAGUUGCGACCAAGCCUGCUCUAGCUUCUGCAACGUGCACGUUGGCGCUGCCACCGUGGUUGCUUAAGCAAAUGCAUCCAACUGGAUCGUCCUUGUGCUAAAUAAUUGGAUAUCGUAUCCACUUAAAGCUGCCUUGUGUAGUACGUUUUUGUUUGUGUCUCUCUUUAUAUUCCAAUAAGGUCGGUGAUCUUGAUGCCACACACUCAGACGUGUGUUCAUCUCCAGAUACUACUCCAUGCUACCUGCCCUUUGUGUUUUGUUCAAUAACUGGGUAUCAUAUCCCAGCCAGUGUGCCAUCUGUUUUGUGUUUAUUUCCUUCUAGUUUCAAAGGGGUUAUCAUGAUGUUACCUUCUUUCGAUAUGGUGCUUUGCAUGACUACUGUUGUAUGGUACCAUCUUGUUGGCCAAUAAAUACAUCUUAUCCUAUGACCCUUUGCUAUGACCCUUUGCAAAUAAGUACAAGAUUGUUAAAUACUCGGUAUAAAUUGACUACUGCUGUGAGUUCCCUUUCAGCUUAUCGUAGGCAUACAUUAUUGCUAGCACGGUGAAGACAACCAACACGAAUGGUCAAGUAAACGUACCGGUACUUUUGUAUACCAACACCCUUGCUUAAAUGUACCGGUGUUACUCCCCACUAGCACAUAUAUUCUUAUAUGCUAGCCGGCUUGAAAAUUAACCGAUUAAAAUAAUUAUUUCAAGACAGAAAUAACUUAUCGGCUUCUCGAAGCAUGUGUAAUGUGAAUUCAAGGACUUGAUGGAAGUUGAAUCGCUUAAUCUAGAUUGCUUUCAGGAUUUUGGGUAACUAAAUUUAACAUUUGCACAUACAAAUGUUAAUGUACAAAUAUUAAAUAUAGUUACCCAAGCAGAAUAUGAAGAUACUCUAUAGUAUAUAUAUACUAUAUAAAUCUAGUUAACAUUUAGUCUAAAUGUUAAAUCUAGUUACCUAAAAUCCUGAAAGCAAAAUGUAUAAAUAUAUAUCUUUUAAGGAAUCCCAAAGCAAGAGUUCAGUGGCAUUCUAUAGUCCCAUGCUGCUAGUUUGAGUUGGUCGAAGCCAACUUAAAUAGGAGAGCUCUCUCACUUCUCUAAAUACGUAACUGAAGGAGAGAAGGGGGCUUGGUUACACAACGCACGCACGCACGCAUAUUUGCGUUCUUUUCGCGUAACCAACCGCGUGACUUGAAACUUGCGACGUAGCGUGCUGCCAAGUCAAGUUGAUAUAACCUUUUUGCCGUAGGCGUGUAAUCUUUUGACAACGGUCAUUGGAGGUGAUAAGCACGCAGUCAAUACCUUAAUCCUGAG
RNAcentral lists this long non-coding RNA (122246 nucleotides) under Setaria viridis. Its description in RNAcentral is "long non-coding RNA (SVIR_LNC007217)". Lineage: Eukaryota; Viridiplantae; Streptophyta; Magnoliopsida; Poales; Poaceae. The record is from RNAcentral.